AAACCCUCUAUUCCACACUUCCCACAUCUAUAAAAACCUCAAAACGCAUCAAAACUAAUGCAGAAACAAACUUGCACCCAUAUCUACUGAUUGUAAUAACCAAAUAUAUAUAUCUUUCAUCUCUUAAAGCAUUAUUCGCCACUAGUUAUAUACAUAUCAACAAUGGCAUCCUUCUCUUUCUCAUCCGUUAUGCUACCACUUUUGCUAAUCGCUUUAUCGUCAAUGAGCUUUAACAUUGAUUUGAUCGCUGCUCGCCAUCUUCUAGAGGCAACAGUUCCAGAAAUCCCCAAGCCUGAAUUGCCUAAGGUUGAAUUGCCACCGUUACCAAAACCUGAAAUACCACAAAUUCCAAAGCCUGAAUUACCUGAGAUUCCAAAGCCUGAGCUUCCUAAAAAACCUCAAUUACCAGAGAUUCCAAAGCCAGAACUACCGAAGAAACCUGAAUUACCUGAGAUUCCAAAGCCUGAGUUGCCAAAAGAACCAGAAUUGCCAGAGAUUCCGAAAGCUGAGGUGCCAAAAGAGCCUGAAGUACCUGAACUUCCGAAGCCUGAGUUGCCCAAAGUGCCUGAGGUGCCAAAAGAGCCCGAAGUACCUGAACAUCCGAAGCCUGAGUUGCCCAAAGUGCCUGAGGUGCCAAAGGAGCCCGAAGUACCUGAACUUCCAAAGCCUGAGUUGCCCAAAGUGCCUCAGGUGCCAAAAGAGCCCGAAGUACCUGAACAUCCGAAGCCUGAGUUGCCCAAAGUGCCUGAGGUGCCAAAGGAGCCCGAAGUACCUGAACUUCCAAAGCCUGAGUUGUCCAAAGUGCCUGAGGUGCCAAAGGAGCCCGAAGUACCUGAACUUCCAAAGCCUGAGUUGCCCAAAGUGCCUGAGGUGCCAAAAGAGCCCGAAGUACCUGAACAUCCGAAGCCUGAGUUGCCCAAAGUGCCUGAGGUGCCAAAGGAGCCCGAAGUACCUGAACUUCCAAAGCUUGAGUUGCCCAAAGUGCCUGAGGUGCCAAAAGAGCCCGAAGUACCUGAACAUCCGAAGCCUGAGUUGCCCAAAGUGGCUGAGGUGCCAAAGGAGCCCGAAGUACCUGAACUUCCAAAGCCUGAGUUGCCCAAAGUGCCUGAGGUGCCAAAAGAGCCCGAAGUACCUGAACUUCCAAAGCCUGAGUUGCCCAAGGCGCCUGAAUUGCCUUCUUUCCCCCAUCUACCUGAGCUUCCUAAGCCGACAUUUCCCCCCAUCCCGAGUCUUCCCAAGGAGAUGCCAACUCACUCAACCACCAAUCCUUAAAUUCCAUUUUCUUCAAAUGCUUUCCCGAGCUUCAUCUGGUUCUCUGCAGAUGUAUAUCAAUAAAUUAUAUUUGUUGUUUCUUGUUUUGAGACUUUCCAAAUUUGUGUGUUUUCCCUUUUGAGGAUUCUUUUUGUUAUUGUUUUUAAAUCUGGGAUACGACUCGUGAUGAGUUCGGCUACGCAGGACUACUGUUGUAUUCAUUUCUACAUAAUAAAUUGAGUGAUAUAUAUUGUAUUUUUAUGUUUAGCAGUCUGAUUUGAGGUUUCUGAUUUUAUAUGUGCUCUAUCACGUAAUUGCAUUUUAUCUUCAUUUUGACGUCAGUCGAAAAUGUAUAGGAAAUUUAAAAUAAUGAUGAUUGCUGUGUCACAUCGAUUAAAUUGGUAUUUAAUUUUUUGUGAUUUUAAAAUAUACAGAAAAAUAAAUUAAAGAGACAACUUUUUGUUUUGUGUUUCAGCAUUCGAAGCUAGAAAGACCUAAACGAACUUCAGCACCGCAGCGACAGUGAUAUUUUAGAAAAAUAAACUAGGACGACCCUUUAUCUGAUCAUCAAGGGGAGAAAAAUCAGAUUUAUUUGUUCCCUUUGACCACACAGUCGGUUAUGAUUUUGUCGAACAGCAAACCGUGAAGAGCUACGUGCCCAAAAUAGGAAUGUUUACGUGACUUUUAGACUAGAGCUGUCACUAAUGUUUAAUAUGAAACUAAUCCAUCCUGAACUAGAUUUACAACUUUUGUAAAUGUUUUUUUGCAGAAUAAAUAUUCUCACUUGAGACGAAAUAUCCCCAUUACACAAGGUCCAUAAAAAAAAUGAUUAAUUUGCAGAGAGAGUUACAAAAAAAAUGAUUAAAUUAUAGAGAGAGCUUACAUUAAAACCAGAUAAGGACAGAAGUUAGUAACUCAAUUGAUCAAUUCUAACAAGGAACAAGAAACAAGGAGCAAAAGUGAAUUAUAUAAAACUAGCUAGUAUUAAUAUUCAAAAACAAAGUAAUAAAAUGAAAUGAAUUAUUUUAGGCUCAAGUUCUAGCACUUGACACGUGAUAUUUUUUGGUCUGAUUUUUUUGAAGUACACACAUGUGCAUUUGAUUAUCCUGAUUUGAGCUUUUUGUUGGGAAAAAUCGGGUGGGUGAAGUAGACACGCAAUUUAAAUGAAAUAAAAAAAUAAUGAUCAUACAGGGACACCAGAAUUUAUGUGGUUUGACUUUUAGCAUACGUCCAUAUGUUGUCAGAUAUGCUAGAGUGCAUUUACUUAUGCUGUCAGAUAUGCUAAACUUUAAUCUAUGCUGCUUACUUGUAGCACAGUGCUCGCAAAAUGAUAAGUUCACCUAUUUAAGCCCUGGAAGCAACUUUUUCCCAGAGAGAAUCUUCAAACCUUGUUUCCACAUGUGGCCAAGUUUGAGAUGCACAUCAUUGUCGAUUCUUCUCUAUUUGACGCAACACAAGCAGUAGCUUCUUGCAAUGUUUCCCCUUUAAGCAUGAAUAAAUUGGCACAUAUAUUUUCUGCCUUCAUCAAUACAAGCGUACUUCUGACAAUCUUCAUGAUCCCAUUUUCCACCUGAGUUUUAUAGUCAAGACUAUCUAUUUGUCCUAAAGACAAUAGAUUUUUUUUCAUACAUUUGACAUGCAGUACCUCCUAAAUAGUGCAAAUAUACCAUCAAAUAUUUUUAUUUUGAUAGAACCAACACUAGCAAUCUCCAAGGUAUGAUUAUCACCCAUAUAUACCGAUUCUCCUAAGAUAGGUUCAUAUUUGUGGGAUUAUUCUCUCUAAGAGGUCCUGUGCCAGUAGCUCUUGAGUCUAUAAACCAGACGUCAGAUAGUUUUUUUCUGCCUUCUGCAACCAUAACUGCCUCGUUGUAUAAAACGUCAUCAUCAUAUGAGGUACUUACUACACACCCCUAAGUAUUUGAUGACUUAGGAUCUUUACCCUCUCCUUUCUACUGGUAACUCCAACACUCUUUCUUGACAUGCCAUAUUUUUCCACAUUUGUAGCAUCUGAUUUUCUUCUUACUUCUUAAAUUUGAUCUACCAUGAUUGUGACUCCUACUAGGACUACGUUUCACUGACCUCCCUCUCAUCAUCAUGCGCUUCCACUUGCAGCGAACUUGCUUAACUGUCUUCCUAGUUUUUGCGCCUACUCUCUUAUUCUAAUACAGAGGCUGUAACAUCAUCGAAGACUAAGUACUCCAUAAGGAUAUUGUUCAUCAAGUUGAUGAUGAGUUGAUCAUAUGAGUCAGGUAAACUUUAAAGUAGAAGCUCUGCACGUUCAAUUUCUUCUAUUUUAUACCCAACGUCGUAAGUUGUGAAAAUAGAGUUUUAAGAGUGUUGAUAUGGUCGCUCAUCGUUAUGGUUUCCGCAAUUCGAAAAGUAUAGAGUCUCCUCUUCAAAAAGAUAUUAUUGUGUAGUGACUUGGCCUCAUACAGUUUUGUGAGAGUAUCCCAAAUACCUUUCAUUGUCUUUUCCUCCGCCACACUAGAUAACACCCCAUCUGAGUGCCAGGUGUAGAUCAACAAUUGCAUUGCUGUCACUUCAUUCCACUUGUCACCAGUGAUUUUUGCAGGCCUUUCCCCAAUUAUUUUUAAGCAAUUAUUUUUCCUCAAGACUAGGUACUCCGUAAGGAUAUUGUUCGUCAAGUUGAUUAUAUAAGUCAGGUAAACUUUGAAGUAGAAGCUCUGCACAUUUAAUUUCCUCUACUUUAUGCCAAACAUCAUAAGUUGUGAAAAUAAAGUUUUAAGAGUGUUGGUAUGGUCGAUCACCGUUGUGGUUUCCCCCAUUCGAAGAGUAUAGAGUCUCCUCUUCAAGAAGAUUUUGUUGUGUAGUGACUUGAUCUCGUAUAGUUCUGUGAGAGUAUCCCAAAUACCUUUCACUGUCUUUUCCUCUGCCACACUAGAUAACACCCCAUCUGAGUGCCAGGUGUAGAUCAACAAUUACAUUAUUGUCCAUUCAUUCCACUUGUUACCAGUGAUUUUUGCAGGUCUUUCCCCAAUCACUUUUAAGCAAUUAUUUUUCCUCAAGAUUGCCCGCAUCCUCAUUUUCCAUAACGAGAAAUUGCUCCCGUUGAACUUCUUAAUUUCAAACGUUGCUGUCAUUUUGUUAAUACCGCACACAAGUUAGUGUACCUCCUUGAAUAGUUAUGAGUGAUCACACGUGUGAAUAUGCACACUACGAAAGUUCCUAAGAAAGACUGGAGGGGUCACAAUGAUCCCACUUAAAAUCCAAACUUCUUAAACUCUUAUUGCCUUUAUGACAGAAUUUUCCUAGAUAUGUACAAGACCACACAAUUACUUUCACUCACAUCACUAUUCCCUACUUUGUACCGCAGAAUUCUUGGAUCGCUCCCAUCGUUUCAUGUGAAUAAUGCCGUAUACGUGAAUAGUAUUGUAUAUGUGAAUAGUAUCGUAUACGUGAACAAUACCCGACUCCAAAGAUUUGCAACCAAUGGCUCUGAUACCACUUGUUGGGAAAAUUCAGCGGGUGAGUAGACAUACAACUAAAGUGAAAUUGAAAAAUAAUUAUCAUACAACAACACCAGAAUUUACAUAGUUCAGUUUUUAGCCUACGUCCACAUGCGAAGACAGAAGGAAAUAUUUUGCUAGUAAAAAUGAGUUACAAGUAUUAUAGUAUUUUUGUCUCACAACCCAAAACUCCAGUACACUAAAACUCUGAAAAACACUAGAACUAGAGUACAAAGCUCUCAACACUCUCAACUUACACCUCUUGGCACUCUCACUCUCACCAGAGAAAAUGAGAUGAUUCAAGAGGGCAAAUGAAGCCUUUAUUUAUAGGCCAGGUAAUGUCUAAAAAUCAAGGAUGGUGGGCAUUAAAAUAAUAUAAAUUUUCUCUGAACCUUCUACUUUGGUGCCAGAGUCAAAAGCUAUAUUACUCUCACUUACUCAUGUCUCCCACUUACUCAAUAAUUUUAUGACGAGAGUCAAAAGUUGCAUGCUAACCACAUGCAAUUGUUUGCCACAUGCAUACAUAUGUUCAACACUUUUACCUGAGUAAAUAUAAAUUGGUAAUUGACUUUUACAUAAUUCGUUAAGAUUAUUGGCGAAAAGAUGGUGCCCCAAGUACUACAUAUCAAAAUUGUGGCCAACAAACAGGAGAUCUUACAUAAAAUAUGAUCAAAUGACACGACGUUGAUUCGUACGUAAAUAUGCUUUUGACUUGUUCAUGAUUAAUAUUGAUAAGACACAUUUGACCAACCACGACAACGUUUGAAAAUAACCAAUGCAUAAUGGAUAACAUGUGCUUCCAACCACAACAAAUAGUUAAUCUGGCUUAAAAUCUCAAUCAUAGAGCGUUCAAUCUUCUUUCUUGUAGCAUUCAAAUACAAGGAGAAGACAAUCUGAUAAAUUAAUUGAAGAGGAAAAAUGGGAAUAAGAGAAACGGCAUGUCGCUGUUAACAUCCAUUAGGAAAUGAAAUUCAAUUACGUAUUAGUGUGUUUUCGAGAAGGGAAGCUUAUGUCAUUAGGUGUUUUAUGACAUAUAUGACCACAAAGUUAUAAAAUAAUGUUAAUUUUUUUUUAUUAUUAACUCAGGCAUACAUUAAAAUUCGAACUCAAGGUUUGAGCCUUAGAAAGGCCGUUCCUUACCAUAGGAACUGGCUUCAAUAAUCUUAAAUAAUUUGCAGAAAAGUAUUGAAUAAAAUAAUCAUUCAGAGGUUAUUAUUUUAACCAUUUACCUUCUUUUUUUUCACAGGGGAUAUAUGAAAAGAUAAUGAAUAAUCCCUUAAUAUAACAAUUAAUUGCAAUAUAAUUGCUUAUAUAACAUAUUAUACAAUGAUAUAUAAUCGUUAUGACGUACGUGGAAUUAGCAGAAGUGAGAGGUUGAUGAACUAACAAGACAUAAAUUUCUUACCAAGUACCAACCCAAGCUUAAUUUAUUUAUAUUUUACUAUUUUAGUCAUACCUACCCAAUCUUGAAACCCUCUAUUCUACGCUUCGCCACACCUAUAAAAGCCUCAUAACACAUGAAAUCAAUGCAUAAACACAUUUGAUCCCUUCUCUUUUGAUUGUUAUUACCGCAACACAAUAUAUGUUUCAUCUCUUAUAGCUUUAUUCGGCAAUAGUUCAACCAUGGCAUCCUUCUCUUUCUCAUCCGUUAUGCUACCACUUUUGCUAAUCGCUUUAUCGUCAAUGAGCUUUAACAUUGAUUUGAUCGCUGCUCGCCAUCUUCUAGAGGCAACAGUUCCAGAAAUACCCAAGCCUGAAUUGCCUAAGGUUGAAUUGCCACCGUUACCAAAACCUGAACUACCACAAAUUCCAAAGCCUGAAUUACCUGAGAUUCCAAAGCCUGAGCUACCUAGAAAACCUGAAUUACCAGAGAUUCCAAAGCCUGAGUUGCCAAAAGAACCUGAAUUGCCAGAGAUUCCGAAACCUGAGGUGCCAAAAGAGCCUGAAGUACCUGAACUUCCAAAGCCUGAGUUGCCCAAAGUGCCUGAGGUGCCAAAAGAGCCCGAAGUACCUGAACAUCCGAAGCCUGAGUUGCCCAAAGUGCCUGAGGUGCCAAAAGAGCCUGAAGUACCUGAACAUCCGAAGCCUGAGUUGCCCAAAGUGCCUGAGGUGCCAAAAGAGCCCGAAGUACCUGAACAUCCGAAGCCUGAGUUGCCCAAAGUGCCUGAGCUGCCAAAGGAGCCCGAAGUACCUGAACUUCCAAAGCCUGAGUUGCCCAAAGUGCCUGAGGUGCCGAAAGAGCCCGAAUUGCCUUCUCUGCCUCAUCUACCUGAGCUUCCUAAGCCCACAUUUCCCGCCAUCCCGAGUCUUCCCAAGGAGAUCCCAACUCACUCGACCACCAAUCCUUAAAUUUCAUCUUCUCCAAAUGCUUUCUCGAGCUUCAUCUGGAUGUAUACUAAUAAAUUAUAUUUGUUGGUUCUUGUUUUGAGACUUUCCAAAUUUGUGUGUUUUCACUCUUGAGGAGUUUUUUGUUAUUGUUUUUAAGUCUGGGAUACGACUCGCGAUGAGCUCCGCUCCACAGGAGUACUGUUGUAUUCAUUUUUACAUAAUCUAUUGAGUGAUAUUUAUUGUACUUUUAGGUUUAGCAGUCUGAUUUGAGGUUUCUGAUUUUAUGUGCUCUAUGACAUAUAUUACAUUUUAUCUUCAUUUUGACUUUAGUCGAAAACGUAUAGCAAAAUAAAAGAGACAUUUCAUAUCUCUGCAGGGUUCAAGCUCUACGUUCACUAAACAAACAUCAGCAUCGCAGCAGCAUUGAUAUAUAUAUAUAUAUAUAUACGUAAAAUGAACUAGGGCACUGUCUCCUUGUCUAAGGUUUAAAAUGAUGAUGAUUGCUGUGUCACAUCGAUUAAAUUGGUAUUUAAUUUUUUAUGAGUUUAAAAUGUACAGCAAAAUAAAUUAAAGAGACAUCUUUUUGUUUUGUGUAUUGCCGAACGUUUCAGCAUUCGAAGCUAGAAACACCUAAACAAACUUCAGCACCGCAGCGACAGUGAUAUUUUAGUAAAAUAAACUAGGACGACCCUUUAUCUGAUCAUUAAGGGGAGAAAAAUCAGAUUUAUUUGCUCCCUUUGACCACAUAGUCGGUUAUGAUUUUGUCCAACAACAAACCGUGAAGAGCUACGUGCCCAAAAUAGGAAUGUUUACGCGACUUUUAGACUACAGCUAUCACUAAUGUUUAAUAUGAAACUAAUCCAUCCUGAACUACAUUGACAACUUUUGUAAAUGGUUUUUUGCAGAAUAAAUAUUCUCAUUUGAGACGAAAUAUCCCCAUUACACAAGGUCCAUAAAAAAAAUGAUUAAAUUACAGAGAGAGUUACAAAAAAAAAAGAAUAAAUUAUAGAAAGAGCUUACAUUGAUACCAGAUAAGGACAGAAGUUAGUAACUCAAUUGAUCAAUUCUAACAAGGAACAUGAAAAAAGGAGCAAAAGUGAAUUAUAUAAAACUAGCUAGUAUUAAUAUUAAAAAACAAAGUAAUAAUAAAAUGAAAUUAAUUAUUUUAGGCUCAAGUUCUAGCACUUGACACGUGAUUUUUGUGUCUGAUUUUUUUAAGUACACACAUGUGCAUUUGAUUAUCCUGAUUUGAGCUUUUUGUUGGGAAAAAUCGUGUGGGUGAAGUAGACACGCAAUUAAAAUGAAAUUGAAAAAUAAUGAUCAUAUAGGGACACCAAAAUUUACGUGGUUAAACUUUUAGCCUACGUCUAUGGGCAAGGGCAGAAGGAAAUAUUUUACUAGUGAAAAGGAGUUACAAGUGUUGUAGUGUUUUGUCUCAUAACCCAAAACCCCAAUAUACCCAAACUCUAAAAAAACAAUAGAACUAGAGCUCAAAGCUCUCAACACUCUCAACUUGCGCCUCUUGGCACUCUCACUUGAAUUGGGGAAAAUGGCAUGAUUGGAGGGUAAAUGAAGCCACUAUUUAUAGGUCAGGCAAUGCCCAAAAAUCAACAAUGCUAAUAAUAUAAAAUUUCUCUCAACUUCCACUUUGGUUCGACUUGCGCUUUGUAUUCUUUCAACACUGGAAAUGCAUCUGACUUUUUCUUGAUUCGAUACUCCUAACAUCGCCUGGACUAUUCAUCAAUGAAAGUCACCACGUACUUUGAACCUCCCAAGGACUUAUCCGGCAAUUCCCAAACAUCAGAAUGAACCAAAUCUAGAAUGCAUUUAGUUAUGGUGUCAGAUCUGGUGAACUUUAAUCUAUGUUGCCUACUUGUAACACAAUGCUCACAAAGCGAUAAGUUUACCUAUUUAAGCCCUGAAAGCAACUUCUGCCCAAAGAGAAUCUUCAAACCUUGUUUCGACAUGUAGCCAAGUUUAAGAUGCUACAUCAUCGCCAAUUAUUCUCUCUUUGACGCAACACGAGCAUUAUCUUCUUGCAGUGUUUCCCCUUUAAGCAUGAAUAAAUUAGCACUGAUCUUUCCGCCUUCAGCAAUACAAACGUACUUCCGACAAUCUUCGUGAUCCCAUUUUCCACCUAAGUUUUACAACCAAGACUGUCUAUUUGUCCUAAAGACAAUAGAUUUUUUUUUCAUGCCUUUGAUAUGACAUACCUCCUUAAUAGUGCAAACUAUACCAUCAAACAUUUUUAUUUUGAUAGAACCAACACUAGCAAUCUCCAAGGUAUGAUCAUCACCCAUACAUACAGAUCCUCCUAAGAUAGGAUUAUAUUUGUGGAACUAUUCUCUUUGAGAGGUCAUGUGCCAGUAGCUCUUAAGUCUAUAAGCCAGACGUCAGAUAGUUUUUUUCUGCUUUCUUCAACCAUAAUUGCCUCGUUGUAUAAAAUGUCACCAUUAUCUGAGGUACUUACUACACACCCCUAAGUAUUUGAUGACUCAGGAUCUUUACCCUCUCUUCUCUUCUGUUAACUCCAAUACUCUUUCUUGACAUGUCCUAUUUUGGCACAUUUGUAGCAUCUGAUUUUCUUCUUACUUCUUGACUUUGAUCUACAAUGAUUGUGACUCCUACUAGGACCACGUUCCGCUAAUCUCCCUUUCACCAUCGUUAGUGCUUCUGCUUACAGCGAACUUGCUUACCUGUCGUCAUAGUUCUUGCACCUACUCUCUUAUUAAAAUGGAGAGGCUGCAACAUCAUCAAAAACUAAGCACUCCGUAAAGAUAUUGCUCGUAAAGUUGAUGAUGAGUUGAUCAUACGAGUUAGGUAAACUUUGAAGUAUAAGCUUUGCACGUUCAAUUUCCUUUAUUUUAUGCCCAACGUCGUAAGUUGUGAAAAUAGAGUUUUAAGAGUGUUGAUAUGGUCGGUCAUCGUUGUGGUUUCCGCCAUUCGAAAAGUAUAGAGUCUCCUCUUCAAGAAGAUAUUGUUGUAUAGUAACUUGGUCUCGUACAGUUUUGUUAGAGUAUCCCAAAUACCCUUCACUGUUUUUUCCUCCACCACACUAGAUAACACCCCAUCUGAGUCCCAGGAGUAGAUCAACAAUUGCAUUGCUGUCAAUUCAUUCCAUUUCUCACCAGUGAUUUUUGCAGGUCUUUCCCUAAUUGCUUUUAGGCAAUUAUUUUUCCUCAAGACUAGGUACUCCAUAAGGAUAUUGUUCGUCAAGUUGAUUAUACGAGUCAGGUAAACUUUGAAGUAGAAGCUCUGCAUGUUCAAUUUCUUUUAUUUUAUGCCAAACAUCGUAAGUUGUGAAAAUAGAGUUUUAAGAGUGUUGAUAUGAUCGGUCGCCAUUGUGGUUUCCCCCUUUCGAAGAGUAUAGAGUCUUCUCUUUAAGAAGAUUUUGUUGUGUAGCGACUUAAUCUCGUACAAUUUUGUAAAAGUAUCACAAAUACCUUUCACUGUCUUUUCCUUUGCUACACUAGAUAACACCCCAUCUGAGUGCCAGGUGUAAAUCAACAAUUGCAUUGUUGUCCAUUCAUUCCACUUGUCACCAGUGAUUUUUUCAGGCCUUAAAAUAAUUGUUCUGCUACACUAGAUAACACCCCAUCUGAGUGCCAGGUGUAAAUCAACAAUUGCAUUGUUGUCCAUUCAUUCCACUUGUCACCAGUGAUUUUUUCAGGCCUUAAAAUACUUGCUUUUAAGCAAUUGUUUUUCCUCAAGAUUGCCCGCAUCUUCAUUUUCCAUAACGAGAAAUUGCUCCCGUUGAACUUUUUAAUUUCAAACUUUGUUGUCAUUUUGGUAAUACCGCACACAAGUUAGUGUACCUCCUUGAAUAGUUAUGAGUAAUCACACAUGUGAAAAUGCACAUCAGGAAAGUUCCUAGGAAAGACUAGAGGGGUCACAACGAUCCCACUUAAAAUCUAAACUCCUUAAACUCGUAUUGCCGUUAUGACAGAACUUUCCUAGAUAUGUACAAGACCACACAAUUACUUUCACUCACAUCACUAUUCCCUGCCUUGCACCAUAGAAUUCUUAGAUCGCUCCCAUCGUUUCGUGUGAAUAGUGCCGUAUACGUGAAUAAUAUUGCAUACGUGAAAUCUGACUGCAAAAGAAUGCAACCAAUGGCUCUGAUACAACUUGUUGGGAAAAUUCAACAGGUGAAGCAGACACGUAACUAAAGUAAAAUUAAAAAAAUAAUGAUCAUACAGGAACACCAGAAUUUACGUAGUUCAGCUUUUAGCCUACAUCCACAUGCGAAGACAGAAGGAAAUAUUUUCCUAGUGAAAAGGAGUUACAAGUAUGAUAGUAUUUUUGUCUCACAACCCAAAACCCUCGUACACCCAAACUCUCAAAAACACUAGAACUAGAGCACAAAGUUCUCAACACUCUCAACUUAUACCUCUUGGCACUCUCACUCGAACUAGAGAAAAUGAGAUAAUUCAAGAGGGCAAAUGAUGCCUCUAUUUAUAGGCCAAGCAAUGCCUAAAAAUGUGGGCAUUAAAAUAAUAUAAAAUUUCUCUCAACCUUCUACUUUGAUGCCAAAGUCAAAAGUUAUAUUCCUCUCACUUACUCAUGUCUCCCUCUUACUCAACAAUUUUAUGAGAAGAGUCAAAAGUUGCAUGCUAACCACAUGCAAUUGUUUGCCACAUACAUGCACAUGUUCAACACUUUUACCUGAGUAAAUAUAAAUUGGUAAUUGACUUUUACAUAAUUCGUUAAGAUUAUUGGCGAAAAGACGGUGUCCCAAGUCCUAAUAUUUAAUUGUACAGUUGAUUGCAGUUUAGCUAUAUACUAAAGGAUGUCAUUUGGUCAAGCUUCAUUCAAAAUUGUGGCCAACAAACUGAGAUCUUAUAUAAAAUAUCAUCAAAUGACACGACGUUGAUCUCCAUUUUUUUAACACAAUAUCACAUAACUAAACAAAAGAAUUCGUACGUAAAUAUCCUUUUGACUUGUUUAUGAUUAAUAUUGAUGAAACACAUUUGACCAACCACAACGUUUGAAAAUAUUCAAUGCAUAAUGGAUAACAUAUGCUUCCAACCACAACAACUAGUUAAUCAGGCACUCAAAUACAAGAAGAAGACAAUCUGAUAAAUUAAUUGAAGUGGAAAAGAUGGGAAUAAGAGAAACGGCAUGUCGCUGUUAACAUCCAUUAGGAAAUGAAAUUCAAUUACGUAUUAGUUUGCUUUCGAGAAGGGAAGCUUAUGUCAUUAGGUGUUUUAUGACAUAUAUGACCCCAAAGUUAUAAAAUAAUGUUAAUUUUUUUUUAUUAUUAACUCAGGCAUACAUUAAAAUUCGAACUCAAGGUUUGAGCCUUAGAAAGGCCGUUCCUUACCAUAGGAACUGGCUUCAAUAAUCUUAAAUAAUUUGCAGAAAAGUAUUGAAUAAAUAAUCAUUCAGAGGUUAUUAUUUUAACCAUUUACCUUCUUUUUUUUCACAGGGCAUAUAUGAAAAGAUAAUGAAUAAUCCCUUAAUAUAACAAUUAAUUGCAAUAUAAUUGCUUAUAUAACAUAUUAUACAAUGAUAUAUAAUCGUUAUGACGUACGUGGAAUUAGCAGAAGUGAGAGGUUGAUGAACUAACAAGACAUAAAUUUCUUACCAAGUACCAACCCAAGCUUAAUUUAUUUAUAUUUUACUAUUUUAGUCAUACCUACCCAAUCUUGAAACCCUCUAUUCUACGCUUCGCCACACCUAUAAAAGCCUCAUAACACAUGAAAUCAAUGCAUAAACACAUUUGAUCCCUUCUCUUUUGAUUGUUAUUACCGCAACACAAUAUAUGUUUCAUCUCUUAUAGCCUUAUUCGGCAAUAGUUCAACCAUGGCAUCCUUCUCUUUCUCAUCCGUUGUGCUACCACUUUUGUUAAUCGCUUUAUCGUCAAUGAGCUUUGACAUUGAUUUGAUCGCUGCUCGCCAUCUUCUAGAGGCAACAGUUCCAGAAAUACCCAAGCCUGUUACCAAAACCUGAACUACCACAAAUUCCAAAGCCUGAAUUACUGAUGGUUGUUGAAACCAACAAAAAUAAAUACUUACUCUAAAUAAAUUGUGUAUAGUGAUUGAGUAGGGUCGUGUCCACAGAGAUCGGUAAUUAUUUAAAUCCUUUUAAAAUAUAAAAUGCAAAAUGGGGGAAUUGUUGACAAUAAAAAAAAUAAAAUUAAAAUAACAAGAACACAAAUUCAAAUUGUAAUUCAAAUUGGGGAAAGCUCUGGUUGAAGGAAUUAACUUAGCUUGAUUUGACUACUGAUCCUUGAUUCAAAUAUAAAUUAUUACUACUUAUGAAUAGACCGGUUAUAGCUACUGAGACCCUCUAAUAGUCAAUCUCUCCUUAACUAGUCGAUAACCAAGGUACGACCGUUGGUUAUUUUCCUAAGCAAUAGACAAUACUACUAGAAAAAUAACCUUUACUGACACUUGUCUUGUGAUACUUUAUUAAAAGUAUCAGUAAUUACAUGCAUUUCGGAUAUUUUCCGUGUUUAACAAAUAAAUAUCACAAAUUUGUGAUACUAUAGUGUCUGUAAAUUAAAUAUCAGAGAUCUGUGACAAUAAGGUAUUAGUAAUUAGAAAAAUAAAAUUUUAAUUUUGUGUCCAUUAGGAAUCGAACUAAAGACCUCUAAACUUUAACUUUUUAAUUUUAAACAUUAACCACUGGGCCAUGAGUUGGAUUUUGAUUUUUGGCUUAAUAAGUAAAUAAUAUUAAAAAUUAAAUUAAAUUACCUAGAUACUAUGUCGUUUUAAUGGAAGGUGUACAUGAAAACCUAAAAUCUAAAAUUUUUAAAAAGUGAAAAAAAAUUCCCCACGGCCGCUUCUUGCUAUGAACUGAAGCUCUCUUCCUUCCUUCUCUCUCUCUCUCUCUCUCUCUCUCUCUCUCUCUCUAUAACAAUGAUCUACCUCAGCCGUCGCCAUCAACCUUCAAAUCGCCAUCCUUGACCUAAAAUACCCUUGAACUAGAAAGUGUUGGGAAGAAUUUGAGCAAAGCUAGGGUUUUUUUGAAAGUUCGAAUCCAAAAAUUAGGGCUUUUUUGUAGGGGGUAUUUCAUUGUUUUUAAUGUUGAGUUCGAAGAGAAUGAUUUUGCCGCCGUUACCGCCUAAGCAGUAUGGAGUGACGAAGCCAAUAUCAAUUGCAGGAUCGAUGGAGGGUGAUAUGCAAAGAACCCAUGAGAAAAGGUUUUGUUUUAUCUUUAUUUAUAAUUACUUUUUUCUUUCUGUAUAGAAAACCCUGAUUUCAAUUUCCUUUAGGGUUAAAGUUUUUGGUUGGAGCUGGGUUUUAUGAAAGCAAAGAAGAAGCGGCAAAGGGAGAAGAGGUUUUGUUUCGAAUUAGACAAGCAAGAGUUUUUUUUAAAAAAAUUAAUUAUUGGUGAUUUUGAAACCUGGGAUGACCUUGUUGUAAUAUUUUUGUUAUCAGUUGGUUCAUUCUUCAUUUUUUAAUUGGGUUACGAAUUGAGUUUGUUUGAAUUGUAUUGGUGAUCUUAGAGGUUUUAUUUUAUUAGAGAAUUUAGUGAUGAACCAGAAAUAACUUCAUCGUCUGGCAAAUUCGUCUUUUGCUUUAUUAUUGCGCUCAUUCGUCUGGCAAAUUCAUGUUCUUUAACUCCCAUUUGAAUUUUUUUUUUUUUUGGUUAGUCAAAUUGAUAUUUACUCAUUCAUUUAAGUUCACACAUUAAUUCUCAACCGUCUUAGUUGGUUAAUUGGAUCCUAUUAAUAGUCUCAGGAUAAUUAUAAGUGACUGGGUUGUGACAUUGAGUUGUGACUCAAAUAUUGUACUGUCCGCUUCAUUCUGCUUUAUGAUGCUUAGUUUAAUAUCUUAGACAAUGGAGGAAUCGAAACUGGAGCAUGGAAUGUAUUUAUUUCCAUAGUUGGGAUCUUGGAGAUGUUUCUUUACAUGUUUGUUCAUUGAGCUAAAAAUUUAAUCUCACUUAGCUGUGACUAAAUUUUUUUUUUACUAUUAUCAAUGCAGGUAAUUAAUUGUUUCUGACAAAAUGAAGCAUAAAGAUAAGAAACCGAUUUCUCCAAAUGGUGAUAAAAGUCCCAGGAUUGUUCCUUUGACAGUAUUGUUUGUUGCACUACGUGGGUUUUCGUUUUACCUUGGUGGAAUCUUUUGUUCUGAGAAAAAUAGAGUCGAGAUUAGGGAUGUCCAGAAAGCAGUCCCGUCUCCCAAGGAUCCAGCGGUUGCUCCGCUUCAGAUCAAAUCUGUUAACUUCCCUGAAUGCAGCAGCAACUAUCAAGACUACACUCCAUGCACAGAUCCAAAGGUAUACCUUAAAUGCUUAUUUGAUAAUAGUAACAGCUUCUAGGCAAUGUUACAAAGCUAUAUGAUAUCAAGUGGCCAUAUUGAUGGCAAACAUUCAUUGCUACAGAGGUGGAAAAAGUACGGUGCUCAUCGGCUGACUUUCAUGGAACGCCACUGUCCUCCAGUUUUUGAGAGGAAGGAAUGCUUAAUACCCCCUCCUAAUGGGUAUAAGCCACCUAUCAAGUGGCCAAAAAGCAGGGAUGAAUGUUGGUACAGGUAUUAUGAUCUAUUAAUGAACUGGUUUUAUUGUCCACUGAUGUUGGCCGUAAGUCAAUUUUGUUCUAUUAUUUGGAUCUAGUUUCAGGAAUGUGCCUUAUGAUUGGAUUAACAAGCAGAAGUCAAAUCAGAAUUGGCUGAGAAAACAAGGAGAGAAGUUCCUCUUUCCUGGUGGAGGUACAAUGUUUCCCAAAGGAGUUGGUGCAUAUGUUGAUUUGAUGCGAGAUCUGAUUCCAGAAAUGAAAGAUGGGAUAGUUCGAACUGCUAUUGACACUGGAUGUGGGGUGAGUUUUGUUUUCCAUUUGCCCACUUUUUCAUCUAAUCAUAUACUGGGCUAAUCUAUGUUGCAUUGAUGGUUUAUUCUUAUGGUGCCUCUUGGUCAUCUUAGGAUAAAUUUAACUCACUUACAUUUUUUUUUAUAGGUUGCUAGCUGGGGAGGUGAUUUAUUAGAUCGUGGAAUUUUAACGGUUUCUCUUGCACCAAGAGAUAAUCAUGAAGCUCAAGUUCAAUUUGCAUUGGAACGUGGAAUUCCCGCAAUUCUUGGCAUCAUUUCCACACAGUGCCUACCUUUCCCCUCAAAUUCAUUUGAUAUGGCUCAUUGCUCAAGAUGCCUUAUCCCGUGGACAGAAUUCGGUAAUUAGUCAUAUACUAUGAAGAUAUUUUCUAGAGAAGUAUCAUUAUCAAAUUGAUUGGAUAAUAGCAGUUAAGAUUAUUCAAUUAUAAGAAUAACUUGUCUUGUAAUCAGACGUCUUUGUGUAUUGAAGUAUUUGGAUUGUGUAAUAUAUAUUGAUAAUAUUUAAAUGUUACGAAAGGUUUUGAUAUAUAAAUUGAUUUUUGUUCUUAUUUCUCACAGCCUUUUAAUUCUAUCAACAAAUCAAUGGGCAACAUGUCAUUUUAUAUAAUUAUUUUUUAAAAUAAUAAAUAAAGUAGUGAUACUAUAGUAACAGUAAUCACAAAUACUAAUAUAGUAUUGUAAUAUUUUGAUACCAUGGUGUUAUUAUUUUAGUGAUACUAUAGUAAUAGUAAUCACUGACACCACUUACAAGUGUCACUAUUUUUCUGACUCCCAGAUUGCUGACACAAUUAAUAAGUGUCAGUAAAAGUAAUUUCUGACACUAUUCUAAAGUCAGUAAAGACCAUUUUUCUAGUAGUGCAACCCUAGAUACGAUCAUAGGAUUUAAUCAAUUGACAGCCUGAAAAACCAGAGAGACCCAAAUCCUAAUCAACAAACGCAUACGAUGGUUCAUUUAAAUUAGAUUGUUUAUUCUCAUAACACAACGCACUGCUAUGCUAUUUGUCACAAACAUUAAAGUUUUCAUACGAUGAAUCAUUUAAUUGACAAUAGAUUAAGUUGAUAAUUAAAUAGUGGCCAAUUAUCUAAUUAACAAACAUAAUCAUGACAAUAAUUCAGAGAAUAAAUAAAUACCCAAAAAGUAAUAAAACAAUUAAAGCAUAAGAAAGAUCUCACAAUAAUGAUGAAUCAAAGCUUCAUUAACCUUAAACCAGAAUAAUAAAUUUAGUUCUUCAUAGAAAAUUUUAGAUUUAGGGUUUCUUUUUCUUCAAAAAUCUCCCAUUUUUUCUAGUAGAUUCCUCUCUUAAAUUCUUUCCUCUCUCUUCUCGUCUAGAGUUCUUUUUAAAAUAAAAUACUAAUAUCUAAAAUAUUAUCUAAAUAUUAAAUUCGUAAUUACAAAAAUAACCAAAAAGAUAAAACACAUUAAACUAAAAACUACAGGUCCGUAGUUGACAGCACGUGCCCACGCCUUAUCAACAAAGUUCUUCUGAAGCUAAAUUUUAGCACCAAUCAAUAGAAUUGCACCUACAGAAAUAAAACACAAGUAAAUCACUAUUAUUAAGUGCAAAACAUCAAUAUUAAAGGAAGUAAACAAUGCAAAACUAGUGCAUAAAUUGCACUCUAACAAUUACUUGAGAUUCCAAAGCCUGAGCUACCUAAAAAACCUGAAUUACCAGAGAUUCCAAAGCCAGAACUACCGAAGAAACCUGAAUUACCUGAGAUUCCAAAGCCUGAGUUGCCAAAAGAACCUGAAUUGCCAGAUAUUUUGAAACCUGAGGUGCCAAAAGAGCUUGAGUACCUGAACUUCCAAAGCCUGAGUUGCCCAAAGUGCCUGAGAUGCCAAAAGAGCCCGAAGUACCUGAACUUCCAAAGCCUGAGUUGCCCAAAGUGCCUGAAUUGCCCAAGGUGCAUGAAUUGCCUUCUUUCGCUCAUCUACCUGAGCUUCUUAAGCCCACAUUUCCCGCCAUCCCGAAUAUUCCAAAGGAGAUCCCAACUCACCACUACUAAAAAAAUGACUUUCACUGACACUUUGCUUCUGACACUUUAAAAAAAGUGUCAGUAAUUACUUAACUAUGCACCAUUUUCCGCUUUUAACAAAUAGGUGUCACAAAUUAUUGAUAUUAGUGUGUCAGUAAACUAAACAUCAGAGAUCACUGAUACUAAUGUAUCAGAGAUUAAAAAAAAUAAUUAUAAUUUGUUUUGAUUUCAACUCGAACUUGGAACUUCUAAAACUCUAAAAGUUCUAGAUAUAGCCACAAACCACUUAACCAUGUAGAUUUAAGUUAAAGACAUAAUGUUAUAUAAAAACUUAACAUAUAAAAAACAAAACCCUAAUUCCCCUUCUUUAUUGUGCAAGAGAGCCCGCGUCGCAACUGCCUAAUUUCCCUUCCCUUGCUUGACUUCUUCUUCUCUAUCGUGAAAGACGGAGAAUGACCAUGUUGUCGCUGCUACGAAACGCCCACGCCCUCCCCGUUGCCGCUAUCACUUCCGUUCCAACGUACCGACGCUGCAGCUUCUAGCCGUUCUCCAUUUACUUUGUUUGCUGCCUCUGGUUUCGUUCUCCUUCCAGCUUCGUUUGCUGUCGUCAACCGUACAAGGUAAAAGGUGUAAUUCAAUCUUCUUUUAGGCAUGGGUAAGUGGCAUUAUAGGCACUGAAACUGCUGAGAGAAAAGUUUCAUACUAGUACAUGCACUUUGCUCUCUUCAAUCUUUGGACUUUUCAUUUUUCCUUUGAAUUUCAUUUCUGGUUAUUCAAAAUUUUUGAGUUUCUUUUUUAUUUCCACCCUUUACACAAACUCAUCUCCAAAUUUUUGGCCUUCUCCUUUUGGCCAUUUUGCUUUCGGAUUUUACACCAGUGGCAAUGGCUUCAAGGUUGGAAUAUGGCUCAUUGACAGCAGCAACCUAGCAAAUAAAACAAUUGUAUGGAUUGCUCGACGCGAAGACUCGUGGUCUCAUCCGGUGCUGCUCUGCAGAUCUCUGUAGAUGGCAGCAUAGUCCUACUUCGCAACUCCAAUGGCGAAGUCCAAUUGAUAGCUGAACCUACUCAAAGAGUUGUGGCUGCUGCAAUGCUUGAUUCUGGUAACUUUGUUUUAUUUUUUAUUUUAAAAAAUAAAAAGAAGAUACUUUGAUAUUUAUUUACAUGAAGCAAUAGCAACAAAUUGAAAAAGGCGAGUUUUCUCCUUGUGAAACCCUAACUAGGCUUGAUUCAAGAGAGCCUUCUGACCUUCCACUUGGUAAGAAUUAAGAAACCAAAAGAAAAAAAAACUCAUUUUCAUUCAUUUCAUUCCAAUACCAAAUUGAAUUUUCUUUAAUUUCUGGCUUUUGUUGGUCUUUGUAACGCAAGAAUGUUUAAUAAUAAUACUCAGGACAUGUUGUGAAGGGGAAAAAUAGAGGAGCAAGCUUAUUUGCAACAAGUCCUCGAGCUUCAAAGUAGAAGAUUAGUGGGGCUGCAACUUCUUGAUGUUCAUAAGCAUCAUCCUCACAGGGCUCUUUCUACUGACAGCCCAAUUCCUUCCCCCACUCACUCUCCCAGUAUUUUCUAUCAAACGUUUCUCUUUCCUCUACUUCACAAUAGCAGUACAGAACCUCUACUAGGUACUAAUCUUCAUUUGUUUAAUUUUUAAUCAAACUAAAGAGACUAAGAGUUUCAUUGAUUUUUUUAACAGAGAAUGGUUAAAGUCCUUGACCACACAAAUGCAUGUUUUACUUCUUAGUAGGAUGUUUAAAUUUGAUUUGACAAGUGUUAUUGCGCAUGAAUGCAUUUACAAAUUUGCUAGAAUUUGUGUUGAAAUAAGAUUAGAAAAAAACUUAGGAAUGUAAGGUCUGAUAGUUGAAUUCCUGGAAAGCUGAUUAUUAGGAUCAAUAAAUGUUGUCAUACUGUCAAGGAGUUUGCAUUGUUUCUUAACAAGCUCUUAUUUCCACUAUACAUCAAAUUUUUAAUAUCAUCUUGUAACUAUCUGGCUCUUAUUGUAUGUGUUUUCUUACUGGCCUUUACAUGGGUAGGCUACUAUGUAUUAAGCAUGUAUGUGGUUGUUUUCUAUAUAUAUUAUGUUCAUAUAAAAAUAAAUAUUAGCCAUGAUAACAGAAGUAGAAAGAAGGCAGUGGGGCUUACUGUUGAAAGUUUUAUGAAUUUGUCUCCACCUCAGGCUUCCGAAAUUGGGUUGUUAAGUGAAAAUAAUAAGGUUAAUUGGUCUUUCUUUUAUUUAGUUAUUUAUUUCUAUCUUUUUCAUGUUGAAUCAUUUAUUUUGUGCAAAUGUAAAAAUCAUAAUAAAAUUAUUAAGUUUUUGUGUUGAUUUUGGGAAUUGGUAUGCAGGGAUUGAAUGGAGAAAAAAGAAAGAGAAAUGAUGAUAGAGUGGUGGAGAAGUCAAGAGAAGUGAUUCAUGUGAGAACAAAAAAGGCAGAGUAAUGGCCAGUCUAUAUGUGGGAAUCUCUAAAUUGGAAGCCUGGAUGGUAUGAAAAGGAUAAGAGGCUUCUAAUAAUUUUUCUUAAUUUUCAAGUGUUUCUACUAAUUUUUAUUAUAAUACUUUUCACAGGAUGUUCUAGAAAGCACUUGUCAUAUAUCUUUAAUUCUUGUGACAGAUUAUAUUUCUAGAGACAAUUUGCAAUGAGGGAAACAUAAUUGAAAGAAAUAUGCAUCUUAAAAUUUAGCAAAGCCCCUACCAUGCUAAAGCAUAUGGCUACUUUCUAGAACUGCCAAUGUCCUGUUUAAAUUUAAUUUUAUUUAUUUAUUACGUAAUAUGGUGCACCAAUUGCUGGUGUCGUGCAUGCCUAAUUUUAAAGCUGGAUUACAAUAUAGUAUAUUUAUUUAUUUAUAAAGCUUGAAAGAAUUUCCUCAUUGACUUUAAUCUAGGCUAUUACUUUAGCUUACUUUAUAUACUUUAUUUAUUUAUUUAAAAGAGGGAUUGACAAAAUAGUGGAUGAAACUAUAACAUUCAUCUUUGUUUAAUUAUCUUUAAGCUAAAGUUGUAAAAUAUGGAAAGAAUCCCUAAAAACAUGCGCAUGAUAGAUACAUAUUAAUUUGAUAUAGCGAGUUAAUAAAUAUGGAUUGUCUUUAUAUACAGUUUUGAAUUUACCUUUUUUUUUUAAAGAUUGCACAGUUUCUUAUAAAUAUUUCUCUAAUUUAUAGGAGGACUAUCAGUUGCUGAUCAAUUAGAAGACAUUCCAGCGAUUUAGGAUUGAUCAAGAUUAAUUGUGAGUGGAAUGUUUGCAAAUUAAUACAUACGUUAUUAUUAAUUUAUAAGUUUUUCAUAUAAGAACAAAAUACUGAGUUUACAUGUAUUAUAUUUAUUUCUUGCAUAAAUUUGAAUAAAAUAUUUGCUAGAGUAGUUCUAUGAAAUUGUGAUACUCGUCAAACUGAAUUCAUGAUUAAUAAUUUAGUCUUGGCAUGCCAUAGACGACCAAAUCCAUUGAAUUAGAUAAACAGACCUGGCUUAAAAUAUUAAAAUAAGCUUAAAUUACCACUACAUUGACAAUGUGAAAGCGUUCGAAAUAAUUAGCGUUUGGUCGCUAGACUAUUAAAUUGGAAGAGUAAUAAUGCAGUUUCUAAUAUUUUAUUUCAAUAUUGGUUGUAGAUGCAUAUAAUCCAUUUUAGUUUUUAGAAAUAUAAUUGUUGAGUCCAAUAUAUUUUGUGUUGACUAUUCAUGGCCUCUAGUAGUUUUUAUAGCUAUGGUUAAUAUUGUUAAAUAUAAGUGUACUGGAAAAAUUAUUUCACUUUAUAGGAAUCCAUUGAUUUAUAGGACUUGUUGAUUACAGGAGACGUAAGUGAUUUUUCCAGAAUUAUGAAUUUAUUAUUGGAGCUAUAAUUAUAAUAAUUGAUAUUUUGGUGUACUAAUUGAUUUUAUGUACUUGCAGAUGAGGAAAAAAUGAAGCCGCAGAUUAAUAUUGAGUGACCUUGAGCUUUUUUUUUUUUUGUUGGAUAAUGUUUAUUGAAACUAAUUUAAUAAUUUGUUGUCAAAAACUUAGUUUGGUACUUAUUAUUUUUUUUCUCCAAACAAUGUAAUUGAAUUAUGUUAAUUUAAGUGAUGAGUUUGAUAUAUUUAUUAUGUGAAUUGUUUUGCGAGAUUUGGUAUACGUAAUAGGUUUUGAGUUUUUUUAAUUGUAAAACAAAUAAGAAAAUAUAAUUAAAACAAAAAUAUCCUAUUAACCAAAACUAGCAUAACAACACUUGAUUCUGAAGUACUGUAGUCACAUAAAUAAUUGACAUGUAAAUUGUAUCAUUAAAUAGUAACACUAUAGUGUUACUGUUUUGGCGAUACUAUAGUGACACAAAUUAUUGACAUGUAAAAUAAUAUUAUCAAAUAUUAAUACUAUAGUGUCAUUAUUUUUGUGAUACUAUAAUGACACGAAUUACUGACACCAAAAUCACUGACAUUAAAAAUUAGUGUCAGUGUGUUCUGGCUUGAGCAUUAUUGACACAAUUAAUAAGUGUCAGUAAAAGUGAUUACUGACACUAAGUUGGUGUUAGUAAAACUCAUUUUUGUAGUAGUGCACUCAACCACCAAUCCUUAAAUUUUAUCGUCAUCAAAUGCUUUCAGGAGCUUCAUCUGGUUGUCUGUAGAAGUAUAUUAAUAAAUUAUAUUCGUGGGUUCUUGUUUUGAUACUAUCUGUGUUUUUCCCAUUGGAGGAUUUUUUAUUAUUAUUAUUUUUAACUUUAGGAUACGACUCGUGAUGAGCGUGGCUCCGUAGGAGUACUGCUAUGAUCAUUUUUAUGUAUCAUAUGGAGUUUAAUAUAUUACAUUUUAUGUUUCGUAAUUUGAUUUGAGGUUGUUGAUUUUAUAUGUGGCUUGUACAUAUUUUGCUUUAUCACAUAUAUUACAGUUAAUCUUCAGUUUCAUGACAGUUGAAAAUACAUAGCAAAAUAAAGAGAGGCAUUCCAUAGCUCUGCAUGGUUCAACGUUCCACCAUAUUGAAGAUAGAAAGCCCUAAACAAACAUCAGCGCCGCAGCGACAUUGACAAGUAUGCAUAAAAUGAACUAUAACCCUGUCAACUUGUCUAAAGUUUUAAAAUGAUUAUGAUGAUGAUAAAUAAUAAAUAAACAAAAUCUAAUCCACUGAUUUUAGUUAAACCAUGCAGUCUAUUUUAAUAAUUUCCUAUGAUUGAAAGGCCAACUUGGGAAUGCUAUUAGAAUGGUCAGUAGUAAUUUUCAGAGGUUAUAUAACAGAGUCAUAUAUUUGAAAACGAUAUUUCCUCAUUAUUAUGCUCAGUUUAGUCAUAAUUAUUACAACAUGUUAACAAAAAAAAUUACCAAAUGUAAUAAACUACAUUUAUAACUCACCACACUUUUGAAAACUACUGUUGAUGCCAAAAUCCAAUUGAGUCGGUUAGCGACUUAACACAGACAUCUGCACCAGUAUUAAAUUUAUUUGUUGGGGAAGUGGCUUACAAUCACUAGCAGAUAACUCGCAAACACCUGAAAUCACAAAGAACGGUAAGAGGUGCUGGAAGUUUUUCCGGCGUGAACCCUCUGACGCUUAAGUCAGUAAUUGGACCUUUUUGAGAAAAAAAAUAAAAUAAAUAAAUGAAUUCUAAUAUUUUUUAAUAAAGAAAUAAUUCAUAUAAAUAUAAUAAACGAAUCAAAAUUGUUUAGGAGAGUCCACCAUUCUCUAAACUUUUCAGCACUUUUAUAAGUAUUCGGGAUUAUCAUACCAUCUUCAAUGCGUUGUCGUUGCUGGGUAUAAUGUGCCCCUUUAAUUAUGAGUUAAUGCGCCCGUUACAGAGUAGUUAUUAAGCUGCAAUUAUAGCAGCUGGGUGUGCGUAGACGUUAUAGUUGAAUUUCUGGGAGGAGCUUGACAGUUUGUGGUUGGUUGAGGUUUUUGGAACAAUCGACCUGGUUCUAGUCUGCUCAUGGUAUUCUGGUUGAGGUAUCUGCUCAUAGCCUAAAACAUUACCACCUGGUGCUCAUAGCCUCAAGGAUUACCACCUGGUCGAGGUGUUCUACUCAUAGUCAUCAAGAUUACCACUUGGUCAAGGUGGUCUGCACCUGGUCAUCAAAAUUACCACUUGGUUGAGAUGGUCUGCUCAAGGUCACCAAAAUUUUCUCCUAGUAGCCUAUCAACCAUUUGUUUAUUUUUUAUCUCGAGAAGAUCAUGAUAACCUUAUUUUAUUUCCCAAACAACUACCUUUGAAAUUCAUGUAACAUUCUAGUUGAAUAGCAUUAUUUACGAAAUACUUAGUAAUUUUUUCUCUGACUUAUUCUUUCAUCACCGCGACAAAAAUAGAUUUAGAGACUACAAUCUCAAACUAUUCCGAAGGGGGAUAAGUAGAGAAGCACACUUGCAUAUAUUGUCAUUCAUUAAGAAAUAAAAAUCAAUUACUAUAACUAAAACUACAAGUUUUUCUAGAAAAGGAGCGAUUUUGACAGAAGAUUGAAUCUUAAAACAAAGGAGUAAAAUUAACGAAAUAAUGCUUCUUCAUCAUUAUGCUGAUUUAAGUAAUAUUCAUUAUUCCAAUAUUUUAACUAUAAAAUUUAACAAAUGAUUUCCAAGGAGUCUAGUCAAAUAAUUUUCAAACAAUUUUAUUUAGAUAACCACUUGAGUUCGAAUCUUAGGCGGGGUAAAAUAUUAUUUUUAAACUUUAAUCCCCUUUCCCUACCUUCUAAAAGUACAACAAAGUAAAAAAGAUAUAAAACAAAUAUUAGUGAAACUUUAAGUCAACUAGACCUCAUAUGACACAUGUGAACAGAAAAUUGUUUAUAUUAAAUUUUUUAAACAUUCAAAAAAUACUGAAUAAAAUCAUUUGGAGACCUUUGUUUGAGGUGCUAUUUAGCCACUCGCCUUAACUUUGAAUUAUGCGAAAACAUAAUUCAUCAUUCCUUGAUAAUUCAUUACAAUACAAAUGUUUAUAAUUUAUUAGACUAGAACGACCGUUUGUCUAAUCAUAAAGGGGGCAAAAAAAAUCUUAUUUAUUUGUUUGCUUUGACCGCACAAUCGGUUAUAAUUUUAUUCGACAACAAACCGCGAGGAGCCACGUGCCCAAAAUAAAAAUGUUACUUGAUUUUUGGACUGAAGCUGUUAAUAAUAUUUAAUGGUAAAAAUGACCCACACCGUAUGAUUUGGUAAAAUUGUUAUGAAGAGUCCUAAAAUUUUAACAAGGGAUACUAAAAUCCUCUUUUGGUUAUAAUAACUUUUGGUCUAGUAACUCAAAAAAUUUAACUCUAAUGUUUUAUAAUAAUUAGAAAUAUAAUAGUAAAAUAGAUGUAACAAUAUAUACAUUUUAAAUAACUUCGAUAUUUAGCAAAUGGGUUCGUAACCCAUUAUCAGCCAUUCUUGAGCGCUUGGGUUUGAGUUCCAGUAAUGAUUAGGACUCAACUUCCCUUCUAGUAGGAGUUUACUUGUCUCUCCAAUUUUGGGAAAGAAUAAAUCUCCGUCCAAUAUUAAGUGAGGGUUGACCUUCGGACUCUGCCAUAAUAGAAUUAUUAAAGAGAGUCCCGAUUGAUUUCUAAUUGUAAAUAUUAGUAGAGCUUUAAUUAUAAUAUAUCAGUAUAUAAAAAAAAUAACUUCAAUAUUUAAUAAAAUAUUUUAAUACUUUACAAUAUUAUAUUAUAUUAAACUAAAUUUUUUAAUAAAUAGAAACAUAAUAUUAAAAUAAAUAUACAAAAAUAUAAAUUAUCUUCAAUAUUAUGUAAAAUAAUUUUAAUAUUAUUAAUACAUAAGAUAUAUUUUAUUCAUUGUAAAAUCUAUUUAACCCGUAGACUUAUUUAAAAUUUUUAUUAAUAAAUAUAAAUAUAUUAUUGAAAUAAAUAUAAUAAUUUACAUUUUAAAAAUUAUAUAUUAGAAAUAUUCUAAUACUAUUAGUCUAUAGAUAAAUUAAAUAAUUUAAAUUAUAUUUUCAUUUUUAAAAAUUAAAGUUAAUUUUUUAGUCACUAUCUACAAAGAGUAUUAUAGUAAAAAAGGGUCUUGAUUUUCCUUAUUGAAAACUUAGGAGUUUAAAUGAUCAUUUCCCCAAACCUUAUGAGGGUAGGUAUCAAUUCCCUUUUUAAUAUGACACUAAUCGACCAACAAAGAUGAAAAUGAAUUAUAUAAACUAGCUAUAGUAUAAAUAUUUUAAAACAACAUAAUAAUAUAAAAUUAAUGUUUUGUAUGUGAAAAUACAUAAAGACUGGACUGGCCACAAAUAAUCCCGCUAUCUUGAGAGGAAAAGUAGAAAACUAGAAAAUCAAUUCGAUUAAUAUAAUUUGCAUAAAUUAACCGUAUCUUUUACUAGCAUAUAAUACGUGUAUAAAUAUCUAUAAAACCUUUAUGGUGCGUUUACUUCAAGGAAUAGGAAUGGGGUGGAAUGAGAAUGAGCUGGAAUGUAAAUGAGAUUUCAAUGUUUACUUGACAAAAAUAAAUGGGAAUGGGAAUGUGGAAUGCAAUUGAUGUGUUUAAUUAGCAAAAUAAAUGGGAAUAAGGAAUGGGAAUGAGAAUCAAUUUACCAAAAUACCCAUAGUAUUAAUAAUUAAUAAAAAUAAUUAAUUUAUCAUUAUUAACAAAAUUAUCAUUAUUGUUGUUGUUAUUAUUAUUUUUAUUAAUAUUAUCAUUAUUAGCAUUUAUUAUUAUUAUUAUUAUAUUUUAAUAACUUUAUUAUUUUAGUUAUUAUUAAUUACUGUUAAUAUUAUUUUUAUUAAUAUUAUCAUUAUUAACAUUUUUAUUAUUAUUAUUAUUAUUAUUAUUAUUAUUAUUAUUAAAUUCUAUUAACUUUAUUAUUUUAGUUACUAUUAAUUAUUGUUAUUUUUAUUAAUAUUAUCAUUAUUAACAUUUAUUAUUUUUAUUUUUAUUAAUAUCAUUUUUAUAAUAAUAUUUAUACAUGUAUCUAGAUAAUGAAUAUUAUUAUUAUUAUUAUUAAAUUUAUUAUUUUAGUUACUAUUAAUUAUUGUUAUUAUUAUUUUUAUUAAUAUUAUCAUUAUUAACAUUAUUAUUAUUAUUAUUAUUAAAUUUUAUUAACUUUAUUAUUUUAGUUAUUAUUAAUUAUUUUUAUUAUUAUUUUUAUUAAUAAUAAUAAUAAUAAUAACAACAACAACAAUAAUGAUAAUAUUGUUAAUAAUGAUAAAUUAAUUAUUUUUAUUAAUUAUUAUUUUUAUUGUUAAUAAUGAUAAUAUUAAUAAAAAUAAUUAAUAAUAACUAAAAUAAUAAAAUUUAUUUAUUAUCAUUAUUAAAUUAUUAUUAUUAUUAUUAUUAUUAUUAUUAAUGACAUUUAAAAUAAUAAAAUUAAUUGUGAUUUGAAUGAGGGUAAUUUGGGAAAUAUUAAAAAAUUAGAAGGAUACAAAAGUAAACAUAUAUUAUAUUCUCAUUCCCUCAUUUUCAUUCCCAACCCCCCAUGGGAAUGAAAUUCUCAUUCCUUAUUCCCAAAUUAUGUGGGACCCACACAUUUUAUUUUUAUUCUCAAAUUACAUUUUACCAAGUAAACAUGGGUUUAAUUCUCAUUCCCCAUUUCAUGAAGUAAACACACCAUUAAUUCUUAGUCACCUUGCCAAUGUGGGAUUUACCAAUUUUCCCUUCAUUUUUUCUUUCAAAUCAAUGGAUUUAAGAUCUAAUUUCUCAUUAACCGAAAUAACAAUUUGAGCUUUUUAUGAUUCAUUACAAAGAGCUAACGGGAAAGAUUCCAAAUCAUUUAUGUAAGUAUAUUUUUUCAAUAUUCAUAUUGCCUAAAGCUGGACACAAAAUAGCCAUUUUAUGCCAUUUUUUUCUAACAAUUAAUUGUUUUAGGCUACCAUCAUUGCUGGGCAUUGUAUGUGUCUAUAUAUGUUGCAAUAUAAAGUCGUAAGUUACAAGUUCCAACACUUGACAUGUAACAUAUUUUUAUCAGAUAUUUUUAGGUAGAUACAUAUACAUUUGAUUAUCCUGAUCUAAGCUUUUACCUGGACAGUGAAUGACAUUUCCUGAUUCGUUAAGAUUAUUGGUGAAAAGACGGUGUCCAAAAGUUAUAAUAUUUAAUUGUGUAGUUGAUUGUAGUUUCGCUUCGCUUUCGCUGUAUGGUAAAGGAUGUUGUUUGGUCAACCUUCAGUCAAAAUUGUGGCCAACGAAAGAGAUCUUAUAUAAAAUGUGAUCAAAUGACACGAUAAAGAUCUGUUUUUUUUAGCACAAUAUCGUAUAACUAACCUAAAGGAUUUGUACUUAAAUAUCCUUUUGACAUGUUUGUGGUUUAUAUUGAUGAAACACAUUUAACCAACCACAACAACUUUGGAAAAUUUUGAAUGCAUCUUGUUUAAAAUCAAUCAAGAAAAAAAUGAAGGAAAAAAGAAAAUGAAAGACUUUUAAGACCGAGAUAGGAGGAUAGCAGCCAUUCGUUGGUCCACGCAAAUUAUCGUCCUACGUCCAUAGAAUAAGUAUGAAUGAAUCAUAACUCUAUCUCAAGAUUAAGUGUUGAGAAGUCAAUAAAGUGGCUUCCAAAUUCAAAAUUUAAAGCUGUAGAUUAUUUGGCAUUUGACAAUCCUGCACCAAAUGAAGAAAAAUGAAAAAGUUAGCAAAACUUAUUAAAUUGACAGAGAUGAAGAUUGACAAAUUGCAGAGGGAUUAGGUAGAAUAGUGCAAGCUUGAAGCUUAUAAAUUGAAGUCAUUUGUUCAUUCGAAAGCAUCCCUAAAUUUGUUAAGCUUAUAAGUUUCUAAGCUUUUGUGAGUUUUGAAGAGUGUGAGCAAUUGGAGAGUGUGUGUGAGAGUACUGAGUGUAUUUGGGUUCUGGCAAAGUGAGGUUUCUUUACUCAAAUUUGUACUCAAAUAAUUGUUAAUAAUACAAUUAUUUUUCUCUUGCUCCUGUGGACGUAGGCAUAUUGCUGAACCACGUAAUUCUUGUGUCCUUUUUUUCUGUAAUUAUUUGGUGCGCUUGAUUCCGUAUUCCGCGCACAACAAGUGGUAUCAGAGCUGACGGUUCGUACUUGGGGGAUACGAUACUAUUCUUGUAUACGGUAUUGUUCUCGUAUACGGUACUGUUCACGAAUACGGUGGAGAGGCCAUUUGUACUUGGGAGAUAGUCUAUUGUAAGUAGUGUGUAUUUUUGCAUGUUUAUGAAAGUUUUGUCAACAAGGCGAUAAGAGUCUAAGGAUUUUGGUUUUUAAUUGGGAUCGAGUUCCUGCCCAAUCUCCUGGAAACUUUUCUGGUGCAUUUAUUCACGCGAAAUUAACAUCAUAGAGGCUGUUUUUCAAGUGGAAAUAGUUCGUUGAGAAAAUGGUAGAAGGUGAAACUUCCAUAAUUGGGGAGAGAUCUACCAAGACUAUUUCAGAAGACACUUCAAGUGAGAGGCGAGAUUUGUCAAAUCACUAUUCAGCACCUGUUAUAGGAGGCCAGAAAAUCGAUGUUGAAAAGUUUGAUGGAAAAUCAACUUUGGCAUAUGGAGGCGCAAAGUUAUGGAUGCCCUUAUUCAAAUCGAUCUCGAUGUUGUUCUGAAAAAUAAAAGACACUUGUAUAAUGAAGAAAUUUGGGAUCGUAUGAACGAGAAAGCUUGUGGUCAGAUUAGAUCUUGUUUAACCAAGGAGGUGAAAUACUUGGUGAAAGAUGAGGAGUGUGUGAUGACUUUGUGGCGUUCAUUGGGGAAGAAGUACCUGCUAAAAAGUCUUGAAAAUCGUCUUCAUGCAAUGAACCAAGUAUAUGACUUUCGAAUGAAGCCUGGGGUGUCAAUGCACGAUCAUGUCUCAAGAUUUGAAAACUUACUUGCUGAUUUAAAGAAUCUUGAUGAAGAUAUUAAGGAUAAAGUCAAGGCUAUGAUUUUGUUACACUCACUAACAGAGGAAUAUAGCCAUUUUAUGACUACCUUGAUAUAUGGGAAGAGUGUGUUCGUCUUCAAAGAUGUUUGCACAGCAUUGACUAACUUGGAGAUUCAGAAUAAUGAUAAAAAUUCUGAACGAGCAUCGUCUAAAGCUUUGGUGAGCAGAGAUUGGGCGAUGAAGAAAAAGAAAAAGCGUGGUGGAAAGAAUUCUCAAUCCAAAUCGAGAAGCAGAAAUAUAGCUCGAGACGAGUGUGCCUUUUGUCAUGAAAAGGGUCAUUGCAGCAAACAUGACACUAAAAGAUGAGACUCUGAUUAUUCACGAAGUAUUACUCCUAUAGUAUACGUGGCUAGUUCGAGCGAGUGGAUACUUGAUACUAGAGCAACCUACCAUUUGUGUCCUAUUAAGGAAUGGUUUAAGAAUUUUUGUAAUCUGAAAUCCGGUGCAGUUGUGAUAGGGAAUGAUCAACCUUGUUGUACAAUGGGGAUAGGAAGAAUUUGGCUCAAAAUAUUUGAUGGAAUGAUCAGAGAACUCAAAAAGGUUAGAUUUGUUCCAGCUUUAAAGAAAAAUCUAAUUUCUGUGGGUGUUUUGGAAGCUAAAGGCUACAAGGUUACCAUUGAAGAUGGCACAAUGAAGUUUACACAUGGUGCUAUUGUGAUUCUGCAAGGGGUUCGGCAUCACAAUCUGUACUAUUUGAAGGAAUGUACAACUGAUAAAGAAAAUGUUGCUGAGGCGCACAAUGACACCACCAAGUUAUGGCAUGUACAAUUGGGACAUGCUGGAGAGAAGUCUUUGCAAACUCUGAUGAAGCACGGACUCUUAAAAGGUACUAAAACCUGUAAAUUAAAUUUCUGUGAGCAUUGUGUAAUAAACAAGAAAACAAUGGUCAAAUUUGGUAUAGCUAAUCACGAUACUCGUGAGAUCCUUGAAUAUGUUCACAGUGAUGUAUGGGGACCAACCAAGACUGCAUCAAUUGGUGGAAGCCAUUAUUUUGUUACAUUUAUUGAUGAUUUCUCUAGACGUGUGUGGGUGUACACCAUGCGAGCAAAGGAUGAGGUUCUAGAGAUUUUCGUGAAAUGGAAGAAAUUGGUGGAGACUCAAACUGACAGAAAGAUUACAGUAUUACGAUAUGAUAAUGAAGGUGAAUAUACUUCUGAUCCAUUCUUGCAAGUAUGCCAGAACGAGGGUAUUAAAAGACAUUUCACGGUGAGACAUACUCUGCAACAGAACGGUGUGACUGAGCGUAUGAAUAGUACUUUGCUGGAGAAAGUACGGUGCAUGUUAUCUAAUACUGGUUUAGAUAAAAAGUUUUGGGCUAAAGCUGUGGCUAUACAAGUCACUUGAUCAACCAGUUGCCUUCUGCUGCAAUUGGAGGUAAAACUCCUAUGGAAAUGUGGUCUGGAAAGCAUGCACAAGACUAUAAUUCCCUUCGUAUAUUCGGGUGUCCAGCUUAUUAUCAUGUCAAAGAUGGUAAAUUGGAUCAUCGUGCUAGAAAAGCUAUCUUUGUGGGAUUCAAAGGUGGAGUAAAGGGCUUCAAACUUUGGGAUCUCGAAGACAAAAAAUUUGUGUGUAGCAGAGAUGUCACGUUUGAUGAAGCUUCAAGUUCUCAACAAGUAGAGAACAAGACCACAGAGGUAUUGCAGCGGGUGGAGUUUGAUGCAACUCCAUAUGUAACAGUUAGUUCUACAUCAGAGAAGGGUUCAACUAUGGAGGUGACACCUAGAGUUGAAGAGGUUGUUUCUUCUGAUGUCCCACAAAAUAAAGAAACAAUUGAUGAUGUAGAUAAUGAUAAUUUAUAGCAAUAAUGAGGCCAAGAAGAGAGAUAAAGAAACCCGGAUGGCUUACUAAAGACAUGGUGGUAGCCUAUUGUUGGUUAUUUUAUAAUCAAAUGUUAUUGAUGUCAAUGUGCAAGUGUACACAGCAAGUAAUAAAGUGAUGAAUAUUCAAGAUCGUCUCCACAGGGAUUGAUGUCACUUGAAAUGCUAUAGCAAUCACAAUAAUGCAACUAAAUUCAAUCCAAAGUUAAUAAAUGUAGAGUGGGUUCUAUUGUAAUUGAUGAUUGUGAGAGAAUAAAGUAAACAGUACUGUAAUGAAUUACACCAAAUAAAAUGUGUCUAAGAUUCAAUUUAGAUUAUGGUAGUUGAAUGAUCAAACUCUCCUUAUGGACUGACUGUUUUUCAUCAAGUUGACUCCAAUUGUUACGGCAAGUGUUGCAGCACUGGGCAGAAUUAAUCUGCAUCCUCAGUUGUCGCAAAUUGGAACUCUCAUACCCUUAAAUACACUAGUCAAUAAAGUGGCUUCCAAAUUCAAAAUUGCAAGCUAUAGAAUAUUUGGCAUUUGACAAUCCUGCACCAAAUGAAGAAAAAUGGAAAAGUUAGCAAAACUUGUCAAAUUGACAGAGAUGAAGAUUGACAAAUUGCAAAGGGAUUAGGUGGAAUAGUGCAAGCUUGAAGCCUAUAAAUUGAAGCCAUUUCUUCAUUCGAAAUCAUCCCUAAAUUUGUUAAGCUUAUAAGUUUUUAAGUUUUUGAGAGUUUUGAAGAGUGUGAGCAAUUGGAGAGUGUGUGAGAGUACUAGAUGUAUUUGGGUUCUAGAAAAAUGAGGUUUCUUUACUCAAAUUUGUACUCAAAUAAUUAUUAAUAAUACAAUUAUUUUUCUCUUGCUCCCGUGGACGUAGGCAUAUUGCUGAACCACGUAAUUCUUGUGUCCUUUAUUUUUCUGUAAUUAUUUGGUGCGUUUGAUUCCGUAUUCCGCGCACAACAUUAAGUAGUUGGUGUAGAAGACUGACUAACGAUGGAAACAUGCCUCGCGUCCUUGUUAAUGAAGGGGUUGGUUCACGUUUUAUGCCCACAAUUUGCUCCAUAAUAUCAUCAUAUUAAUUAUAAUUCAUAAUGACAAGAAAUAAAGUUUUUUUUUUAUUUCCCUUCAUUAUUGAACUUAAGAAUCUCUUAACCAUUAAUUGAAUCAAUGAAUCACACUUUCAUAGCUAAAUUAUACCUUCUGCAGUUCAAUUAGUAUAUUAAGUGUAUACGAUAUUACUUAAUAAUAAUUGUAGAUCCAUAAACACUUGUGCAAAUAAUUUUGUAGACCAUAUCAUAUUUUUAAAUUCAAAUAAUUAUAAUAUUUCACUUAAAUUUGUACAACAAAAAUUAUAGAACAUAGCUCAGUUGGUCGUGAAUACACUUUGAGCCUAUUGUUACCUAAGUUAAAAAAAAAAUUAACGAGCAAUGAUUUAUGUUUAGUGUGUCAGAUUUAUUAUUUUCUUGCAAACCCUUGGAACACACACACACAUAUAAAUAUAUGUUGUUUGUACAAAAAUGUUUGUUGCUAUAUAUACUUCCUCGUUCAUCACAUAUUCACAUUCGGUUCAGCUAAAAUUUUGCAAACACCAAACAGCAAUGCCACGAGGUCAAUCAACCCAAGCCCAGCGCGGAAAAAGCAGAGUAAUGUUUGGCCCAUAAAGGUGGGUCUGGUUGAUUUUCUGACCCAGAUCAAAGUUCGUACUCCCUUUAGUAAAAUGACCAAUUUCAAGAAAAUGGCUUUCAAAUAAUUAUGUUUAGAAAAAUGAUCAAUUAGCAUGGUACUUUGGAUGCUUAAUUAAUGAGAUGAUUAUCUCUGCUUUCUCCUUCCCAAACAUACAUCCUGUUGAUGCAGGAUUCCGGUUCUUCUCGUUCUACGACCAGGAUCUCUGCUCGAUCAACUUCGUCACGACCAGGAGGUCUCCUCGCAAGACUUUUUCUCCAGAGGUUCCUGCGCACACAGACAAGUCAGAGUACGCCGGUUGUUUUCCCGGCGCAAACCCUCCGACGCUCAAGUCAGAUAUGAAGGUUCGGGGAACGCUUGCCACAGAUCUUAUGGCUUUUUCGUGGUUUUCUCUUCUUUUUAAUUCCUUUUCUAAUGAGAAAAAUGCCAACCCUUUUACCUCGUCGGCUACCUUUUUAUAGGCUUCCUCUGAAUCCCAGUUUUCCGCUCUUUUCGAGACGGUAUGGGACUCUGACUGCUGCGUUAUGGGCAAACGUGGGAUCUUGCGUGUUACGCCACCGUUCUGGGGAAAGCGUGGCUGUCGUGGUUCUGUGAGAUCUUGCGUGUUACGCCAUGGUUCUGGGAAAAGCGCGGCAGUCGUGGUUCUGUGAGAUCUUGCGUGUUACGCCACGGUUCUGGGGAAAGCGUGGCUGUCGUGCCUAGGUUCUCGGGCUGGAGAGCAUGUCUCGUCAACUACCGUCGACCGGGUCUCCUCACCUCUCGACCUCUAGCCGGAAUGACCUUAUGCCUCUUACAGGAAAUUGGCCUCGCGGAUGACGUGCUCGUGGACGAGCAGGAUAUUUCUGCUCCUGUUCCCCCGCGUACCAGGCUUUUACGGGACACACCGGUUCGCAGAACUCUGCCAUCAGAUAUCUGCUCACCGUGCCUGGUCUCGUCGACGUAUUUCUCCCAAACACCGGUCCCCCAGUUUCUGGUGUUGGGUAAUGUAGUGGACCAGCAGUAGAAACUCGUUAGUACUCGCCCGCGUGGGAUUGGAAAAGGCUGCCAAGAGUCAUGUCGCAUUUAAUUGCGGACGAGGUGACGUGGCAGAAAUCCCCCCCUCCAUUUGAAUUUCAAACCGACGGUUAUGAGAUCCUCGGGAUUCAGCGCCGUUAAAUGCUGGCAACCCAAGAGUCCGUCCUCAUUAGGAAAACCAAAUCCUCUCGAACGGCAUAUUCAUCAUUCACUCCGUCUCCGUCUCUGUCUCCCCGGCAAAGAGGUUCCGGCAUAAAAGGCCUCCAUCUCUGAUUUUCACCGACUGAACCAUUACUUCAGGUAUUUCUUCUAUCUCCUUGGUCUCGGAUAGUUGUAGAUAAUUUCUUUUCUCUUCUGUUGGGUAGUAGUUGGUGGUGUUGUGGUUAGAGCUUAGGGAAUGUCGAAAGGCAAAGAGAAGGUUAUUGAGGUUGGUGACGACGAGUUGGACUUCCUGCCUAGUCUGCUCGCCGAUCCUGCUUUUGACCCCGGGAUCCCCUUAGAGCCCAUUAGGUCUAGUGUCGGGACUAGUGCUAGGAGGAUGUCUCCCCAAACAACCUCUACGAGCGGAAGUAAUGGUGAGGAGAGAUCUUCUGGCUCCGAGGAUACUUUGAGUGAGAAUGGCGAAGGUGACUCUGGUGAGGUGUCUCCAUCUGGAACAUCACGACCAGAAGAACGGGGUACAGUAGGAGGCAGAGCCUUGUCGCGCGAUUAUGCCAUUGAUUACAUGACGUGCACGACCUCGUUUGACGAGCUCAAUGACCUCCGGCUUAGGUAUAGCAUUCCUGGUGAGAUACCUCUCAAGGUCCCAGGAAAGAAGGAUGCUCCCAGCCGGCCUCCUAGGGGAUAUGUUACCCUGUAUCUGGACAGCUUUAAGUAUGGGCUGAGGUGUCCCUUGCAACCUUACUUUGCCCGGAUACUUAACGGGCUAAAUCUAGCUCCUGGUCAGCUGAAUCCCAAUGGGUGGAGAAUGCUCUCUGGUCUGUUCAUAUUGUGGGACAGAUGUUGCCAAAGCGAGCCCACGGUUGAUGAGGUGAAGCACCUGUACCAGCUAAAGAGCAGCCCCAAAGAUGCCGGCUGGUACUACUUCCAAUCUAGCACCAAGAGCAGGAAACCUAUAACCGACCUCCCUACUGGUGGUGGUGGGAAUUGGAAGAGAAAGUUCUUUUUUGCUGGGGGUCCUUGGGGUCAGAUUGCACAAAUGGACGGGAAGGAUUAUCGGGUCCCACCCCGUUUCACGGUCCCAGGUUGCCUGCUCGCUUUAGAUGUCUUGUAUCCACAAUUGUUCUUGCUUUAUUGGCUUGUCUCUAACCAAGUGUCUGUUUGCGUUGUAGUUUCUUGGGGUGUUCACUUCCCGCUCCCACCUGACCAGCUCAAACGGGUCGAGGCUGUGCUCGCCAAUUCCUGCUCGAGCCGAGAACUGCUAACUACAUACAACUUGCUCGAGUCUCGCUUGAUACUUCCUGGCCAUAGGAUGGAGGACGCCGUGAUUGGGGCUCUGACCCGAAAACGUUCUCGACCUCCAACCACGAAGAGGGACCAGGGUAAGGAUGCCCCUGCUGCAAAGCGGGCCAGCAUCGUGCAGCAGGUCCCACCCUUGGAGAUUUUACCUCCUGCUCCUGAAAAAGUCGGGGAAGCUAGUGGAGCAGCCACAGAUCCUGCUUCCUCUUCUGUUCCUGUCGGGCCUCGAUCUCGCUUACCUGACAGCCGAGCAGAACACCUGGUCCCCUACCUCAAUGAGUUGUCUAAACUCGUGAGCAAGAAGGACCUGGAGGACUUCGACGGCUGCACCUUGGGUGAGCUGGUGGGGGCCAUGCAGCAUAGCGCUUUCCACCUCAGCUGCAUGACCACCUAUUACAAGGCUAAGGUUGGUCGAUACGAUCGGAAAAUGAAGGGGGAUAUUCAAUCGGCGACGACCAGAGCUGACAUUGCCGAGAAGAAAGCAGGGGAGCUGAACCUCGAGAAUCUGAAGCUGAUAGAGCAAGAAUCACUUGCUCAAGCAAAGACCAUUACCCUCGAGGAGGAGCUUACCAAGGUCAAGGAGGAUCUGCAAAGGCAGAAGGCUAUGUAUGAGGCCCAGCUCGAAUCUCUCCGGGACUCCAACCGAGCUCAGGUCGAGAACUUGGAGAGGGAGGCCGAGAAUCAGUACGACCAGGGACUUCGGCAUUCCUAUCGUUGCAUCAUGGCCGUCCUCGGGAAGCAACACCCUGAUCUGAAGAUGGAUGACCUUGCAGCUGGUGUUGCCCAACAUAUGGACGAGGAGGUGGCCAAGGAAGAUGCUGAAGGGGUAGAGCCGAUCGUGAUCGAGGAGGAAAGCUCUCCUCCUCGUGUAGUCCCUGCUGAUGUUGGCGAGGCGAGCACCCCUCCGGACGCAACUGGCGAUACCCCUCCCGCACCUGAGGAGGUCCAGUCAACCGAUGCUGCUCGACUCACUGAUCUACCAUCUUUUUGAUAUAUUUCCUUUUGUAUUGUAAUGAACAACGUUUAUGAAAUUUAUCCCCUCUGUUACCCAUUAACACAUUAAUAAAGAUGUUUUUUGAUUACUUUCUCGUCUUGUAAUCAUUACUUAUUUUCCGUUUGGGAAUCUGCUCGUCUCGUCUGGUCGAGCAGGUUCUGGUUUGGCAUAUGGUUUUGCAACAUGCCUUAGAAAUUUUUUUUUUUUUUUUUUUUUUUUUGGGGAUUCUGCUUGCCUUCGUGUGGUCGAGCAGGUCCUGGCAUGCUUGGCUUCAGUCUCGCCAUAAAAAGGCUUUGAGACUUGGUGAGGCCUUUGCAUGCCUUCGAAAACUUUUUCGAUGUUUGGGGAUUCUGCUCGACUUCGCUCGGUCGAGCAGACCCUAGCAUGCUUGGCUUCCGUCUCGCCAUAAGCAGGCUUUGAGACUUAGUGAGCCUUUGCAUGCCUUAGGUGGCUUCUUCAAAUCUUGGGAUUCUGCUGCCUUCUCGUGGCCGAGCAGAUCCGGGCAUGCUUGGCUUCUGUCUCGCCAUAAGACAGGCUUUGAGACUUGACGAGCCUUUGCAAGCCUUAGAUGGCUUCUUCAAAUCUUGGGAUUCUGCUGCCUUCUCGUGGCCGAGCAGAUCCGGGCAUGCUUGGCUUCUGUCUCGCCAUAAGACAGGCUUUGAGACUUGACGAGCCUUUGCAUGCCUUAGAUGGCUUCUUCAAAGCUUGGGAUUCUGCUGCCUUCUCGUGGCCGAGCAGAUCCGGGCAUGCUUGGCUUCUGUCUCGCCAUAAGACAGGCUUUGAGACUUGACGAGCCUUUGCAUGCCUUAGAUGGCUUCUUCAAAGCUUGGGAUUCUGCUGCCUUCUCGUGGCCGAGCAGAUCCGGGCAUGCUUGGCUUCUGUCUCGCCAUAAGACAGGCUUUGAGACUUGACGAGCCUUUGCAUGCCUUAGAUGGCUUCUUCAAAGCUUGGGAUUCUGCUGCCUUCUCGUGGCCGAGCAGAUCCGGGCAUGCUUGGCUUCUGUCUCGCCAUAAGACAGGCUUUGAGACUUGACGAGCCUUUGCAUGCCUUAGAAAUUUUCUUGGUUUCAAGCGAAAGGAAUUCCUCGACGUUCCAUUAAUGGCAGGAUUCGACUUACAUGAACUUGUUUGGACAUAAAGCGUGAAAGAUAAACGAUAAUGAACAUGAGCAAAAAUAGCUUUCAGAUGUGAACAAAUCUUACUGGAAGUAUUUUCGGAGGUGUGCUGCGUUCUAUGGGCGUUUCAGCUCGUGGUCGUCCGUGCGAACCAGCUUGUAAGCUCCGGGUCCCGCUACCUGCUUGACUCUAUAUGGCCCUUCCCAAUUCGGUCCCAGCACUCCUUGAGUCGAAUCUUUGGUGCUCUGAUUCACUCUUCUCAGUACCCAGUCUCCGACCUUGAAUUGCCGUAUGUUCACCUUCUGGUUAUAAUACCGAGCAACCCUUGUUGGUAAAGGGCUGAUCGCUCGGCUGCUUGCUCCCUCCUUUCCGUUAGCAGAUCAAGAUUCAAACAUAUCUGCUCGUCGUUCUCCUGCUCGUUGAAAUGACCUGUCCGGUGUGUGGUCGUUCCUAUCUCAGCCGGCACGACCGCUUCAUGUCCGAAAGCCAAAGCGAACGGUGUCUCCCCAGUUGCGGUUUUGUGGGUUGUUCUGUAUGCCCAUAGCACACCUGACAGCUCGUCAACCCACGCACCCUUUUUUGCUCCAAGCCUGGUUUUCAAAAGCCUCUUGAUGGUCUUGUUGGCUGCUUCUACUUGUCCAUUCGAUUGAGGGUGAGCAGGCGAGCAAUACUUCAGCUCUAUCCCGAGGUUCUGGCAGAAAUCCCUGAAGCUGUGAUUAUCGAACUGCCUGCCAUUAUCCGUUACCAAGGCAUAAGGGAUCCCGUAUCGACAGACCAGGUUUCUCCACACGAAGUCUGUUGUUUUCUUCUCUGUGAUCCUGCUAAGGGCUUCUACCUCUAUCCAUUUCGUGAAGUAAUCUAUAGCAACUAUUGCAUGUGUUGCUGCUCCUCGUGCCUUUGGCAAUGGGCCGAUCAGAUCAAUUCCCCAUUGAGCAAAUGGCCAAGGGGAGGCCAUGGAGGUGAGCUUCUCUGGGGGUUGGUUAGAGAAAUUUGCAAAACUCUGGCAGCUUACACAACUCCUGGUCUUCUCUUGCGCAUCCUGGUGCAUUGUCGGCCAGAAAUAUCCUUGCCUAAAAACCUUGUGGGCCAGGGACCUCCCGCCAGAAUGAUUUCCGCAAAUUCCUUCAUGUACUUCUCUCAGUACGUAAUCCGCGUCGUCCUCAUCCAAACACCGAAGGAACGGUAGUGUAUAUCCUCGCCGAUACAGCACCCCAUCAAUCAUCGUGUAUCUCGAGGCCUGGGCUCUAAUCUUGCGAGCUCGCAGCUUAUCUGGUGGUAAUACUCCGUCUCUAAGGUAUGAAACUAUCGGGUCCCUCCACGAGCAUUUUUGUUCUAUCCGCAACACCCCUGAAUUCUGAUCGAUACUUGGGCUGGACUUCACCUCCAGAGGGAUCGACUUUGGCAUUUUUGGGUCGGCUACUGCUGCCAUCUUCGCCAAAAUGUCUGCUCGACUAUUCUGCUCCCUGGGGAUCUGUACCACCUCCACUGCUUCGAACUUCCCCAUCAUCUGCCUGACUAUCUUCAGGUACUGCUCCAUCUUCUCCUCUCUUGGUUGGAAUCUUUCACUGACGUGAUUCGCAACCAGCUGGGAAUCAGUUCUGAUCUUAACUCUGUCAGCUUUCACGGCCUUAGCCAAUUCCAGACCUGCUAUCAAGGCUUCAUACUCUGCCUGGUUAUUUGUGGCUGCAAAUUCCAACUUUACAGCAUAAGAGAUCUCCUCCCCCUCAGGGCCUUCCAGGACAAUCGCUGCUCCUGAACCCCGCUCCCCUGAUGACCCGUCCACAGACAUCUGCCAUACUUGAUUUUCGUCAUUGCCUAUAACUGCAUCCUGUUGAUCUGAGCAUUCUUCGGGCUCUGUGAAUUCAGCUACGAAAUCGGCCAUUGCCUGGGCUUUUAUCGCUGCGCGGGGUUUAUAGUCUAUGUCGAACUCGCUCAGCUCUACAGCCCACUUGACGAGCCGACCAGAGGCAUUUGGCUUGUGCAGAGUUUGACGCAAUGGCUGGUUUGUUAUUACCGAGACCGGGAAUGCUUGAAAAUAUGGCCUCAACUUCCGAGCAGCAACCACAAGGGCAAGUGCCCAUUUCUCCAACGGUGGGUAUCUAGUCUCAGCGUCGAGCAGGGCCUUGCUGGUGUAGUAUAUCGGAUACUGAACUCCUUCUUCCUCUCUCACCAGAACAGAACUGGCGGCCCGAUCCGACACCGCCAAAUACAGAUACAACUUGUCCCCAUCCCUUGGUGUGGACAGCAGCGGAGCUUGCUGCAAGUAUUGCUUCAAGUUCCGGAAGGCUUCCUCGCACUCUGGGGUCCAUUCUGUUUUCUUUCCCCUCCUUAUCACUUGAAAGAAUGGCUGACACUUAUCUGUAGCCUUGGAGAUGAAUCUGCUCAACGCCGCCAACCUCCCUGUGAGGCUCUGCAUCUCCUUCAGGUUACGAGGAGACGUCAUUUGCACAAUCGCCUGGAUUUUCUCGGGAUUUGCUUCAACCCCCCUAUGGCUCACCAUGAAUCCAAGGAAUUUCCCUGACUCGACCCCAAAAGCACACUUUUCCGGGUUGAGCUUCAUCUUAUACUUCCUCAAAAGCUCGAAUGUCUCCUCGAGGUGUCUGACAUGUUCCUUCGGGAUUUUGGACUUGGUGAUCAUGUCGUCCACGUACACCUCCAUGGUUUUCCCAAUCAACGGCUUAAAGACUUUGUUCACCAGCCUUUGAUAGGUGGCCCCAGCAUUUUUGAGACCGAACGGCAUUACCCUGUAACAGAACAAACCUUGGUUAGUGACGAAAGCCGUGCUCUCCUCAUCCUGCUCGUACAUGGGGAUCUGGUUGUAUCCCGAGAACGCGUCCAUGAAGCUGAGCAGACCAUGUCCAGCCGUUGAAUCUACUAGCUGAUCGAUCUUUGGUAGAGGGAAGCUGUCUUUUGGGCACGCCUUAUUGAGGUCUGUGAAAUCCACACACAUCCUCCACUUGCCGUUUGCCUUCUUUACCAACACCACAUUCGAUAUCCACUCAGGGUAACUGACUUCCCGAAUGAACCCUGCUCUCAAGAGCUUCUCCACCUCGCUAUUUAUUGCCUCAUACCUCUCCUGGUUGAAGCACCUGCUCUUCUGCCUUACUGCCCGAGCACCUUUCUUUAUUGCCAGCUUAUGACAUGCUACCUCAGGGUCAAUCCCUGGCAUGUCUUCAUGUGUCCAAGCAAACACAUCAGAAUGAGCCUGUAAGCAUUUCACCAACUCCUGCUUUUGCUCUCCCUCAAGCCUCGACCCGAUUCUGAUCGUCUUUCCCGGAUUCUCUGGUCCCAGGCUUACUGUUUCCAGAUCUUCUACAGGUUCUUGUCUGCCCUUCUUGUUUUCCACUCGGGUAUCGAGGGAUGUUAUCUGCAUUGCUUCCCUUGGUGCCGAGGAGUAGCAGCUUCUUGCGAUCCUCUGGUCUCCUCGUACCACUCCUACUACCCCAUUCACCCGGUACUUCAGAGCGAGAUAGUGGUUGGACAACACCGCUUUGCUCAUCCUUAAAAAUGGCCGACCUAGGAUCAUCUGGUAAGGACCUUGCUCGUCCACUACGACAAAGUCCAGUAUCAUUGUUCUUUCUGUCGGGGAGCUCCCAAUUGUGAUAGGCAGCUCGACCACGCCCAGAGGGACCAGCUUCCCUCCUCCGAACCCCUUCAAGGAGGUAUUGGUGUAUUCCAACUUCCGGUCGGCUAUUCCCAUCUCUUCCAGGGUUGACUUAAAUAACACAUCAACUGAGCUCCCUGUAUCAAUCAGUAUCCGGUCAAACUUCUUGCUAGCGACAGUAGCCUUGAUGACUAAAGCAUCCUCGUGGGGGUAUAGAAUCCCUUCCUCAUCCUCAUCCGUCCACAUGAUUGGCACUUGCCUGACCCUUGCUCGUUUGGCUGCUGGGGUGUUGAAGAGUACCUCUUUACUGGUCAUGGCGUACCUAGCAUAAUUUUUUCUCGAUCUGUUGGAAUCUCCGGCCAAUGUUGGGCCCCCAGCUAUCACCCUUACUGCGGGCUGCUCGCGCCUCAAGUUUCUACCACUCUGCUCCCCUUCACCUGUUGUGGCCACCAUCGGGAAAGUCCCAUCCAUAAACUCGUCCAGGUACCGAUUUCUCACCAAAUCUUCGACCUGGAUCUUGAGAUCUCUACACUCUGCCGUGGUAUGGCCAUGGGUGCCAUGGAACUUACAAUAACGUCCUCUAUCCCUCCUGUUGGGUAGCUUUGUUAUUGGUGUAGGGAGGUGCAGCAGACCUCGAUCCUUUAUGGCCUCGUACACCUCAUCCAGGGACAUCUUCAAGGAAGUGUACCGCCCAUAGUCCGGGUCCUGGUCGAUCAGGUGCACUGCUCUUUCUCUGUUUGCCCCGCUUUGAGUUGGGGGCGGUGGAAGUAAUUCUGGUCUGCUCGCUCUGCUACCAUGUUGGUGAGGACCACCAGAUGCCGACUCAUGCCUUCUCCAAGGCUCCCUAGCUGGGGAACGAGGAGGUUGCGCCCCGCUGCGCUGAUACUGUGGUGGCCUCUGAUGAGGCUGGUAAGCAGUUACCCGACCUCCUGCUCUACUACCGGAGGCCUGGUGGUCUCUCCUCCUGAUCGGCCCAUUCCCCGGUAAUGCUUUCUUCUCUUUCCUCCCCAACCCUUCCAACUGGUCUGUCUUAAUUCGUGCAGCCUUCUCCUCUUCAAUCUCGAUGUCUCUCUUAGCCUGUUCGUAUGCGGCUGCAUACGUUUGAAUAGCUGGGCUUCUCAAAUUGUACCACAGCCUUCCUAUCUUCACCCAUUCUUUCAAUCCCCUUAACGCCUGAGGGUGGUUGAAGGCUCCCAAGUCGAGGACAGCCCGAUGAAACCUCUUGAUGAAUUCCCGAAGGGUUUCUUGCUCCCCCUGUUUCAUGCUUUUCAGCUCCAUCAUGUCGUCUUCCGGUGCCAUUGCCCCACUAAAUUGCUCCGCGAAUUCCUGGCACAUCUGCUCGAAGGUUUUAAUGCUGCCCCGAGGAAGUUUCCUGUACCAUUCUCGUGCACGUCCCUCAAGGGAUAGUGGGAACACCCUGCACCUUUGGGAUUGAGAUAAUCCUUGUACCCCAGUUAUGUCGUUGAAGCGCUCUAUAUGCACCAGCGGAUCAGUUCUUCCCGAGUAUCUGAGGUCUGGGAGGCAGAAAUCUCUCGGAAUAACUGCCCUCAUGAUUUCUGCUGCGAGCGGCGAUUCUCCGUCCAGCAUUAUCCUCCAACCAGGGGCUCUGUUCCUUCCUUGCAUGUCGUCAAUUAUCUGCGCUAGUCUGCGCACUUCCCCCUCCAGCUGCAACGCACGACCAGGGUCACGUGCUGCAACUUGAUCCCACUCUUGCUCUACAUCAUGCAAGUGUUGCCUCAACUCUGUUUCCUCUGCAUUCACCACCCCGUCGCCCUCGUCACCAGUCUGUCUUGCUGGGGACUGCUCUCUUUCUCUAUGAAAUUCUCCCUGCAGAGGUACGUUACCUCUCUCACCACCAAAUCUCCCGGGGGUUUGACUUCUCCCCGCACUAUCGGGACCUGGUGUACCUCCACUGCCUCUCACCCUUCCCUCUUGGGUUACCCUUCGCUCGCUCCGCAGCUCAUGCAGGAUGGUUGUCAAGGUCUCCAUCUGCUUUUCCAUCCGUUCCAUCCGGUCGAACAUGACUUUUUCCCGUGCUUCGCUGACUAUCUCCCUCAGCGUCACGGAAUCGUUAAGCCUCCUAUCACCCCCUUGUGCACUACUUCCUCCUGUCUCCAUUGCUUUUCGCUUGCUUCACCCCUCUUCUUGCUAUCAACAGAAGCUUUUUGCUCUGGUCCCCACAGACGGCGCCAAAAUGUUGAUGCAGGAUUCCGGUUCUUCUCGUUCUACGACCAGGAUCUCUGCUCGAUCAACUUCGUCAUGACCAGGAGGUCUCCUCGCAAGACUUUUUCUCCAGAGGUUCCUGCGCACACAGACAAGUCAGAGUACGCCGGUUGUUUUCCCGGCGCAAACCCUCCGACGCUCAAGUCAGAUAUGAAGGUUCGGGGAACGCUUGCCACAGAUCUUAUGGCUUUUUCGUGGUUUUCUCUUCUUUUUAAUUCCUUUUCUAAUGAGAAAAAUGCCAACCCUUUUACCUCGUCGGCUACCUUUUUAUAGGCUUCCUCUGAAUCCCAGUUUUCCGCUCUUUUCGAGACGGUAUUGGACUCUGACUGCUGCGUUAUGGGCAAACGUGGGAUCUUGCGUGUUACGCCACCGUUCUGGGGAAAGCGUGGCUGUCGUGGUUCUGUGAGAUCUUGCGUGUUACGCCAUGGUUCUGGGAAAAGCGCGGCAGUCGUGGUUCUGUGAGAUCUUGCGUGUUACGCCACGGUUCUGGGGAAAGCGUGGCUGUCGUGCCUAGGUUCUCGGGCUGGAGAGCAUGUCUCGUCAACUGCCGUCGACCGGGUCUCCUCGCCUCUCGACCUCUAGCCGGAAUGACCUUAUGCCUCUUACAGGAAAUUGGCCUCGCGGAUGACGUGCUCGUGGACGAGCAGGAUAUUUCUGCUCCUGUUCCCCCGCGUACCAGGCUUUUACGGGACACACCGGUUCGCAGAACUCUGCCAUCAGAUAUCUGCUCACCGUGCCUGGUCUCGUCGACGUAUUUCUCCCAAACACAUCCUUGUUCCGCAUGGAUAUUCUUGAGAUUUCUUUGACAAAACCAUCAAAAAGCGUGGAGACCGAGUAUUAAUCUGACUAAUCAUUUGAUUUUACUAAGAAAAUCGGACUUUAUUAUCUUUAUAUCUGGGAGAAAUAAUGAUAAUUGAAAAAAAAAAUUAAAAAGGUAGUUACCGUUCGCAUACAACAAUAGAUUGUCUGUAUGAAUGGAAUAUACAAGUUCUGCAUCCAACCACAAGCUAAUUAAUCAGGCACAAAAUCUUCAUCAUGAAGCGUGCAAUCUUCUUUCCUGUAGAAUUCAAAUACAAUGAGAAGACAAUCUGAUAAAUUAAUUGGACAGGAAAAGAUGGGAAUAAGAGAGAUGACAAUUGGGUAUUAACAUCCACAAGGAAAUGGAAGUCAAUUACGUAUAAGUCUGUUUUUGGAAAGGGAAGCUACAAAUGCUAAAAGAUUGACUGUUAAAUUAAAAUAGAGAUAUAUAUUUCCCUAUAUUAAUUAACAAGAUCUAAUUUAGUGAAACUUAUGCCAAUUAGAUGUCUUUUGACAUAUGGCCAGAAAGUUAUUUAUUAAUAUUAAUUUUUUUUCUUUUCUUAUUAUAGAUUCACGCACACUUGAAAGUUUGAACCCAAGAUUUGAGCUUUAGAAAGACUACUCCUUACCACAUGAACUUUAUUAAUAGUAAUUUUUUUUUUUGGAAAAGUAUUGAACAAAAAAAUUAUUUAGAGAUUAUUGUUUUAGCCAUUUGCCCUUUUUCUGAAUACAUAAAAAGAUAAAGAAUCAUUCCUCCAUAUAACGAUUUCACUACAAUAUAAUUGCUUACAUAACAUAUUAUACAAUGAUAUAUAAUCGUACAUUAUGAUGUAUGUGGAGUUACAUCAUGAUGUAUGUGGAGUUAGCAGAAGUGAGAGGUUGAUGAACUAAGAAGACAUAAAUUUCUUACCGAGUACUAACCCAAGCAUAAUUUAUUUAUGUUAUACUAUUUUAGUCAUACCUACCCAAUAUUUAAACCCUUUAUUCAACACUUCCCCACACCUAUAAAAGCCUCGUAACACAUGAAAAUCAAUGCACAAACACACUUGAUCCCUUUUCUUUUGAUUCUUAUUAUUACAACACAAUAUAUCUUUCAUCUCUUAAAGUCUUAUUCGCCAAUAGUUCAACCAUGGCGUCUUUCUCUCUCCCAUCCGUUAUGAUACCACUUUUGCUAAUCACUUUAUCGUCAAUGAGCUAUAACAUCGAUUUGGUCGAUGCUCGCCAUCUUUUGGAGGCAGCAGUUCCAGAAAUACCCAAGCCUGGAUUGCCUAAGUUUGAACUACCACCGUUACCAAAACUUGAACUACCACAAAUUCCAAAGCCUGAAUUGCCUGAGCUACCAAAAAAACCUAAAGCACCUGAGAUUUUAAAGCCCGAGCUACCAAAAAAUCCUGAAUUGCCGGAGAUUCCGAAACUUGAGGUGCCAAAAGGACUUGAAGUGCCUGAAUUGCCUUCUUUCCCUCAUCUACCUGAGCUUCCUAAGCCCACAUUUCCCGCCAUCCCGAGUCUUCCCAAGGAGAUCCCAACUCACUCAACCUCCAAUCCAUAAAUUUCACGUCUUCAAAUGCUUUCAUGAGCUUCAUCUGGCUCUCUGUAGAAGUAUAUUAAUAACUUAUAUUUGUGGGUUCUUCUUUUGAGACCUUCCUAUUUGUCUGGUUUCCUUUUAAUUUGAGGAUUUUUCAUUAUUACUUUUAAGUCUGGGAUACGACUCGUGAUGAGCUGGGCUCCGUAGGAGUACUGUACUACUGUUGUAUUCAUGUAUGGAUUGAUAUAUACUAUAUUUUAUGUUUAAUUAUUAAUUUGAUUUGAGGCUUUUGAUUUUAUAUAUAUUUAUGCUUCAUCACGUACGUACAUUACAUUUAAUCUUCAUUUUGAUGUCAGUUGAAAAUAUAUAGCAAAAUAAAAGAUACAUUUCAUAUCUUUGCAUGUUCAACGUUCCACCAUAUUGAAGAUUGAAAGCCGUAAACAAACAUCAGCAGCACAGAAACAUUGAUAUAUAUACGUAAAAUGAACUAUUACCCUGUCACCUUUUUAAAUUUUAAAAUGAUGAUGAUGAUGAUGAUAAAUAAUAAAUAAACAAAAUCUAGUCCACUGAUUUUAGUUAAACCAUCACUACAAAAAAAAAAAGUAUAUUGCCGACCAUUUAUUUCCGAGGGACCUCAAAAUCCAUAGGUGAAUAGCCUGUUUCCGAGGGAUUUUAAGGUUCCUUCGGUAAUUAGAGAAAAAUGCACAUGUGAUUACCUACAGUAGCAUUUUCCUUGGAAAAAAUAACAAAAAUCCCUAGGUGGAGUGAAUUGUUUUUGGUGGGUAUUUCAGUGCCAAAAUUUGGAGCGACGGCAUCGUUGAGCCCUAGGAAAUAGGAAUUUUUUUUAAACAAUUUUUUUUUUGUUUUAAUAUCAGGCGACGGUACCCAUAUCAUGUUUUUAGCUCACCACUUUGUGAUUUUUUUUCUCCUCAUCCAUAAAUAAACAUUUUGCAAUUUUUUGAGGAAAUCGUCUCCAAAUUGAGUCAAAGAAAGCGAAUAUUAGAAAUGAAAUUCUUAACCUCUAUCAAAAUCCUUACUUUGCUCCGAUGAGAAGACACGUGCAUAUAUUGACGUUCAUCAGGAAAUAAAAAUCAAUGAUAAUCACUAAAUUACAAGUUGCUCUAGAAAGAGAAGAUGUUCAUAGAAGAUUGAAUCAUAAAAUAAAGGAGUAAUAAUUAACAAAAUUUAAUGUAUAUUUGGAACCAAUGCUCCUUCAUCAUUAUGCUGAUAUAAGUAGUAUUCAUUAUUACAAUAUUUUAACUAUAAAAUUUAGCAAACCAAGGGCUAAUCAAAUGGUUUCAAGCAAUAGCUGGCCACUUGAGUUUGAAUCUUAGGUGAGAUAAGGGGUUAAAAAGUAUUUUUAAGUUUUAAUCUCUUCCCCUAUGUUUUAAAAAUACAAAAAAAAAAAUUAUAAAAAAUUAGUGAAACUUUAAGUCAACUAGAUCUCAAGUGACAUAUAUGAACAGAAAGUUGUUUAUAUUAAAUUUUUUAGACAUUAGAAAAAUACUGAAUAAAAUCAUUUGGAGACCUUUGUCUAGGUGCAUGUUUAGCCAUAUGCCUUAAUCUUUAUUUAUAUGAAAAGAAAAUCCAUCGUUCCUCGAUAAUUCAUUACAAUACAAGUGCUUAUAAUAUAUUUGAUUAUACAUAACAAUAAUCGUUAUGAUGUACUUGGAAUUAACACAGUGAGAGGCUGAUGAACUAACAAGAAAUUUAUUUCUUACCAAAUACCAACUCAAUCUUUAAUUUAUUAAUUUAUUUAUAUUUUGGUCAUAGCUUCCCAAGCUUGAAACUCUCUAUUCUACACUUCCACAUCUAUGAGAUACUUAUAACAAAUGAAAAUCAAUGCACAAGCGCACUUGGAUUGCUUUUGACUUUUGAGAGUUUUAAAAGUAAUUUUAAAAAGUUAAAAGUUAAUUUUAGUAUUUGAUUAAGUUUUUUAAAAAUCACAUUUGUUAAAAUUAUUGCAUCUUACAGUAGAUUUUGAAAAAUAAGGGAGGAGUAACUUUUCAAAAUUUAAUUUUAAGAUCACUUUUAUACUUAGUAUGAUUUCAUGUAUAUCCUCAUAUAUAUAAUAAAAAUAUAAAAUUAUCUUUAUUAAUUAGGAAAUAAAAUCAUUUACUUUAAGAGAUUAUUAUCAUCAAACAAAAUAAAAUUAAUAAUAUAAUAUAUUUAUUCUAGUUAUCAAUUAUUAUAUAUACACAACUAAAAAAAUUUUAUAUACGUGUUUAUAAAUGUGUAAAAAAAAAAUUACUCAACAUUAUUUCUAAUUUAGUUAUUUAUAUUGUUAUAACAAUUUAGUAAUAAGAAUUAUUAAAUAUAAAUGAUUGCUUUUAGAACUCAUAGCAUUUUCAAAAAGGACCAGGAUCCGGUGCUCAACUGAGCUUGUGUUGAGUAUUGGAUCAACGGUCAGCAAUUUCUUGGAGUUUACAUAGAGCAAUUGCUGACCAUUGCUGAGCACCGGAUCUGUUUUCUUUUAAAAAUAAAUUUUACCAAAUGUUUAACUAAUUUUUUUCAUAGUUGUUUAUUUAUACAACAUAACUUGCAGUAAUUAUUUUAAAACUUAUAGCAUUAUCCUUUUCUGUUCAUUGUUAUUACAACUAAAUAUAUCCUUCGUCUCUCUUAAAGCCUUAUUUUUCCAACAGUUAUUAACCAUGACAUCUCUUUCUUUUGCAUCCAUGUCUCUUUGGUAUCAGAAAAAGGGGGGAGGCAGGUCAAAUUAUCUGAGUUUAUUUGAAAAAUAUUUAAUUUUAUCUACGCGUCAUUCCGGUUAUGAUCCCGGCAUAUUAAACCGAUUAUGGCGGGUGAGACCGUUGGUCAGUAACAGAGUAGGAAGGAAUUUUUUUUUUUAAAAAAAAGGUAUUCUAAUAAUGAACUCUUUAUUUAUAUCAGUGUCUACCUUCAAUUCUUGUACUAGAGAUGGAAUCAAGAACGAAGGAGAAAUUAACUUCUAAGUAGAAAAUGACAAAAAUUGUGACAGUACUUUGGCUUUAAGCAAUUGGGGUACAUGGUGAAUUCUAAAAAUUUCAACAAACAAAAUUGACAAAGAUUGUAGAUUAAAUUUCUUAAAAACUGAUAAUAUUAUCAAAACUAAAGAAAGAACUGUUGGAAUAAAAAAAUGAAUUUCAAACAGGAAAAAUUCUUUAUUUUGAAACAAUUAAAAAAUACAAAAAAGAUUAAUUACCUUCAUAUUGAAUUGGUCCAAGUUGGAUUUAAACCAUUGAGUUGUGAAGGCUUAGAUACUCCUUUAUUUGCAUGUCUAAGAGAUUGUAGGUUUCUAGAUUUUAGAGAUUCACUCUUAGGAACAAUUGAAACAACUCUUUGCAACGGACCAAUUUAUUUUGGUUGUUAUCCAAAUUUUACAUUACAGUUUUAUUAAAAUGACAAAAAUAUUGGAUGUCUUAACUUUGAAUAAUAAAAACAUACAAUUACAAGAUCAAACCGGGAACACUUCCUGUAGCUUUAAUGCAUAAAAUUCUUUAGAAACCAAUGUUCUCUGCUUUUAGCACAAAAGCUUUAAAACACAACAAAAAGGAGAAACUUUAUUAAAUGGGAUCAAAUUACAAUUUGUGAGAAUGGACAAUGGAAAAGUUACACAAUUUUAAAAAGUACAAAACACAAAACUAAAAGAAAUAGAAACAAAUAUUGAUAGAAGUGUAUUAAUAUCAUUUGCUUGGCAAAGAGCAUUACAAUUUGAAAACUUGAGCUUAGGAUCCUCUGAUCUCAAAUUUGGAUCAUCCUCAAGAGAGCCAGCUAGAGCCUAUUUUUCUUCAAUUUCUAGACCUCCAAAAAGAUCAGAUCUCUGUUAAAAUAUCUAGUGAUGAUGAUGAUGCAGAGCAUGAUAAGCUCGGUGGUUCAGUCAUCAGCUUAGUGUAGCUUAAUAUCUAGUGAUGAUGAUGAUGAUGAUGUAGAGCAUGAUAAGGUCGGUGGUUCAGUCAGCAGCUUAGUAAAUUCGUUAUGCUGACUUGGCAAGUUAGUUACAAAUAGAUGUGUAAAGUGCGUGUGUGUGAGUGAAGUUUCUAGAUGGAUUUAGUAACCGAUUCAUGUAUGUUAUCGUGUAUAUAAAUAUCAGUGGUUAGAAUCAUUUUUGUAAGUUUUCAGUUAAUGAAUAAGAGCUGAUUUGAUUUUCUAUCUCUUCCCUCAUUUUCUGGUUCAUUUUCUUAGUAACCAAACAAAGCUUUACUUCAUUUUAAACAAUCUCCGAUGAGUAGAUAAUUCUUCAAACAGAUCAAAACCAUAUUAUUCUAUCAACGAACCUGAACCUGUCCAAAAUAAAAGUACAGAAACUGAGUCCCCAGGAAUGUCACUACAUAUUCAUCCAUAACUGAUCAUAAUGAAUUAGAUGCUUUAGAAAAAAAAAAUGGAAUCAAUAAAGAAUUUUUGAGAAAAGAUUUUUAAUCAAAAACAAAUGAAAAAAUAUAAAAUUUGUUUCUUGACAAGGAAAAGAAAAGCUAGAAAUUCAAAAACAAUAUUAUGAAUUCAUGAACAAGAAUAAAGCUCAAGUAAUAUUUUUCCAAUGCUUUGGAUAUUAUGCAAAUAUUUACAAUAAUAAAUAUCGAUUUCCCAAACAAUAAAUAUGGCAAGUGAGGUAAAAAUUUGGCAAACUUCUACUGGGGAUACUACUGAAUCAACACAUUUAAAAUUUAGUAUAAAAACACUUAAAUUGUAGCCUCACCUUUCAAAUAAAAAACGACAAAAAAGAACGAUAAAGAUAUAAAAAAAAAUUCUUGACCAAAAACAAAUAUAUAGUCAAUAUUUGGAAACCAUAAAAACUCACUCCACAAAUUUUAAAUAAAAACUUGGAAAGAGCAUAUGUGAAAUCCUUAUUCAAACCCCAUGAAAUUCCAAGAAGUAUUAAAAAAAGAAUUAGCUAAAAAAGAAUUUAUAGAAGAAAUCGAUAAAACACUUGUCAUUCUAAAAUCACAACUCAAACCUGAUACACCAAUAUUACUUCUACAUCAAAAAGACUUUCUACAUCAAAAGAAGUCAAUGCUUUAAACCAUUCAAGUGAUAGCCAAUCUAAAAGUUAUAGUGACAAUGAUUCUGAAAUUUUAAAAUUUAUACUUAAUAAGAUCAGUUGUGAUGAAAUGGAAAGGUUUAAAGUUGAAUGAUAGAAGAAACAUAGGUUUUUAAAUAAUGAAGUUUGUUGAAUAAGUUUGGAUUAACAAAAUUAGAGUUUUGUCCCUUUUAUAUAGUAACUCUAAAUAUUACAAAUUUACCAAAAUAGACAAAUGUGAAAUAUUAUUUUAUAAUAAAAUUUUCCUCAUCUAAAUAAGAAAAGCAAAACAAACUGCAUCCAAAUUCGAUAUCUAAAAAAAUCUUAAAAGAAAUAGGAAAAAUAAGAAAAUAUCUUAAAAUUAAAAAACGACUAGGAAAGAAGUGAAAUUUCCAACUUGACCAUGGGCAGAAAAGUAUAAACAAUUAUGGGUCUGGUUUCUCUCGUCACAAGUUUUGAAACAAUAUAAUGCCCAAAACGGACACUUGUAGCCCAAGUUAUGACCUUUGGAAGUAACCCCACCGUUCCACGCAUCCAACCUACAUCAAUCUCCCUCACUUGGAGAAAGACUUCUCCUCGAGUUUGGUUCAUACAACUCCUCAUCAUCUGGAUAAUAUUCAAAUAGAUCAGCUACACUGAAAGUAUGAGAGAUGUUCUAGUUUUUUGGCAGCUGAAGUACGUAAACAUUAUCAUUAAUCUUCCUUGACAAUAAAAAAGGGCCAUAUUUUUGCUUCUCACCACUGUUGAGCCAUCACCAAAUGACCUUCCUGAAAUAUUUUCUUCUAUUGGUGCUUGUUUGCAUCAACUUUAUACCUAGCAUUGAUAGCCCCCAAGUGAGCUCACUCCAUAGCAUGAAUCUACAACUCCUUUUUUGCCACAUUUGUUGCUUUACUUCCUUCCCCAACUACUAGUGGGAUAAAUACUAAAUCACAAACAUGGCGUGGAGGGCAAGUGUAGACAAUCUCAAAAGGGUCUUGCAAUGGAUCGAUUCACCAUACUGUUGUAAGCAAAUUCAACCUGAGGCAUUGUAGCUUCCCAGUUUCAUUGCUUGUCAUCACAAACACAGUGCAACAUGUUGCCUAAAGUGCCAUUAAUCAUAUCUAUUUGUCCAUUUGUCUAUGGAUAAAAAAUACUACUAAACUACAAUUGUAUGCUAAACUUAUCCUAGAGAUGAUGCCAAAACUUGGUAACGAGCUUUCAAAUCCUUGUCAGAAGUUAUAGUUUUUAAAACACCAUGCAAACAUACUACCUCCCAAAAGAACAAAUGCAACUAAGGCAGCAUUUUUAGUCUUUGUACAAGCUUCCCAGUUCCAUUGCGUGUCACCAUAAACAUAGUGCAACAUGUUGCCCAAAAUGUGAUUAAUCACCUCUAUUUGUCCAUUUGUCCAUUUGUCUAUGGAUAAAAAAGAACACUACUAAACUACAACUGUCUGCCAAACUUAUCCUAGAGAUGAUGCUAAAUCUUGUUAAUGAGCUUCACAUCCUUGACAGAAGUUAUAGUUUUUAGAACACCAUGCAAAUAUACUACCUCCCAAAAGAACAAAUGUGACUAGGGUAGCAUCUUCAGUCUUUUCACAAGCAAUAGAAUGAGCCAUCUCCGAAAAUAUAUUGAUCACAACCAGUAUAGAAUCUUAAACAGUCUUUAUAUGAGGCAAGCCCAACAUGAAAUCCAUGUAUAACCCCAUGUUCUACGCAUGUCCUUUGCCUUUUUGGCAAAUUCGACAUCUCUGCACAAUAUUGUGGACAUUCUAUUUAAUUACGGCCAAUGAUAUCGCUUAUCCACAAGUGCCGUGGUUUUAUCUCGACCAAUAUAGCCGCCCAGUUCUCCUUAUACAACAUGCAGAUAAUUUGCUCCUAAGUAACUUUAAGGCACAAAUAUUUUAUUAGCCUAGAAUAUAUAUAUCCAUCUUGAACGAGAAAAUCUUCUGCGUUUUAAUGAUUAACGCAUCAAUUCCAAAUAUUCUCAAAGUCUUCAUCCUCAGUGUACAACUACUUCAAGCAUUCAAAACUAGUAACUUCAUUAACUAGAGUUACAAGAAAAGUUGCUCGUCUGCUAAGUGCGUCUGUUACUUUAUUCUGAUACCCAGAUUUAUGUUUCACAGCGAAAGUGAACUUCUACUUAUAACUCACCCAUCUCGCAUAUAUCUUGCUCAUAUUAUGCUAGCUGUUAAAGUACUUCAAGGCUUGAUAGUCAAUGUAAAACAUGAACUCUUUCAUAAUCAAGCAAUGAUCAUAUGACUUCAAAGUCCUAAGAAUGGCAUAAAACUAUUAGUCGUAAGUAGAUCACUUCUAUUAUGCUUCAGUUAACUUCUCACUUAUAUAUUCAGUUGAUUGUCCUUCUUGAGAAAAAAAUAGCCUCAAUUCAUUUGUUAAAACAUCAUACUUGACCUUAAAUAACUUGUUGAAGUUUGGCAAGGCCAAUAUAAGAGCAGUACACAACUUUUACUUUAGUAAAACAAAACUCGCUUCUUACUCUUCUUCUUACUCGAACUUUCUUUUCUUUAAGCAUUCUAUAAUAGGUGCAGCUAUAGUGCUAAAACCACAAAUGAAUCUCUUAUAAAAUAUUGCCAGCCCAUGAAAGCUUCUAACUUCACCCACUUCCUUGGGCAUAGGCCAUUCUUUCAAUGGCUUAUAUCUUUGACUCAAUAGCUUGAAUCUCAUCUGCACUAAUUAUAAAUCCCAAAACUCCACAUUAUUAUAUAGAAAACUAAACUUCCUCACAUUAAUGUUAAGCUUAUUUCGAUGCAACACCUCCAUAUAUAACCAUUCUCAAAUUCUUUAAUGGGCCACCACAUUAAUAGAAUAAACCAGGAUAUUUUCAAAAUACACCACAAUAAAUUUGUAGUAAAAUGGUUUAAGAACCUAGUCCAUUAAGUACAUAAAAAUAAUAAAGCAUUUGACAACACGAAUGGCAUCAAAAACUACUAAUGGAACCUUUCUUUUAUGUUAAACACUUUUUUUCCACUUAUCUCUAGGCCUAAUUCUAAUUUGAUGGUAGCCACAACAUAAAUCUAUCUUCAAGAAAACCCAAGCAUCAUCCAAUUGAUCUAACAAAUCUCGAAAGGUUAGAAUGGGAAAUCGAUACUUCAAUGUAAUAUAUUUAAUUCGCCUGUUGUCUACACAUAUAUGCAAACUCUUAUCCUUUUUUGGCACCAACGAAGCUGGUAUAGUACAUGGACUCAUGCUCUUCCGAAUGAACCCUUUCUGCAAUAACUAAUUAACCUGCCCUUUGUACGAUCGCAUGCUCAUGAGGACUCAUAUAAUAGUGGGGCAAGUUAGGCAAACUCAAACUAAGAACUAAGUCUAUAUGAUGUUGUAUAUCUUGUAAAGACGGAAGCCCAUUUGGCAUCUCUGAUGGUAUAACAUCAGCGAACUCAGCUAACAAUGACUUCACUUUUUUAGUAACAGUCUUCACCUCAAAUUCUUCUUCCUUAUUCAGCUUCUUGCAACCAUCACAAUCAUCUUCUAAGUGACCCUUGACAAUAGUCAGAAAGUUCUUUCCUUUAGUCUUAGAAUUCUUGUUUUUGUUUGUUAAAGGCACCAAAUGAACCUUUUUUCUAUUCCAUCAAAACUCAUACACAUUGUCCUUUCCUCUAUGAACUAAUCAACAUCAAACUGCUAAGGUCUGCCCAACAACAAAUGGCACGCAUCCAUAUCCACCACGCUACACACCACAUCACUUUUAUAAAUCUUCCCAAUAGAGAAAGGAACACAACAUACUUCUGUUAUAUUUAUGUCCUUUACUUUAUCUACCUUAUCCUGUAAGAUGCUAAAUGUUUUUUUUGUUGAAAAUCCCAUCAUGUCAACUAGCGCCUUCAAAAUUAUAUUCUCGCUACUACCACUAUCAAUUAUCAUAUUAUACACCUUAUUGUUGAUAGUGCCACAUGUUCUAAAAAUCUUAUUGCUCUGAUUAUCCUCUUUAAGGCUAAUAAAAUUUUCUGCACAAUGCAAUUUGACAUCUCUCCUUCAUCUGCCUCUAACUCUAAAGCUUCUUCAUCAUCACCAUCCUUAACACCAUUAACCUCUGUCUCACUAACUUUAGCCUCUACUAAAUUCAAUUUUUUAGGACAAUAAUCAAUUGAUCGAUAGCAAGGCUCCCCACACUUCAAACACUUAUUCAGCAUAGGCUUUGCUCCUUUGCUAAUGUGGUCGUAUAACGAUGAUAAGUGAACUUGCUCUGAUACCAACUGCCAAAACUAAAACAUUUAAAGUUGAAUGAUAGAAGAAACACAAGUUUCUGAAUAAUAAAGUUUUUUGAAUAUGUCUGAAUUAACAAAACUAUGGUUUUGGCCCCUUUAUAUAAUAACCCUAAUUAUAGUGAAUUUACCAAAAUAGGCAAAUAUGAAAUAUUAUUUUAUAAUAAAAUUAUCCUAAUCUAAAUAAGAAAAGAAAAACAAAUGGAGCCCAAAUUCGAUAUCUUAAAAAAAUAUAUAAACACCUAAAAGGAACAUGAAAAUUAGAGAAAUAUCUUAAAACUACAAAAUGAUCAAGAAAGAAGUAGAAUUUCUACCUUGAUCAUGGGAAAAAAUAAUACAGCGUCUUGGUUUGGUUCAUUACGUCACAAUCUUCAAAAUGAUAUAUUAUAUACCUAAAACGAACACUUGUAGUCCAAGUUAUGAUCCCUCGAAAGUACCCUGCUCAUUCCAGGCAAUCAAUCUACAUCAAAUUGGAAGCCACACAAAAACUUUAUUUCCAAGAGCUUUAGCUCUAGAUAUAACAAUAGAAGCAAAAACUUUAUUUCCAAGAGCUUCAGCUCUAGAUAUAAUAAUAGAAGCAAAGCCUCAAGUUUUCUAAAAUAAAUAUGGUACAAAUUCAAUUUAUUAGUGGAAAUGUAGAAUAUUCUCAAUGUGUUACAAUAAAUGGCAAUGGUUAACAAUGUUUUCAAAACAAAACUUGGUUAAUCUAAUCAUGCCAUUACUCAGUUAUUAGUAGUUGGGUUUAAUGGCUAAUUAAAAGGUUGGUAGGAUUAUACCUUAACUCAAAAUGAUAAACAUAAAAUUUUAUAGUCAAUUAAGAAAGAUUCAACUGAUACAACAACAAAAGAUUACUAUAAUAAAGAAAUUCAAGAUGCUCUUAAUUCUUUAAUUUUCUCAGUAAUCAGAUUUAAUUUUAGAAAUCCCUUCUACAACUAAAGACAAAAAUGAUGAGCAAUUAACAAAUUUAAGAUGUAAAACCCUUCAAGAUUUUAGGUGGUAUAAAGACACAUUACUUGUAGGAGCAAUUUCAAGAUCUAACAAUAAUCAUCCAACAAUAAUCAUCCAAUUUGGAAACAAAAAUUUAUAGUUAGGUGGCGUUUGUUUUUUUAUCUGAAAUCUGAAUAAACCUGAAUUAAUCUGAAUUAUGAAUAGAUUUGAAUAUCUGAAUCUGAAUAUUAUGUUUAUUUUUUUGUCUGAAUCUCAGAAAAUAAGUAUUAAGUUGUUUGUUUUUUUCAACUUAAAAAGCUGAAAAUAUGUACUUUUACAUUUGUAUCCUUAUUAAAUUUGAAUGUCAAAUAAAUAAUAAAUUAAAUACCACAAUAUUUUAACAUUUAUAAGUAAAACUAUAUUCAAGUGAAUAUAUAAAAUACCAUAAAUUUUAAAUUUUAUCGUAUAUAAUAUAAGAAAGAAAAAAUAGGGAAAUUUUUAUGUGGGGUAAAUGUCUAUGGGUGAGUUUUGGGAUAGAUAUGAAAAAUAAAUUAUAAAGCAGGGAUAUUUUUUAGAUUAGCAAGUAAUUGACUUAAUUCAGAUUUCUCCAUUAAGUAAAAAGCCAAAAAAAUUAGCUUAUUUUAUUAAGUCAAAAUUAUCUAAAAAGUCUCAUUAAGUUAUAAAAACAAACACCUCUAAUUAACUUAAAUAAUUAAGUUAAGUCACUUUAAGUCAUUAAGUUAAAAAACAAACGCCACCUUAGACUACCUGGACUUCAAGCUGAUAAAGUUAGAGACAAAUUUAAAAAAUAUAUGGAGGAGAAAUUUCAUACAAAAAACUUACGUAUGGAGAAUUAAAUAGAUUUAUUCAAAAAGAAGGAAUGAAAAUUCAUAAAGCUAUGAAAUUACAGAAACAAAUAAAAAGGGAACAAUUACAUUCUCAGUAUUGUAAACUUAUAUUAACAAAAAAGAAAAAGAAAAAUUAUCACAGAUGUGAUGGAAAUUGUGCUAGGAAAUCAUAUCCUAGAAGACGAAAAUUUUACAAAAAAAAAAAAUCAAAUUUUCACAGCAGACCCAAGAAAACCAAAUAUAUCAAAAGAGAUAAAAAGUCCAAAGAAAAUACUAUGAAAAAUGGAACAAAAAAUUAUACUAGUUUUAAAUGCAGAAAACUUAGACACAUAGCAAAAUAUUGUCCAAUAAAAAGAAGAUAAACCAAUUAAAAUUUGAUCAAGAAAUUAUUUUUAAAAAAUUGAACUUCUGUUAACUGAAACCUCUUCUGAAUUUGAAGCACAAUAUGAUAGUUUUGUGAAGGAACUACAAAUAGAUGAAAUUGCUAAAACUCAGAUAGCAAGAAAGAAAUUAAUGUCUUAACAAGAGAUCAAUAUUACUGUAUGUAACAUAUAAUGUAACAUAACAUGACUGUAGAUUAGCUAAUUUGUACUGUAUUCUACACUGCCAUACCAGCGUUUGGCACCAUCAUUUGGGUGUAUUAGGCUGGUCAAUUGUUCAGCCCAGUACACCCAAAUCAGACCCGCCCUCCUCUCAGGUCUGGGCUGGUCUGCUCACUUUUUUUUAAAAAAAAAAAAAAUUGAUUUAUUAAUUAAACUUAACAUUUAAAUUUAUUUGAAUUAAUAUUAAAAUAUCACCAACCACCUUUCACCACCGCUGGCUACCAUGUUUGGCCACUGUUUGCCGCCACCUUCACUGUUUUUCGGUGGCCAUUUACAUCAUAUUGAUACUAUUGGAAUUGUUAUCAGCUCUACGUAAUGGUACAAGUACAACUGGAAACCAAGCUAACGUUUAUCGUAUAUUUACAAACAAAGUUUUAAAUUUAAAACUUUGACUGUAAGUUUACGACAAAAAGAAGCUUAGUUUCCAUUGAUAUUUAUACUGUUACGUAGAGCUCAAGACAAAAAUUCAAUGAUAACAAAUAUGCUGUGAACGGAUAAAAAUUGCUAAUUUUUGGUGGCGGCCAAUGAUGGCUUUUGAUAUUUUUAUAUAAAUCAAAUAAUUUGAAUAUAAAUAAUAAUAAAAAUAUAAUAUCGAUUUAAUAUAAAUAUUUAUAUAAAAAUAUUAUAAAAUGCAAUAUAGUCCAUACUACAAUGAACAUUGUACUAUAUUAAAUUAAUACAACUUAGUAUAAUACAUCACAAUCCAACACAAUCUAGUCUAAUCUAUUGCGGCGUACCAAAUGCACCAAAAGCCACCAUUUGUAGUAAAUAAUUAAAAAAAUAUAAACAAAAUGGCCUGCUUCAUGACUUGGAUCCCGAACUUUAAAAAAAGUUUAGGAUCCUAAACCAGAAGCUUACUCUUGUUGGUUAACUACAUAAUUGAUAGGAUAAAAUUUAAAUACUAGUAACGACAUCAAACAAGUAUGAAAGGAAAAAUAUAUCCUUAUGAAAAUGAAAUUCUCUUUUUUCAAAGUCAAAAUCCAUUCAUUUUCAUUUUUUUUUUUGCUAUAUUGUUUCAUUGUAUUAAGAAUUGUAAACUAUCGAAUAACUGCUAGAAAUAUUAAUGUAAUCUAUCUUUUACUAUAUAUCUUUAUAAAACCUGGCAUUUUAUUAUAUUGUUAUUAAUAAUGUUAGUCGAUCAGUUAAUUGAUAACAAAUAGGGAUGGGAUAAAUCCCCAUUGGGAUGGGGACCCUCAGGGAUUUUCCCCAUUCGGGGAGGGUAUGGGGACAAUUUUUUACUCAGUUUCUUAUUUGGGGAAGGGAAGGGGACAAUUUUCUUUCCCAAUUUCUUAUUCGGGAAAGGAAAGAGGACAAUAUUUUAUCCAGUUUUUUAUUUGGGGAAGGGACGGGGAUGAGGCGGAAUCCCCAUCCUCUCCUUAUUUCCCCAUUUUAAUUUAAUUUAAUUUAAUUUUUAAAAAUAUUAUUAGUAAAUAAAUAAUAAAAGGUAAAUUAUAAAAUAUUGAAUAUUAGUAUAAAUAACAAAUAUCAAAAUAAUAAUUAUUAAACUUUUGUGCCUAAUUGACUAGAUUAAUAUUUGGAUAAGAAACUUAUGCCGCAUAUGAAAUAUUUUAAUAUUUUGAGUUCGUGGAAAACAAAUGCUCAUAGGUAUCCUAUAUUGGCGCGAAUUGCUAAAAAUAUUUUGACAAUUCCAAUUACAACUAUUGUUUCCGAAUUAACUUUUAGUACCAGUAGUAAAGUACCAUAACAGGUUUCAUCCAAACACAUUAGAGGCUUUAAUGUGUUGUCAAAGUUAAAUAUGAGCUUACAAUGGUAGUAUGAGUUUAUUUUACAUUAUAAUUAUAUAAUAUAAUUAUUAAUAUUUUCACUUAGAAGUUACGUUACUUAUACUAUUUUUAUCAUUUUAGAUUUAAAACAUGAGGCUAUCUCUCAAUUUGACACAUUCUUCGAGGAAUAACAAGAGAAGUAGGAGGCACAAGAGGUAAAUACUUUUAUUAGAAAUGUUGAUUAAAUAUCUAUAUAUCCAUUUCAUUUAUCUCAAUGUUGAUAUAAAAGUAAUUUCUUUCUUUUUUUUAUUGUAGGAUUAUGAAGAUUGACAAAAAUAAUUAUCAUGGUGAUUUGUAUUUUGUAAUGUGACUUUUGUAAUGGAUUAAUGUUAAUGUAAGAUAUAUCGUCAAACUUUAUUUUUAUUUUAAUAUAAUUAAAUUAAAUCAAAAACUAAAAACAUAUUAGCUAUUUGAGGAUCGGGGACUCUCGAGAAUCCCCUAUUAUUAUUGGGGGAUGGGAUGGGGAUUUCCUAAAGCAAUUUUGUCGAGAACGGGGAGGGGACGAAGACAUAUGUAGAAUAUCAGGGAUGGGUACAGGGAGGUCGGUCUCCUCCCCUCCCCUCCCCAUUGCCAUCCCUAAUAACAAAAUAUCAAUUUUACCCUUUAAUGAAUUUUUUUAUUACAAGAAAAAAAUAACAUACAAUGGAUUAUAAUAUUACAAAUUUGGAAAAGGACACCUACACUCUUAAAGUUUGAGAAAAUGAUUAUGUAGACCCCAAACUUUUAAUGAGGGACAUCACGACCUCCUUUUAACUAUAAUACUAUUUGCAGAUAGUAACAAAAAAAUUAACUUUAAAUUUUUUUAACAAAAAAAAAUACAAUCUAUAUAGUUUAAUGUGUAUAGUAGACUAAUAAUACUAAAAUAUUUUUUAAUAUAUAAAAUAAUUUUUAAAAUGUAAAUUAUUAUAUUUACUUGAAUAAUAUAUUUUAUUUAUUAUAAAAAUUUUAAAUAAAUCUUUGGGUUAAAUAGGUUUUACGAUUAACAAAAUAUAUGCCAUGCGUUAAUAAUACUAAAAUUAUUUUAUAUAAUAUUGAAAAUAGUUUAAAGUUUUUUACAUAUUUAUUUUAAUAUUAUGCUUCUAUUUAUUAUAAAAUUUAGUUCAAUAUAAUAUAAGCUUGUAAAGUGUUAAAAUAUUUUUAAAUAUUAUAUUUUUAUUUAUUAUAAAACAAUAGAAUCAAUUUUUUUGAGUUAAUAAACCCAAAUGGGUAUUAUCGUCAAGAGGUAUAUUGGUGUCCCCUAUAGAAAAUAUGGAGUUUAUAUGACCAUUUCUCUAAACCUUGGGGGGUGUAGGUGGUGUCCUUUCUCCGAAGUUCAAAUAUAAACUAGCUAAAAAUAAUAUCAAUAAGACUAAAUUUAAAAUUUAAUACCUCUACUUUUAUACUCUUCUUUUAAAGGUAAAAUUAGCAUUUUAUUAAUUGAGUAACUAGUCAACUAACUGGUGGAAAUAAAAAUAUAGUAGAAUCAAAGAUUUUAUAAAGAUAUAUUAAUAAAAUGGUAAACAUUAAUCUUAAUAUUUCUUGCACUCUUUCCAUAUUUUAUAAUUUUUGAAACUGGGAAACGAUAACAACCUUUUUCCCUCAAAAUUCUAAAAUACCGUGUAACUUUGUACUAAAACGAUUGACACCGGUCUUUGUUCAAUAAAUUAUUGAUCCAUCAAUAUUCAAUCACAUUAAAAUAUUUUCCACCUUUCUCCUGCGUCAAAUCCAGGUCAAACUUUAUUUAAGAUAAUCUUGACACAAAUUCUCUCAAAUUUAAUUUAAACGUUAAGGGAUUUUCCGAAAAGCAAUCAGACUUUUGAAAAGAAUGGAAUUUAAAUUUUACCCUUUCGGAGCUUCAUGCAAAGCCCAACCAGACAAAUUUGCUGCCCCUGUAAGAGCUGCCCUCCAUUUCUUCGCCUUUUCCAACUGAACCGAGCUUCAUGCUUAACAAAAGCCUCUGCAAAGUUUUCAUUCUGAUUCCUGACAUCUGAUGGGCUGAUAUAAAAAAACACGGGCAAAACUGUCUGUCUAACAUUAUUAUGUUUCUUGCAAUUCCCAGUCUUUACAAUCUCACCGAAGCACCGUCUGGAAUCGGCAUAGUUCUUAGAGAAUAUUAUUGAAUUGCUUCAAGCAACUCUGAGUAAAUGUCUUCACCUCUUCGGAGUUCAAUGUCAUCUUCGAAAGUGUGAAUUCCUGGAUGAACCAGAGCUUGGGAGAGAUGAUUAGUGAAGCUGUUGCGUGUAUCUUCUCCUCGGAAGCUCAAGAAAACUUGGUGUACAACUUUGGUAAAGGUGGAAGCCAUGAAUAAGUAAUGCAAUGUCUUCAUGUGAGGGAUCAAGACACUAGCUAGUUGUUCUUUACUACUAGUUAACUUCAAGCUCAAACAAUUUUAUAGGACUAGGAGUCGAUGGUCCUACGACAAAAUAUUUUUAAAGCAUUGUAACAAAAUAUACAUGACAGAUAAGCUACCUUGUCAUAGCCGGAUUUUCACUAGAUCCAAUUCGAACUAUUAAGUGGUUGUUCUCAUCAAAUCUAGGUCAAAUCUGAUUAAAAUAAAUAAAAUUUAUAUUUUAGGAGGAGAUUAGGCUAGGUUUGGGUUAAAGUGUAUUUUCUUAUGUUUGGGGGUAGGAGGUAUAUUGAGGUGAUCUGAGGGGUGAGCUGCAGUGAUUAAGAGGUUAGCUGCGGUGAUUUGGGAGGUAAGCUAUGAUGUUAUGAGUUUGGAAUAUUAGGGCAAGCCCAUGGAGCUCAUGCGAGUUAAUUUAGAGAAUUGACAGGGAGCUCAAGAGAGCUUCGAGGAUAGCUCGUGCGAGUUAAUCUGAAUAACUCCGUAGAGCUUAUAGAAUAACUCAUGUGAAUUCAUAUAUAAAAUAUGAUUUGGGGCAUCCAAACUAUCAUAAUCAGCAGAAAAUAAGCAAACAAAAUAAAAACAUAGAUUUUACAUGGUUCGGCCCUUUGAUGUACAUCCAUAGGAGUAGUUCAUUUCCAAUGCACUAUAUAAAUGAAGUAUUAUGUGAUUUGCUUUAGAAUAUCAACAAAAUCUUUGUGUUGGAUUAUCAGGUCAUGUCAAAUUUUUUCAGUUCUACUCUCUAAGCUAUACUCAACUCUUGCAAUGAUUACCGAGCUGCACCCCACUAGCUUUGGCAAUUUCAAAGCUUGAGCUAUGUUAAAUUCUAACGAUGAUAGUUGAGCCACACUCAUCUACUUUGAUGAUUUCGAUACUAAGCUAUACUUAGCCCUGACUAUUUCAAUACUGAGUUAUACUCAACUCUGGUUAUAAUAGUUGAGUUGCACACAACUAGCUCUAGCGAUUUACUUAGGAGCUUUCUUAACUCUUUAAUUGUGGCACUAAGACAUGGAGAUAAACCAUGGCAAUAAGUCCUAGUGAAAUACAUAGAUUUUAGGAGAGACGAGUUCUCAAUCCCCUAGGUAGGUAGCCUUACUAAGGUACCUCUAUAUUCGUGAUUUGUUCAUGUUCACAGCUCUUGAGUAGUUAUCAAUAUAAGUCAGCUGAAACAAGAUUAGCUCUUGUAUCUAGAGCUACAGUCUAAGAGUUUAAACAAAGUAAGCCAUAAAUGAAGAUAAAUUACAAUUAACAAAUCAUAAUAAAAAAAGGAGUUAACCAUUCAUUCUCAACCACAUGGCAAUAAAGAUCAAUCAUUCAUCCAAAUAAACAUAUCUAAGAACUUGUUCACUCACAUGAUACAUAGCAAGAGUAAAUCAUUCAAUUACUUUCGUUAAGAAACAAUUAAGAAUGAAAGGAAUUUAUAUAUAUUGCAAAUAAAUGUAGACAAUUAAAACCCUAAAAUUAAUAGCUUAAUUACUGUUCACAAAUAUUGUUCAUCCACAUAAAAAAUAUUAAUUUUCCAAAAACACAAUAAAUUCCAGAAAAUAAAUGACAUGGAGAUUUUUACAUGGUUCGGAUUAAUCAAUCUUACAUCCACGAGGCCACGUCUAGAUGAAAAACAAUUCACUAAAUUGAGAUGUUACAACCUAUGGAUUUAUUAAACUUAAGACUCUCACUUACACUUUAUCACCAUUUAGUUCAGUCAACCUUAGACUGAAUCUGCUUCUCUUAAAUAAUUGCUCUUGAUCCACGAUCCUCAAGGCACUUCGCAAAGUGAUCAAUAACAAUUCUUCAAAUCUUCAAUAUCUAGUGAUCUAAAAUCCACAUACACUCUCCACAGAGAUGAAAAGAAGAUAAGAAAAAAAAUCAAUACAACAUUAUGUGCCAAAUCCGGAUUCUCUAGGGAGAAGGCCGAAUUUUGUUUUUAUAUUUUAUGCUUUGUGUUGUGUGCCUUCAAUUGUGAAAUACCUCUCUUUAUACAGGCACUAGGGUUUCACAAAAAAUAGCAAGUCUUAAAAGACUUAGAUUCUUUCCAAAUAAGAGUUUUUUUCCUCUUAUAAUUCCUAUGAAUCUGAAUAUGAAUAAAUAUGAUCUUCUUAUCUUACUUGUCUCCCAAGAAAUAUCUAGAGCAUUUAAUGAACUUUCUGUUUGAACCAACUUCUUGCUCUAAAUAGAUCUCAUAUGUCAAUUAUAGAAUCUCAUCAUUAAUUGACUUGCUAAAUUAGAUAUCUAAUUAAAUUAGGAAACAAAUAUUCCUAAUAAAUUGGAAUCUUACUAAAUUAGGGAAUUAAUGAAUUAAUCCCUACUACAAGAUAUGCAAUAAAUAAAAUUCCAAUUUAACUAGACUUGCCAUAAGAUGCCAACUCUAUAAAUAAUGGACUUAACAAAGAAGAUUAGACAUACGAUCAUGAGUAUUUUAGAAUAAACAAGUAGCAUUCAUUUAUAAGAUCUACUUAGAUGAAAGUAGCUUAAAUCAUAAUUAUUGCAUUACUAGCACGUGUUAUGCUAAGAAUAGAUCUUAAAAUCUCUUUGCUAUCAUGUAGACAUCAAGGAGUUUCUUUAAAAUAAAUCAAGUCAUGGAAGUGAACAAAUAAGGUUCUAUCAGACCUACCACAAACAUAUAUGAGCAAAUAUGUAGUAGAGAAUUCAAAAAUAGAGAUAAAUAAGGAAGAGCUUAGAGCAUAAUACUAAUAAUUUUCCUGAGUGUUGAAGCAUUCAAGAGGUGUUUCACUCUACUCUAGCGCUUAGAGAAGAACUGAAGUAGCUUCAAAACUGCUACACUAAUUUGCAAUUUUCCUUUAAAGAUCGCUCUUGGUGUUUUGGAGAAAUCCUUAAUGGUGUUUUCUUGAUCAGGUAUCCUCCUUAACAUUUUUCUUGAGCAUUUCAUAGAGGAUUUCUCUCUGGCUUUUUUCCAAGGAUUUCUUUUUGGUGUUUUUCUGAGGGUUCCUUAAUACAAUUUCUUAUGGAGCUUCUCUAUUUGGUGAUUUAAAUCCAAGAGUACAUCCCUUGCCAACUCAAUCUAAACUAACCAUUACUACUAAAACCUUUUGUGUAACCCUCCCAUUAGACGGUGCCAGUUGGUUUAGCUCGAUUUUUACUAAGAUUCGAUUCGAACCAUUAAAUGGUUGUUCUAAUUGGAUUUGGGUCAAAUCUGAUUAAAAUAAAAAAAAUUUAUAUUUUAGGGGAAGAUUAGAUUAAGUUUGGGUCUAGGUGUAUUUUCUAAUGUUUAGGGUAAGAGGUAUAGCUGAGGUGAUUUGGGAGGCAAGCUGAGGUGAUUAUAUCUAGAAAAAUACUCAAAGUUCGGUAAAGCAAAAAGAGAGAGAGAGGGUCAGAGAUGGAGAGAGCCCCCUCAAGAUUGAAUGUGUAGAGCUUAUAUAAAAGUGUUCCUGACGGUAUUUUGGUAAUUUUAGACACGUAGUGCUCAUUUAAUGGCUAGCCUCCCUUAGGUGAGGCUAUUUGAGUAAUUUGCCUUGUGGUCCCUUGAUGGUGACAUCCAUGAGCUUGAGAGGCAAGAAACCCUUCGGCCACCUUUUGCCUUCAUGGCCAGACAUAUGACAGCCUCCUAACUUUAUGGUCUUGUGGCUUUUCUAUCAGUAUCAAAAGGCUAGGUAAUGUGGUCUUUUCUCAAUACUUGGCUAGAGAAUCUCAAUUCUUAUUGGCUCCUUAUCUUUAACCAAAAUAAGAUAUUUUUGUUCUCUCUCAUGAUGUCAUGUUCUGUCUAUGUGUUGGCCUGAACCACCAAAAUCUAGUUUCCAAUAAUACCCUCUGAUAUUGUGUGUUUUUACCAAAAUUGUCUUUCUUUUUCAGGGAACUUACCCCCUAUCUCUUUGUGAGUUAUCCUAACGUCCAAUUAAACUAAUUGACUUCCCUUGAUUGACUUUCUUGGCAUGUGUCUUUUAGUUGUGGGCCACAUUAGCACUCGAAUUUCCCCAUAUGUAUUAUUUGCAUAGCCCUUCAUUCGGUUUACUUCUAAUUUGAAAAGUUCGGUAUAUUUGACUUUAAGCAUUGAAAUUGACCACCAAAGAUGAUAUAAUAAAUGUUACUUAGUUGUUUCUCUUUCUCACUACGUAUUUUAAAUGUGGCAUAGCCUUCAAAUUAUCUUUUUCAUUGGAAAUCACCAAAAUAAAAAUCUCUUGACUUACGGAAUGGUUCUUUUUAAUAACUCACUAAUACAACAUAGUGAAAUAAAAAUAACUUCUCAAAAAGAAUCAAUUAAGCAUAUCAAUAAACAAAAAAUAUUCACACCAAAUGAACAAGAAAAACUCCAAAAAUGGAUUUACAAUUUUAGGUUAAUUUUGGAUUAUCCUCUUGUGAAGUGACAGUCUUCAAAUUGUUCCACUUAACUUUUGGAAAUAUCAUAUUGCCCCCUAAAAAUAGUUAACUUUAACAAUUGAUCAUUGGUGAUUUGUUAAAGUACGAAAAUAUCCUUUUUUACUAAGUUUCGUUGAUUAACAAUUUUAAUACUUAAAAAUAUACUUUUUGAAUUAAUAAAAUAAUGAAAUAAAAAUGACGAAGUCAUUAAAGUUAAAAACAAAAUAUCUCUUUCCAAUUUAAUCUCCACCAAAUCAGAGUCACACUAAAUCCUAAUUAGGAUACCCAUAGUUUAUCAUAUCAUUCCAAUUGGUUGGCAUGGCUGUGCAUGGCCCAAGGAUUUGGCUACCUUGGCCAUGCAUGACCAUGGAUCAUACGGCCAUGCGUUCAUGCAGGCAUGGGUUUGGGUGCCUUGGCCACGAGCGACUAGGGGUUUGGUUGCCUUGGUCACCUGUUGCCAUGGUUUGGUUUCCAUGGCCAGUGAGGGUUUGGUUGCCUUGGCUGUAUAUGGCCAUGGAUUUGGUUGCCAUGGUUAUGUGCGGCCACGAGUUUGGUAUCUAUUGGGUAUAAACGAAAAUAUUUAAAGUAUUUAGGUCCAUACUAUAAAUAUUUAAAAUAUUUAUGUGUGUUUCGAAACACUAAAAAAGAUUUAGGCCCAUGAAAAUUAGCCUACAUAGAUGUUUGAUUUUUUUUCUAUUAAUUGACUGUAAGAGAAUGUACAAAUACUAUUUCAUCCUUUCAGUCGUUAAAAAUAAUAGCAAGAUAAUGACUUUUGGGAGAUAACUUGUUAUUUUAAAAGUAAAGGAUUUAAUUUGAAGAUUAUCACUUCAUGAGAGAGUAAUUUAAAAUUAAUCCCAAAAUUUUCAAAAUUGCCUUCAAUGAACCUAGAAAAUUGGUGAAAAUGCAUUAAUCUAAUCCUUAUAAACAUGCUUAAUAAUACUAAACCCACCAACAAUACCCAGCAGUCAAACAAUAACAAAGAAAAAUGAAUCUUGAUCUCAAAUUUAUUUCAUACGACUUUUUGAUUCAAUUUUAAAAAGACUUUUAAGACAUGUUCAUAUAUUCAUUCGUGUCAUUCUUUUUUAAUUGUGCAGCUGCCCUUGUAUUCUUUGCACCCUGCUUCAGUUUUUUUGUUGUUUGUUUGAUGACCAGUGGUUCUUUUUUUUUAUACUCUCUCAUCAUAGAGGAAUUGUACAUCUAAAUAAUGAGUUAAUUUGGUAGAUUUUCUUGGCGAAGGCUUUGAAGUAACUUCAAAAUCUAGUUUGUUUGGAGUUUGUUGAGGAGUUGGUUGGGAAAUUUUAAUAAUAGUGCUCUUUGAAUUCAUUAUACUCUUCACAGAUUUUUGAGUAAACUCACCCGAUGGGAAACUGGCCUAUGAAAUAAUUAAAAUAUACAUGCGUACAAUUAGUAGUAAUACAUGCAUAUACAAAUAGAAAUAAAUGAAAAUAAAAUAAUGACAUUUAAUAUUCCCUCUACUAACCUUUCUUUUUCCAAGAGCUUUAGGAGAUUGUUGAUCAAUCUCAAAUUGAACACCGGCGGAAGGUUUGUGUUAUAACCCUAUUAACGUAUUGAAUCUAGAAAGAACUAAUCAAAGCAAGCUAAUCAAGAAAGAAACAUGAAAGAACUUUAACAGAGCACAGUUCCAAGCACUCAACUUGUAGAAGGAAAAACUGCACUUUUAUUGAUCACUAUGAAUCGAAUUACAAGCUAAUUCUAUAGAGGAGUUUACAAAGAUCACAAAGAACCAAUUAGCUCACUAAAUGAUCAAGAAAUGAGAAAGAUUACAACCACAUAUUAGAGGCUAAAACACACGUAUAUAUACUCUGGUAUUUCUGGGAAAUCAUAACGAACUCAUAACGAAUUCUUGCCACAUCAGCUUUAAUAUUUCAAUUAGACCCCUCCAGCUGAAGUCGAUCUGCACAAUGCCCCCAGACUUCUUCAAAUCUUCCAUUUAAACCCAACAACCAUUAGUUGACCAGUAGCUUAUUUCCUCACACUCUCCACCUUGCAUACUCGAUUCAGCUGAUCAUCUCAAUUAAGUAACAUAAAAAACCUUCAAAGACACAUGUUUCAGGAACUAGAGCUGCUGCCAACACCAAUGAAGUUUACACAAAACUUAAAUUUUGUUGUUGGUAGCACUUUGGUUAGCAUAUCAGCAGGGUUGAUGUCUGUAUGUAUCUUGAUCACUGCAACUGACCCCUUUGCAACCUCAUCUCUGAUAAAGUGCAACUUCACAUCAAUGUGCUUUGUUCUCUCAUGAUAAACUUGGUUCUUGAUGAGCUGAAUGGCACUCUGAUUAUCACAAAAAAUUUCUACUGUUUUUUGUUUCAACCAUAGUUCAUUUAGCAGCCCUCUCAACCACAUUGAUUCUUUCACUGCCUCUGUUGCAACAACAAAUUCUGCCUCAGUAGAUGACAAAGCUACUAUGUGCUGUAGAGUAGCUUUCCAACUUAUGAGGCAACUAUCCAACAUAAACAGAUAACCUGAGAUGGAUUUUCUUCUGUCCAAGUCACCUGUAAAAUCAGAGUCAACGUAUCCUCUGACUUCACAGACCUCAUGCUUGGAUUUACCAUACAUCAAACUAUGAUCUAAGGUUCCCUUUAGGUACCUCAUGACCCAUUUUACAGCAUCCCAGUGAAGCUUACCAGGAUUACUCAUAAAUCGACUCACCACACUUACUGCAUAAGCUAUGUCUGCUCUGGUGCAAACCAUUGCAUACAUCAAGCUUCCCACAGAGGUGUCAGUACUGGUUUUGAGUCCAUCAUCUGAAAUCUUUCCAGUACUUUGCUGAUAUACCUUGACUGGCUUAGAAAUAAGGUACCAGCUAUUCUAUCUCUAACAAUAUCUAUCCCAAGAAUCCUCUUGGCACUGCCAAGAUCUUUCAUUUCAAAUUCCCCCUUCAGCAAAUUCUUGAGCUCUUUAAUAUCACUGAGAUCUUUACCAGCAAUGAGUAUAUCAUCAACAUAUAGUAGAAGAUAUACUGCUCCACCUGAGUUUAUAAUCCUAUGAUAGACACAACUAUCAUAUUUGCUCCUGGAAUAGCCAUUGGAGAUCAUAAACUGAUCAAAUCUUCUAUACCAUUGCCUAGGGGAUUGUUUCAAGCCAUAUAGAGACCUUUUAAGAAGGCACACAUACUCCUCAUGUCCCUGUUCUUCAAAGCCUUCAGGUUGAGACAUCAAUAUCUUUUCUUCAAGAUUGCCAUGUAGGAAGGCAGUCUUUACAUCCAUUUGUUCAAGCUCUAGAUCAAACAAAGCCACCAUAGCAAGCAAGAUUCUGAUUGAACUGUGUUUUACCACUGGUGAGAAGAUUUCAUUAAAAUCAAUCCCCUCCUUCUGUGUGAACCCUCUUGCCACCAGUCUUGCCUUAUAUCUUGAAUCUUCAACACCUGGAAUGCCCUCCUUUUUCUUGAAUAUCCACUUGCAGCUGACAAUCUUCCUAUUCCCUGGAUUUGGGACCAGAAUCCAAGUCUGAUUUCUUACUAGAGAAUCUAUUUCCUCCCUCAUAGCUUUAAUCCAGUUUCUGCUAUUCUUGCUACUCAUUGCUUCUCUAUAGCUGUUAGGCUCUUCAAUUGCAACAUCUUCUGCACUCAUCAAGGCACAUGCAACCAUAUCUGCAUAUGCAUAUCUUGCUGGAGGUCUGGUAUGUCUUCUUUCUCUAUCUCUAGCUAACUGAUAUUGUUGUAAAUCAGUUACUUGUGGUACUUCACCUUCUGUUACUUCUGCAUCUUGAGUCUCAGCUUCAACAGCCUCUGGUUGUAUUUGAUCUUCAUAGUCUUUAGACAACUCCACUUCAAUCUUUUCACCUUGCUCAGUUUCUGUGGUGGCUUGUGUGUCACUUGUAUUGAUGUCAUUAACAGAAGUGGCUUGGUCAGAGUUAUUGAUCAUGGCCACUUCAUUGAACUGGACAUCUCUACUGAUCAGACACUUGUUAGCCUCUUUACACCAGACCCUGUAGCCUUUAACCCUAUCUGGAUAGCCAACAAAAACUCCUUUUAUGGCUCUUGCAUCAAGCUUCCCUUGUCUGACAUGGACAUAAGCAGGGCAUCCAAAUACCCUCAGGUGUUCAUAUUUUCCAGGUCUUCCAGACCAGAGUUCUUCAGGUGUCUUGAAGCCAAUUGCUGAAGAUGGACUUUUAUUUACCAGGUAACUAGCUGUAGAAACAGCUUCUGCCCAAAGGCUCCUAGGAAGUUUAGAGUUUAUCAACAAGCAUCUUGUUUUGUCAAUAAGUGUUCUGUUCAUCCUCUCAGCUAAACCAUUUUGCUGAGGGGUGAAUCUUACUGUUUUGUGCCUCCUAACUCCCCAUUCCUGGCAGCAUUGCUCAAACUCUUUAUUACAGAAUUCAAGUCCAUUGUCUGUUCUUAAUCAUUUCACCUUGAAACCAGAUUGAGUCUCCACCAAAGUCUUCCAAAUCUUGAACUUCUCUAGGGCUUGGUCUUUGGUCUUCAGUAUGUGGAUCCAUACUUUCCUGGAGUAGUCAUCUAUGACUGACAUAAAAUACCUUCCCCCACUCAAGGAUGGUACUUGUGCAGGCCCCCAUAAAUCAGCAUGUACAUAAUCUAAUGGUUGUUUAGAUACAUGUAUGCCCUUUGUGAAUUUGGACCUGUGUGCCUUGCCAAAGAUGUAGUUUUCACAGAAGUCUAGCUCAUCUAUAUUAUCACCACACAGCAGCCCUUGCUUACUCAAUUCUUGCAUUCCUCUAAUACUCAUAUGGCCUAGUCUAAGGUGCCAUAACAUGGUUCUAUUAACAUCAGAAACAGCAGGCAUUGCAGCUGAUCCAGGCACUGAUGACCCUUCUAACACAUAAAGGCCAUUCUUCUUAACUCCUUUCAUUACCAUCUCAGUCCCCUUCAUAAUCUUCAAACCACUAUUUUCAGAUUUGAAGCUAUAUCCCAUACCAUCUAGCAUGCCUAAAGAGAUCAAGUUUCUCUUUAGCCUAGGUGCAUGCCUUACAUCACUUAGAGUUUGAACAGACCCAUCAAACAUCUCUAUUUUGACAGACCCCAUACCAACAAUCUUACACACAUUGUUGUUACCCAUCAACACUCUACCACCAUCCACAGAUUUAUAUGUAUGGAAAAGGCUUUUAUCAGGACACAAAUGAAAUGAACAGCCUGAAUCAAGAACCCACUGACCUUUGAUAUUGCUGUUUGAAGCCACCAACAAAUCAGCACUAUGGUAUCCAUCAUCAGAGGAGUCUUCUGAGGCUACUGCUGCAUCACCUGUUCUCUCUUUUUCAUCCCUCUUUUUCUCAGCACAGUCCCUGAUGUAGUGAUCUUGUUUCUUGCAAUAGAAGCACUUUCUUUUCUUCAUUUUUUCUUUUACAGAUACAUCAUCCUUUUUAGCUUGACUCUGGUUCUUCUUCUUCUGAUUUUUCUUUUCUGUUCUGGCAAAUAAGCCUUCAGCAUUACUAACUUCAUGCCCAUUAUUCUUCUGGAUCUCCUUAGAACUCAAAGAAGCUUUUACAUCCUCUAAAGUGAGUGUAGUUCUUCCAUACAGCAUGGUGUCUACAAAUCCUUCAUAGAUUUUUGGCAGUGAGCUCAGUAGAAAGAAGGCUUUAUCCUCAUCAGUUAUUUUCACAUUUUCAACUCCUUCAAGAUCAAGAAUGAUCUUGUUGAAGUUGUCAAUGUGUUCUUGAAUCAAGACUCAUUCUCUCAUAGAAAAGGUAUAUAGCCUUUUCUUCAAGAACAAUCUGUGUGCCAGGGACUUUUUCAUACACAAGGCCUCCACCUUGUUCCAGAUACCAAGGGCAGUCUUCUCUUCAGAAAUCUCCCUUAGAAUUGAGUCACUGAGACUCAAGAUCAAGGUACUGUGAGCCUUGUUCUGUAUCUGUCUUUUCUUCUCAUCAGAGACUGAACUUGAAGCAUCCCCAAGAUCAUCUUCUUCCAGCGCUGAUUCGAGACCUUGAUGAACAAAGAGAGCCCUCAUCUUCAUCCUCCAAAGUGAAAAGUCACCACCAAUGGUGAACCUUUCAAUAUCAGGUUUUGGAAGAGACAUGUUUUUGAACCACCACUGGCUCUGAUACCAAUUGUUAUAACCCUAUUAAUGUAUUGAAUCUAGAAAGAACUAAUCAAAGCAAGCUAAUCAAGAAAGAAACAGGAAAGAACUUUAACAGAGCACAGUUCCAAGCACUCAACUUGUAGAAGGAAAAACUGCUCUUUUAUUGAUCACUAUGAAUCGAAUUACAAGCUGAUUCUAUAGAGGAGUUUACAAAGAUCACAAAGAACCAAUUAGCUCACUAAAUGAUCAAGAAAUGAGAAAGAUUACAACCACAUAUCAGAGGCUAAAACACACGUAUAUAUACUCUGGUAUUUCUAGGAAAUCAUAACGAACUCAUAACGAAUUUUUGCUACAUCAGCUUUAAUAUUUCAACUAGACCCCUCCAGCUGAAGUCGAUCCGCACAAUGCCCCCAGACUUCUUCAAAUCUUCCAUUUAAACCCAACGACCAUUAGUUGACCAGUAGCUUAUUUCCUCACAGUUUGGGUUUAGGAUAGUUAGAACUACCAACUUCAAUAUUGUUGUAGGCAUUCAACCUUGCAUUCAUGUGUUCCAAUUGAGCUGACAUAAAUUGAAAACUCUCUUGAUACAUCUUUCUUUAUCUUGUCAACUAUGUAGUAUUAGGAACAUGAAAGUACAUAGAUGUGGUGAUGAAUUGUCCUACUCCUUGCACCCUGCUUCCAUUUGGCUGUUUUUGAAAAGCUUCGCUUAGAUGUCAUUUGACCCAUGUGAUUGAAAUUUUCCUUGUUCAACUUGACUCUUCAGCUCAUUCUACCUACAAAAAAAAAAUUAUAAAUCUACAAGUUCAACUUGACUCUUGAUACAUCUUUCUUUAUCUUGUCAACUAUGUAGUAUUAGGAACAUGAAAGUACAUAGAUGUGGUAAUGAAUUGUCCUACUCCUUGCACCCUGCUUCCAUUUGGCUGUUUUUGAAAAGCUUCGCUUAGAUGUCAUUUGACCCAUGUGAUUGAAAUUUUCCUUGUUCAACUUGACUCUUCAGCUCAUUCUACCUACAAAAAAAAAAAUUAUAAAUCUACAAGUUGAAUUAAGGAAUUAAAGAAUCACCACUAACAACUUAUCAGAACCUCAAAAUUCAAAACAGAAGUAAACUUAAUUAUACCAUAUAAGAAUGGAAUAUAUAAGAAUUAAAUAUACAAGUGACUUACUAUUUUCUCAGCUAUUGGCAUCACUUCAGAAGCAUAUUUGCCAUCUCAGUCUACUCGUGCCAUUAACCAAGCUUUACUGCGGUCAAUCUCUCGCUCAGAAACUCCAUUCUUUUUUUUCUGUUAUAGGUUGACAGAAAACAAAAAGUAUUGAUUCUAUUAUAUUAUAUGCAUUGGUUGGGUUUUAUUGCACAACUAUAUUAUAUUGUACAUACUUUUCUAUACAACACACCACUAUAUCUUGUGCUACCCAAGUGAUGCUUAUAUAUAUUUUUUGCUCUUGUUUCUUUUGCUUUUGUACUUUUUUCCUGAACAAAUAAUAUAAUAAAGAAGAAAAGGGUUACAAUUAAUUAUUAGUAACCAAUAAGAAAUAAAUCAAGUAAUAUUAACAAACAGCACACCUGAAAAUCUUGAGACAACUUUGCCAACAAAAAGUUUCUAAUCUUCUUUUUUAAUACUCGGAUAUUCAAUAUGGGGCAACCUUAGUGACUUUAUAUCAUCCUUAUAUGGUAGUAUGAAUUCUUUUGCCAGCUCACUUCUAAAGUUUCUUGAUGCAACCCCCAUCCAUUUUAACACUUGGCUUUUGCAUUUCAAGCUCAAUUUGAAUUUUUUCUAUAAAGCAAUGACAAAGAUUAAAACCGAGUUUAAAUAAAUCCGGAAGUUAUUUAAAAUCAUUAAAUAUAUUACUAAAUAAUUAAAAAAACCUAAAAAAUGAAUCCAUAGAGUUUCCUUCAUUUCUAGUAGCACACGCCUCCAAUCAUCAAGUAAGAUUGAUAUUGUUUCACGUACGAUGACGCCAAUAUAACUCCUCAGAUCGUUUCUUCCCUUUCCAACUGGAACACCAUAAGAAUUGUACUCAACUAGAGCUUUACUAAAUUCUUCUUUUUGCAAGCCUUUUUUUUUCUUCUCCUUGGUCUUCCUUCGAGCUCUGGAUAAGUGAACACAUCGUUUUGAGCCAUAUCUCCUAUAAUGCUGAAAAUGACUAAAAUGAAUAAGUACAUCAAUUAAAUUAAAAAGCCAAUACAAUAGUAAUGGAAUAUAAUAAAAUAAAUAAAUCACUCACUGGAAACUAGCAAUAAGAAUGCAUUUAGUGAUUUUCUAAAUCAAUAUCUAUUGGAAUAACAUCACAAUCUUUUCUGUCAUAAAUUCCUUCGUCAUCAUUCUCAUCCAACUCACAUACUAGAAGUCUGUUGGAUAAUGGUGAAAAUACAUCAAUGUCCUCACAUGUUUCCCCAUUUGACUUAUAAGCUUUUUCAGUCACUGAACAAACUAUUGAUUUACUCUUAUCUACCUGGUCUUUUAUGUAAAACACUUGUUUUGUAUGACAAGCUAGAAUAAAGCAAUCAGAUUUAUAACCAAUUCGAUUUAAAUCAACUACAGUGAAACCCAAAUCAUCAACACUAACCCCCUUAUCAUCUACCCAAUCACACUUGAAAUUUCUUUUUUAACUAUCAGAUAAUCAAGCUGCUACAUCUCAUCAAUGACUCCAUAAAAGUCAUGUCUCCAAAAUGAGGACUUUUAUCUUUAGAACUUGAAAUUUAUAAAGUGUUAGCGAUAACUCUAACACCACUAUUUUGGGUUACACGAUUAUUGUCCUGGUCCCUUGUUGCUAAAUUAAAGCCAUUAAUUUGGUAGCCAGGGUCUGUCACCGCACUUGAGUGCGGUUUGUUUGCCAACGACCACACUAUUUCCUCGACUAGCACAUUAUUUGCUCUAUCAUGUGCUACUUAUAAUUUAAAUUAAAAAGUAUAAUAAUUACUUACAUGAAAAAAAAUCUUAUUAAAGUUAAAGUUUGUAACUUAUUGUAUUUAGUUAAGCAUUAAUUCUAACCUUUUUUUUGUAACCAAGCAGAAAAUGUACGAGUGUGUUCAUUUUGCAACCAUAGACAUUUUUUUUUUUUGCCUUAUAGGGGUGUGUUAAUGCCAAAUAAUAUAUAUGUUCCCUACAGUAAGACAACAUUAACACUUAAAACUAUAAUAGUAAUAUUAUAAUUCAAUCUUAAUAUGUAUUGAAAAAAAUUAAAGAAUAGCUUACUCAAUGUAUGUUUGGAUUUCAAUGGUGUUCAUUAGAACGCACCGGUGUACUUGUGCCAAUAAAGUAUCAUCAACCACCUUAAUGUUUGCACCUCUCAAAGGCCUUUUGAUUGAAAAAUCAAUUAGACAACCAAUAGGUAGUCCAACAAUAUCACAAUUUGAGAGGUACUCAGCACAAAAUUCAAGUGCUUCUUCAGCAAUAUAACUUUCUGCAAUACAACCCUCGGGGCGAUAGCGAUUACAAACGUAAUCCUUAAGAGUUUUCAUCUCUCUCUCAAAAGGAUACAUCCAUUGAAGAUAAACUGGCCCACAUAACCUAACUUGUUCAAUUAGAUGGAUUGUUAAAUGGAUCGUUAUGUCAAAAAAGCUAGGUAGAAAGUACUGUUGUAAUAAGCAGAAAGUGAUUACAAGUUCCUUUUACAAGUGGUCAAGAGUACUAGGUUCUACUACCUUACAGAACAAUGAAUUAAAAAAGAAGCACAUCAUGAUUAUGACAUUUCUAACAUCUAUAGGUAAACAAUUUCAAAGGGCUAAUGGUAGCAAUUGUUGCAUCAAAAUAUGACGAUCAUGGGACUUAAGACCUUGAAGCUGACAAUCAUCCCUUAAAACAAGUUUUUGGGCAUUGGAAGAAUAACCAUUAGGAACUUUUACACUUUCCAAGGUUUCAAAAAAUUAUUUUUUGCUUCUUUACUCAAAGUGUAUGAAGCUGGAGGUAAGACUUUGUUAUUUUUGUUUAUUUCAUCAGGAACUAGUUUCUCCCUUAUCUGAAAAUGCUCAAGGUAUUUUCUAGCAUUAAUCUCAUCAUUUGUCUUGCCCAUUUGAUGAAGUAGUGUGUCAUAGAUGUUUUCACACACAUUUUUAAAAAUGUGCAUCACAUCUAGUUGAUGAUGAACUAAUAAAUGCUUCCAAUAUUCUACGUUAAAAAAGAUUGAUCUCUUUUUGUACAAUUUUUCAGUUAUGUUCUCAUCAUGUUUCCAUUUUUUCCCUUCUUUUUUCCAAACUUAGUGUCAAUAUCUUUCACCAUCGUAAAGAUUUCCUCACCAGACAAACUUUUAGGAGGCUCAUCCCACUCUUGCUUCCCAUUAAAAACCUUUUUGAGUUUUCGAAAUGGGUGAGUAAGUGGUUAAAAUUGACAAUGGCCCAUAUAUGACAUUUUUUACUAUGUGGGAGCUAACAGGCACAAGUGUCUAUCCACAAAUUGGGCAAGCAUAAUAGCCUUUAAUAGUACACCCGAAGAGGUUUCAAUAUGUUGGGAAGUCAUUGAUUGUCCACAUCAACACGGCCCGUAAAUUGAAGGUUUCUUUUCUAUAUGCAUCAUAAACAUCAACACCUACAUCCCAUAGAAUUUUCAAGUCCUCAAUCAAAGGUGCUAGGUAUACAUUUAGAUCAUUUCCAAGUUGUUUAGGGCUAGAUAUCAAAAGAGACAACUUCAUAAAUUUUCUCUUCAUACAAAAGCAUGGAGGAAGAUUAUAUGUUAUUAAUGUAACGGGCCAACAACUAUAAGUAGUGCUAAGUGUACUAUAUGGCUUAACACCAUCAGUGAGGAGAGCUAAAUGAAAAUUUCUAGGUUCUUGUGCAAAUUCUAGCCACUUGUUGUCAAUUAGUUGCCAGAUUGGGGAGUCUGAUGGGUGGCAAAGCUUGCCAUCUCUAAUUCUCUUAUUAACAUGCCAUGUUAGGUUUUGAGCUGUUUGUGGUGAUUGAAACAAUCUUUUGAACCCAAGAAUAAGAGGAAAAUACCAUAGCACCUUCUCUGGAACCCUUUUCCUAAAUUCUUUUGAGUUAUCUUUUUUCUUUGCCACCCAGACGCUCCACAAUUUAGGCAUUGAGUAAGAUCAUCAAAUUCAUUCCUAUACAAAAUGCAAUCAUUUGGACAUGCAUGUAUUUUUUCAUACUCUAAGCCUAGCACUUUCAUUGUCUUCUUGGCCUCAUACAUUGACUUAGGUAGAUUAUUAUUAUUUGGUAAAAUAUCAUCAAGGACUUCUAACAAAGCAGAAAACCCUUUAUCAGACCACCCAUAGUUUCCUUUCACAUUAUAAAGUCUCAUUAAACCAAAUAGCUUUGAAUGUUUUGUACUCGGAUACAAAGGUUUUUCAGCAUCUUCAAGUAUAUCCUUAAAAGAAUUAGGGCCUUUAUCACAAUGCUCGUAAGCAUUUUCAACCAUGUCAUUUAUAUCAUUGUAAACAUGACAUCUAAAUCUUUGACUAUGUGGAUGGUCUUGACACUUUGUAAAUGUAGAAAUGAGAUCAGUUUCACCAUGCCAAGUACAAACUCUAUAUUUUGCGAGAAAACCUUUUUCAAAUAAAUGAUCAUUUACUUGUUCAGGAGUGUGAAACUCCAUAUUACAAAAAAAAAAGUGCAAGGACAUCUAAUUGACAUUCAGUUUUCAGCAUUCAAAAUGGAAAAAUCUAAGAAAUCAGCAACUCCAGUCUGAUACUCUAUGGAUAAUCGAUUACAAGUCAUCGAAGUUCUAUCCAUUUCAAAUAUUUUUACCUGUUCAUAUAUUAUAUAGUAUCAGUUUAAUUUAAUAAAAUUGCAUGUUAAUUUCAAAUGUUUAAAGUUAUUAUCAUUAUAGCUUUAAUAAUAAAUUCAUAAUUUAGGAAAAUUAUUUAUAGCUCCUAUAAAUUAAUGCAUUACCAUCAAGUACAAUAUUUUUUCCUAUACACUUAUAUUAAUUUGAAAACAUUAAUAACAACAUAUUUUUGCUUGUGAAAAUUUCAUGGCAUGCUUAUCUAAUGAAAAACUUAUAAAUUAACAAUAACCCAUGUUUUUAAUUUGAAAACAUUUCACUUACAUGUAAUCCUAAUCACAUCCUAAAUCGCUGGAAUGUCCUCUAGUUGAUCAACAAUUGAUGCUCCACCUAUAAAUUGGAGAGACAUUUAUAAAAAAACUGAUACUCCAUAUACAUUUAUGGAUGAGUCAUAGUGUCAUACCUACCAUUGAUGGUGGCAAUUUGAUUAUACAUAUACAUAUAUAUGUAUAUGUGUGUGUGUGUGUGUGUAUACCUAUUUUCAAGUCCUAAUUCUCUCAAAAUUUAAAUUGGAUAACGAAUUAACAAGAUAAAUAAAAGUUUUUAAAUACCACUCUUUUAGAUUGCAUACGGCCAAUCCACUUAAUUAAAAUUUAUUAAAAGUUAAAAAAAAUUGUUGUCUCACGUACCAUCUAGGAAUUAGUCAUCUCUUAAAGAAAGAUAAUAUUGCAAUACAUAUCUUGGAACAAAUUAACACCCAUUAGAUACAAUUUCUAAAGCUGUAAUAGCUUCUAAUAAAUAAUUAAUAUUUCACAAUUGGUAUGAUAAUUAUAAUGUCAAUGCCUUAUAAGCAACAACCAUCCAUGCCAAAAAUAAAUUAUUCUGAAAUUCCAAGAACGAUAAAUUAAAGCAAAUAAAUAAGACCACAAGCCUGGGACAGCCGAGCAAAAAUGGACAAUGUUGCAAGCAAUGUCACAUGCUAAGUUAUUGAUUAUUAAAACUCCAUAUAAUUGGAUAAAAUGUAGGUCCAUUUUUUGCGAUGCUUUUAUAUCAUAUUUCAAUUAUUUCCCUUUGUCUUUUAGUGCAUUUUGAUAUAAAAUAAUUAUUUAAUUAUUAUCAACGUGUAUGGAGAGCAACUGUGAUGAUCUAAAUACUUGAAAAAGGGCACACAACAUAUUAGGGAUGGCAAAAAUCCCCACGGGGACGGGUAUUUUCGGGGAUUUUUCCCAUUCGGGGAGGGUAUGAGGAUAAUUUCAUAUCCAGUUUUAUAUUCGGGGAAGGGACGGGGAAAUUUUUUUACCCAAUUUCUUAUUCGGGGAGGGGACGGGGAUGGGGUGGAAUCCCCAUCCCCUACCCAUUUCCCCAUUUUAAUUUUUAAUUUUAUUUUUAUUUUUUAAAAUUACUAGUAAAUAAAUAAUAAAAUUUGAAUUAUAAAAUUAUAAAUAUUGGUAAAAAUAACAAAUAUCAAAAUAUUUAUAUUAUUAAACUUUUAGGCCUAAUUAACUAAUUAAAGUCCUAAAUUUUUAUUUAGGACAUUAAAAAAACCGGGUAAAUUCUAUUAGCCCAAAAAUUUUGUUUUAAUUUUAAUAUUCAUUAAAUGUUUUAAACUUAAAUCUAUUUUUUAUUUAUUUUUAGAUGUUAUAAUUGCCCACAGCGAAUCACAAUUUUAAUAUCUAAUUUAAUCUAAUCUAAUCUAAUUUAAUCUAAUAUUUACUCUUGAUUUGCUCCGACUUAACUAUUGUGCUGUAAAUGGAAUAAUCCACAUUUAUAAAGUGUCAUGCCACCAUUGAAAAAGUUAAUUUUGAAUCUAAAUUUGAUUUUAUUUGUAAUAAUUUUGUAUUAGACUAUUAAUUCAUUCACGAUAGUUUGUAAAAGAAGUUUGUAUCCCUUACAUGCUGCGUUACUUACUAAUUUAAUGUAUGUGACUUUUGUAAUAGAUAUUAAUGUAAGAUAUAUUUCAAACUUUACUUUUAUUUGAAAUUUUUUUUAUUUUAAUAUGAUUAACUCAAAAUCGAAAACAAAAAAUGUAUUAGUUAUUCAGGGAUCGGGGAUCCUUGGGGAUCCCUUGUUAUUAUUUGGAGAGGGGAUGGGGAUUCUCUCAAGUAAUUCUGACGGGGACGGGGACAUACGCAAAAUAUCGGGGAUGGAUACGGGGAGAUUGGUCCCCUCCCCUCCCCUCCCCAUUGCCAUCCCUACAACAUAUCCAGAAUUGGCUGCAAUUUUUUCAUUAUUAUUGCCUAGUUUAUUGUCAUUAGUCUGUGGCUUAAUCCACUCUUGUCAAUUAUAAGAGGUCCUACAACAAAAAUUGCAAGAAAACAAUCAAUGCGUUAUUUUUUAUUUUGUAGUUGUUGUUAGUUUACAUAGGAAGAGGGAUGAUAUUAUCUGCAACGAUAUGUUUGUUAUCAUUUUAUUGAUGGGGUUGUAGGGCGACAACAAAAAUCUUUCAACGCAAAAUUGAUACACAUUUUUUGCACACUAUAACAAGUGUGACAACACACAUCUAAUCAAAAUCUUAUAUAAGAAUUAAAAUUUUAUUUUCUAAUUAGUAGGAAAAUUAUAUGAUCACGCUCUUGGGACAACUACAUAAAACUAAUAAGCAUGAAUGUUCUUAAGUUUUUAAAAAAUAAAAAAAUUACAAAAAAAUUAGAAAUACUAAAUCAAUUGUACAUAUCAUAUUCCUAUGGAGGAGAAUAAUUGGUUAAUUAAUUAAUUAACACUACAUUAAUAAUUAGUUAAUUAAUUAAGGGAAAAUAUCCACCGUCCACCUGUUUUUUACAACUUUUUAAAAAAUACACAAUUCCUUCUUUUUUUGGCUGGAAUCCACCUAAAGUUACAUUUUGUUUCACUUUUCCACUUCCGUUUGGAAUCCGUUAAGAAAACUAACGGAAACUUAAAAAAUGACCAUUUUACCCUCAAAACGAAAAUUACAAUUUCACCCUAAAAAUGCCAAAAAUAAUCAGAUUCAAUGAUGAAUAUCAUUAUUGGUACGUUAAUGAAGUACAAAAAAAUCUUAACUACUAGAGAUUAUAACUCAAUGAAUAAUAAAACUAUACUUAUCUUAAAUUCAAUUGAUGAUUUGCGAGAUUGGGCUAUUUUUAAUACUACUGUUAUAAUUUAGCAUUCUAAUUACAGACAUAUUAAAAAAAAACUUGCAUUUGAUGGUUGUGGAAUUAAUUUCUUUAUUGACCGAUGGGGAAAAUAAUUAGAUUUAAUCGAAUUAUUUUUGGCAAUUUUUAAGGUAAAAUUGUAAUUUUUGUUUUGAGGGGUAAAAUGGUCAUUUUUUUUAGUUUCCGUUAAUUUUCUUAACGGAUUCCAAACGGAAUUGGAAAAGUGAAACAAAAUGUAACUUUAGGUGGAUUCCAACAAAAAAAAAAAAGAAUUGUGUAUUUUUGAAAAAGUUAGAAAAAAUGGAUGGACGGUGGAUAUUUUCUCAUUAAUUAAUUAACACUACAUUAGAGUAAUCAAUAAUAAAUCUUACACACACACAUAUACAUAUAUAUGUGGGCUAUUGUUUUUUUUUUUUUUUAGCAUUCUUCCAAGGAAUACUAAAGCUUAUCAUUUUGGGAUAUGUGGGCUAUUGUUUUUGUUUUCAGCCCCACUCUAACAUCAUCAUAGGCAAAAGAUUGUUUGUAUCAAAAUCUAUAAUUUUUAAUUCCCUAGGUGAUUGCUACAUGUGAGUCUUUAUGGUCAUCAUUUACAAAUCCCAAUAGUCAAAGCACAUAAAAUGAAAAAAAAAACAAAGAUAGUCCAGCUUUUGUUUUAGGUGAGGUCAGCACAAUUUAAAAACAAUAAUAAAAGUUGCAACAAAAGAAUAAAAAAAUAGAUUAUGGAAGGCAAUUAAAGGACAUCAUAGGGGCCAUUACCGUGAAGAAGAGUAGAUAAGCUAUCGGUGACAGUGGAGAUGACAACAAAAGAGUCCAGAUCUUGGUGAAGGGAGAUGAUGAUAGUGGCUAGUCGAAAAUAGUGACAACAUUGAUGGGAGAAGUUUUGGGAAUGUCGGCAGUGUGUUGGAUCUAGGGAUUUUGUAAGUUAUGUUUGCUAUGUUUUAAUUCACAAUAUUAUGAAUGAAGGGAAAGAGAUGUGAGAUGGUAUUUAUGUCUUUUGUUUUUUAAUUGUUAACAUAAUAUUUGUGUCUCAGUGGCGAAAAAAAUAUUGCAACGAAAUUUAUAUAUAUAAUGGUAGUUAUUAGUAUUUUCGUUUAAUAAUUUUGUUGGGUUGUAUAAACUAUGUACUUAUUCAACCUGAUUGCAAAUCCAAUCAAAUGAGACCCCCAAUUGAUGACCAAAUAUGUUAUCAAUCACAAACUCACACAAUUUUUUUUAAAAGAAAGGAAAAUUAUUAACCAUUCCAAAAAGAGUUGGACUAUUGGCACCCCUUCAUUGAUCUUAUAAAACCCCUGUGAUAUUAUAAUUACAUUUAAAGACAAAUAUAAAUAGAAUUAAUCCCAUUUAUAUUUUCUUUCUCUCUUCAAUUUCAUUUUGCUUGCACAAUAUACAUUUUUGUAAUCAUUAAAAUAAUCUGAAUUUAAGAAGCAAUCUAUAAAUGUUUUUAAUCAUUAAAAUAAUCUAAAUUUAAGAAGCAAAUUUUUAAGCCAAAAUAAUACUCUUGUAAUAUAUGUAGCAACAAAAUUAGGAUACAACAUUGUGAGAAAAUAUAUUAAAUAAAAUUUUAUCUCACUACAAAUAAUUUUUUAAGGAUUCUCAAACUAAUUGUAGCACCCAAAUUUAUAUGUACGAUAAAAAUUGUAUUGGACCCAUAAAAUAUUCAAUAUUUUAUAAGGUUUUUUUUACUUUUUCUUUUAGAUCUUUUUUUAGAAUUUAAAUAAUAAAGAAAGUUUGAAGAGAGGAAUGCAAUUAUUAAGAUUGAAAGAGUGAGAAAAUUAUUAGAAAUUGUAAGACUUAUAAAUGAAAAUAGUGUUUAUUUUUAAAAAGGGUACUUUUGGCAUUAAAUGGAAUAUAAUUGAAAAAGGGGUUUCAAAAGAAUUUUGGAAGGGUGCUAAUAGUCCGACUUUUCCAAAAAUUACACUGAUAUAAAAAAUACUAUAAAAUUUUGAAUUUAUUCAAUUUUACACCCUUGCUUAUAAUGCAUGUCAACCUCCACUAAAGAGACAACAUUGUAUUCACAAAAUGAUAAAAUAGAAUCAAACACAAAUUAUAAUGGUAAUUUUAUUAGGUUAAUUUUAACUUUUUGGUAAACGAUUGUUACACAUUGUAAAGAUUAAGUACAAAAUUGAACGAGUAUGAAUUUUUGUUAUAUUUUUUAUAACAAGGUAAUCUUUGGGUGAAUAACUGAUAAUUUUUAAACAGAAAAAAAUCACAAACUAACAUAAAAUUUAAAAAACAAAAAUUAAAAAUGAAAUAAUAGAAUUGAAAAUAAAAACAUAAUUAUUCUAGUUUACCUUGAGUAGCCUACUUUCUCAUGAAAGACAUGCUAGAACAAUUUCAAAAUAAAUGAUAUCUUAUUGUAACGACAUGUUCGAUUAACGGUGCCUUAUAGAAGAGAUAUCAUUUCAUUUCAAAGUGCAUCCUUUCACGGUGACAUUUCAUUUGAAAUGGUAAUAAUUCAAUUUGGACCAUUGAUUAAAGUCAAAUCUUGAUCUAGUGGCCAUGAGGGAAGGGAUAUCAUAAAAGAUGACAAUCCAAAUGGAAGGGUACAAUUAUAUCUACAAACAAGUCUUGUUUAGUCCAUAAAAUAAUGAUCAUAACAGUCUUUUCUUAGCCAUCUUUCUUAAAACAAAUUUCAUCAUAUAAUACUUAUUUUAUGCAUCAAAUAUCCAAUAUAAUCCUUACUGCAGGAACAAUAUAUUGACUUUUGGCAGGUUGUGACAUUCAAAAGUGUUUAGGUUUGCUUUCAUUAAUUGUAUCCUAGAGGCGUAUUUUCUUAAUCUAUGUGCAUCGCUUAAUUGGGGGAACAAAUAACGUAUUAACACUACAAGAAAAAUGACCUACCAUGACAGUCCUCUGUGUGACAGUUUUUGGUCUGCAGAGCUACUACGAUAGAUGGAUGAUAAAUUUUUUUUCUAUCAUUCAUUUAUGACAUACUUGUGAUAGAAAUUUCAUCUAUCAAGCACUUAUGAUAGACUGAUGAUAAAUUAUUUGGUUAUCAAGAAGUAAUGACAAGUUUGUGAUAUAAUUUAGAUCAUCAAGUAGCUUUUUUAUUUUGACUUUAUUUCACAAGGUUGACUGAAAAUUUUAAAAUGAAUGAAAAAAAUAAAUAAAGAAUAAACGGUACCGUUUGGAUUAAAAGUUUCUCUUUGGACAAGAAACGACACCGUUUAGAUUGAAGCUAAAUAAAAACAAAACCCUCUUCAGUUUUCACUAAUCGAAUUUUUUUUCCCUAAGUGUCGGCACUCUCACUCACUCUCGUCUCUCGCUCAGUCACUCUCGUCAAUCUCACACUCACAAAGCCCUUUUCACCCGAAAUCCUUGCAUGGGCACUGAACCACUGCCGCCAUUCUCUUGUAUUUGACUAUCAAUUUGGCUCUCACCGAGAACUAUAUGGAAUACCCACCAAACGCAUGUGCUACUACUAUUGAAUUUCAAUACCCUAACUGAGAGCCCACGCUCACCCACUACUGUAACCGUUCGAUCAAUACAGGUAAAUAAUAUUUCUAGUGUUGUGUUCCAUUUCAAUUUUAAUGUUCUUGUCAAACUCGAACCCUAUAUAUGUAAACUUAAAAACCCUAGAUGUGUUCUUGUCAAAUUCGAACCCUACACACCUAAAUCUUGUAAAACCUAGAUGUUUUCUUGUCAAAUUUGAACCCUGUACGUGUAAAACUUGAAAAUCCUAGGUGUGCUCUUGUUAAAUUUGGAUCUAUUUGAUUGGUCUUCUAUGUUUUUUUAUUUAUGGAAUUUUAAACAUUUAUUUGAUUUUUUUGGAAUUUAAUUAUUAUAGUUUUAUUGUUAAAUUAAUUUGAUUUAUGCUGUAAAGAUCCUUGCCAAUUUAAUCGUGAUGGGUGUUGGGAUAUUGUCUAGGCUGCUUUAUCAUUGGGGUUUUCUAAUAACUAAUUUUUUUUUUCACUUUUUUGUGGAUGCAUGGAACUAUAUAUAUAGAUAAUUCUCAAAUUCGUUCACUGUGAUGCAAAGUCUUUUUUUUUCAAUUUCAUUGGUUAAAUUCACUAAUUCGUUGAAAUUAGUGGUGAUUGUGGGCCGAGUCGCAUGUGCAGGAAGUGGUGUCAGGUCUGGGCGCACAUUGAGUCAUGCACUUGGUGGGCAAUUGGUAUUGUUUCUAUUGUGUGUGUUGGAAAUAAUGUCAAUAUCAUCCAACCAAUGUGUGUUUCUAGUGGCUGUUUUUGCACCGAGCAGAUAAUUUAUUAUUACAUCAGAGUUCCCCAUCCCUUGUUUCUCUUUUGGGUAAUGCAGGUAUUGACUAGUUCGUUUCCAUUUUCAUUUGUCUUGAGGGAAUGUUAUCAAUUUUUCGAUCUUACAAGAUAUUGAUUGAUACAUAUGUGUACAAUACAUUAAAAAUCGUUAAACAUUUUGCUCUUAGUUACAAUUUUGAAUGAAUGUCACAUGGAAAGAUCCUCUAAGAAUAUCAAUAGUAUUGUGGUUUCUACUCAAUUUCCACUCUCCGCACUCAUAUGAGCAUGGUUUGAAUCUCAAGCCUUUUGUACCAUUCAAAAAUUUAUACCAAUUAACAACAUAGCUUGCUAGCACCACAAAUUGUUUCAACUCCAAGGCAGAGAAUUCCUAGAAGAUAUAUACAUAUUGAUAUAUACUUGCAUGUAGCCGUAUGCUCACUACCUUCGAAUUGGGGAUAUAGUCACUAUUUUUGUAUUCCCUCCAAGUGUUUGAUAAAAAGCAUGAAUGAAUCUUGGCUCUUUAAUUGUUGCAGGCCAUUUCUACCUAUGAGGAGCGAAGGAAUAUGAAGCUUAUUAUAUUCAUUCACAAAGCAAAGCUGAUACAAUUCAUGGCAAAGCUUGAUGAGGUGUUGUAUUUAAUCUUGCUCAUGAGAUCAAUUACCUAUCUUGUUGGACUUUAUUCUUGUAAUUAAGGUCCAUCCAAAGUUGAUGGCUUGUUUGUCAGAAAGAUAAUCUGAAGGCUAUGAUUGAUUACUUGCGGGCCGAUGGAAAUGUCUCCAUGAUUGGUUUAUGAGGUUGUUAAAUUACUAAAUAGGUAUAUUUACUUUUCAUGAGCUUUAUCUUCGUUUUUCCAUUAUGGAAAUGUCUCUAUGAUUGUAACUUUUAACACGUGGAACUCUUGAACCCUAUGUUUAGUUAUAUACUUAUAUUGGGACUUGUAUAAAUUAAUAUGAUGGUUUUAUUAUUAUUAUUAUUAUUAGUAGUAGUAGUAGUAGUAGUAGUAGUAGUAGCAGCUACAAAAGAUCAAAAGAACUUAAAGGUGUGGCUUGUGGCUUUCUUGCUGUUUGGGCUUUAACUGCUGCCUCACUUGUCAUUGUUGCUAAUCUGGUGUGCCACGUCCAUUUCAGUGUAAUUACAUAAGUUAGUUUGCUUGAUUAAUUAAUUAAUUAGUUAGUGGAUUGAAUAGCCAGAGUACUACAUUUUGCAUAGGUCUGAUGCUGGAUGAAUUUUCAUGUCUUGGCUUUGGGGCUGCUGGAUUUUGCUGCUGGAAGACUAGAUUUUGCAAUUUUGUUGCUGGAAGACUACAUUUUGUGUAGGUUUGUUGCUGGAUGUUGCUGAAUGCGGAUUACUUUGCUUGGUUUUGGAUUGGCCUUUGUUGUCUAUUGGCUCGACUUUGGAAUAUGGAUUAACUAAUGUAAUGUACUUUGGAUAUUUUUAUGGUUAAUAAAGUUCACUAAUUUAGUUCAUUAGUUUUGGAUUUAAUUGCAUUUAGUAAUUUAUUUUCUUUCAUAUAAUUUUAAUAAUUUUAAUAAUUUUAAUUUUUAAAUUUCAUAAUUUUUAUUUUAAAUUAAUAAAUAAAAUAAAUAAUCAAUUUUUUUUAAAAAAAAUGUGAUAGAAAAUACUAGUCAUACACACAAUUGAUAUCCCAAAAAAAAAUACAAUCCAAAAAUUUCUAAAAAAAUGAAAAUAAAAAAUAAAAAAAUAAUUUCCCUCUUCUAAGUAGUAUGACAUAAUUAUGAUAGGUAAAAUCUAUCACAACUUGUGACGCGAUUUUAUCUGUCAUCUUUUCUUGACGCUGGCUAUAAUGACGGUAAGGAUAACCGUCAUCUACCCCCUAAGAUGACAGUUUUUACCUAUCAUAAUAGGCCAUUUUUCUUGUAGUGUAAGAAAAGCGACAUUUGUAACAUGCCUUAAAGUACACAUUAUUUUUCUACAGUUUACCUAUUACUAUUAUUUUCUUUCUACAUACAGAGUUGUAAACACAUUUCUUUAUAGAACAAAGUUUCACUAUUAUUACUGUAAUUCUCCAUAUUGGCCAUUCCCCAAAAAUAUAUAUCCUAACAUAACAUAAAAAUGAUCUUUUAAGUCCAUGUUUAGUUGGAAGAAACAAGAGAAGAGAAAAGGAAUGAAAAGGAGAGAGGAGAAAAUAAAAUGAGAGGAAAAAAUAAUCAUUCUAAAACUUCAUUGUAUAGUUUAACAUGAAAUUCAUCUCUUUUCUUCUUAUUUCUUUCCCAUCUCCUCAUUUCUUUUCUUCCACUCUCCUUUUAUUUAUUCAAAUCAAGCAUGGCUCCCACGAUGACCUUUUGGAAUCUUCCACUAGUCAGCCAUUUCUAGAUUUGUUGCAACAAACCCAAAUGUUUUCAGCCAAAACCAAACAUCUUAAUAGCCUUUGAGCUAUCUUGGCCCACGUGGCAAGCUCGUGCCAUUUCUUUUUAAUACACCGAUAUAUUACAAUUAAAAUCUUACUGAUAAAAGAAAAAAGAAAAAAAAUUUCAGGGCUACCCUUGAUAAAUCUAAUAUGAGACAAGCUCAUGCCAUUUUGAGUGAUCAAAACAGCACACAAUGGUAUUUGUCGUUUUAGGUCAUGUUUGGUUUGAAGAAAAUGGAGGAGAGGAAAAGAGUGGAAUGGAGAGGAAGGGAGAAGAAAUGAAUGGAGAAGAGUAGUGAAAUUAGAUUUUGUUGUUCGGUUUGAUAUAAAAUUUGAUAAGAAAAUGAAUUAUAAUUUUUCUCUUUAGACAAAUUUAUCCUUUACCUUAAAUAUUAAACUAUAUAUAUAUAUAUAAUAAAAUGGCGGUCCGGUGGCCGGCGGCGGAGGUCUGGCGACUUUCGGUGAAGUCCAACGUUGGUUUGGCGACCAUCCGGCGAGGUCCGACAGUGGUCCAGCAACCUUCCAGCGAGGUUCGGCGGAGGUCUGGGACCUUCCGGCGAGGUCCGGCGGUGGUCUGGUGACUUUCCGGUGGAGGUCCAUUUAUAAUAUUAAAUCAAUAAAAUAAAUUUAUAAAUAAUAAUUAUUAAUGGCAUUAAAUAAGUUAAAAAGUUGAAGGGUAAUUUUGGAAACUUUGGUUUCUAAUAUAAGAAGAAUUUAAAUUCUUCACUACUUAGUGUAGAAUUCAAAUUCUACAUUAUGAUGGCUAUUAAAUUCUAAUGGAUAUUAAAUUCUAAUGGAAAUUAAAUUCUUAUAUAUUUUGUCAAACCAAACAAUGAAAAUAAAAAGAGAAUUUAAAUUACUUUCCUCUCCUACAUUCUCUACUCCCAACCAAACACCACCUUAGGAUAUUUGUUUUGAGUUGUAACAGGUGCAGCGUACAUGUAUCACUUAACGUACUAACGACCUAAUCAGGCAUUUUCUGGAUGUCAUACGUCUGAAUCAAAUCUCCAAUCGCCAUGUUCGUGUAUGGUCGGAUAAUGAGACAUAGAGUCUUUAAACAGAUUGCAAGAUUUCAACUAACAUUAUCUUCUGCUUCGGAAACGUUAAUUUGAGAUCACAUCAUUCAGAUGCACUUCCUAGUACUCGUACAUGCUUUAAGUUUAUUGUAUAAUGUUCAGCAGGAAUUAGAGUGAAGUUAUUCGCACCCCUUCUUUAUUUCCUAUAAAACCCUACUUUAUUUAAAAUUACAUUUAAAGACAAAUAAUAAUUAAACACACUUAAGUUUUAUUCAAUAAAUUACUUGCAUUCAUUAUUAACUCGUUUGUUUUUAAUUUUUAACCUGUCAAUUCGUCCUAUCGAACCAAAAUAAAUUGCAUAAAUUCAUAAUAAUAUAUUGUUCUUUUCCUAUUUCUAAUUAAUUAAAUAUUAUUUUACAUAAAAUAAUAUUAAGGUUUGGGAAUAUAAAAUAUUAGGGUUUGGGAAAAUAGUCAGUCUUAUCUAAUUAAUUAAAUAUUAAGGUUUGGGAAAAUAGUCACAAAGAUCCUCAAGUUUUCAAUAAGGGACACCAAAAUCCUCUUUUGCUAUCAUACCCUUUGAUUUAUAAAUCCAAAAAAUUGACCACAAAAUUUUAUAAUAAAUGGAAAUAUGGCAUUAAAAUAAAUGUAAUAAUACAUACAUUUUAAAAUAAUUUUGAUAUUUAAAAAUAUUUUUAUAUUUUGCAAUCUAUUAGACCUAAUUUAUUAUAUUAAAUUAAUUUUAAUAAUAAAUAGAAAAAUAAUAUUAAAAUUAAUAUAUUAAAAUAAAAAUAAUUUUGAAUAUUAUAAAAAAUAAUUGUAUUAUUAUUAAUAGGGAGAUAUUUUAUUAAUUUUAAAAUCUAUUUAACACAAAUAUUUAUUUAAAAUCUCUAUAAUAAAUACAAAUAUAUUGUUAAGAUAAAUGCAAUAAUUUAAAAUUUAAUAUUAUUUUAAAUAUUAAAAAUAAUUUAAUAUUAUUAGUCUACUAGAUAGAAUAUAUUAUUUAUAUUUAAUUUUGUUAAUUAAAAAACUUCAAAGUUAACUUUCUCAUUACUAAAUUCAAAGGGUAUUAUUGUUAAAAAAUGAUUUUGAUGUCCCUUUUGAAAACUUGGGGGUCUUUACGACCGUUUUUCCAAAUAUUUGGGUUGUAGGUGUCAUUUUCCCUUUAAAAUAUGUAUAAUUUAAGUCAAUAAAUGACAUUAAAAAAUUCAUCAUCAAUAAAUCUUUUUUUUUUGUUUUGAUUACGAGGUAUCCUGGGGAGGGCCCCAACUGUGGGAGACACCUUUAAGCCCGUACAACAACCCAGACUAGAAAUCUCCGCUCCCCAACUGUGGGAGACACCUUUAAGCCCGUACAACAACCCAGACUAGAAAUCCCCGCUCGAACCGAGAGGCACAGGUUCUCCCAACAAAUGAGACUUCCCUACGACUCGAAUUGGGGAGCAAACCCAGUCAAACCACUUAAGGGGACUCCAUUACCAGUGGAGCCAACACUUUGUUGGUAAUAAAACUUUUUUAAUUUUGUGUGUAGAGUGAAAAUAAGAUUGUCAAACAAAAGAAAUAACAAAAUACUAAUUGAGUUUUAUUAAUUAAAAAAAUUAAAAACUAGAUGAAGUAUUUACAAGAAAAAAGGAAAAUUUUUGGAAUAGAAUAAAAACAAAUGAUAAUCGGGUUAGCUUGCACUCAAUCUUGGGAUUGGUUAUACGUGAAGUAUUGCAUGCAUGUCAGGCUAGAGAGAGUGCUUGCUUAAUUAAUAACCAUAACAAGAAAACAUGCACAAAGAAUUUGGAAUAUAUUAGUUGCAUGUUUAACUGUUGAACAAUAAAAUGAUAUAUUACUGUCCAAAAAUAAUAAAACAAAUAAUAAUAUAUUAUUCUUCUUAAAAAUAUACGUAUCCGUCCCUUAGAGUAUGGCUUUGAAUAUAAAUUCUAAAAGUCUGUGAAAAAAAAAGAAAAAAAUCUAGGCAAGAAAGUCACAAAAUAUAACCAUGCGUAUCUACAAAGUGGUUGGCAAGAAACUUUUCAUCAUGUUUAUUCAUGCAAGUAAUGCAGGUGAGAAGUUGAACUAAUUAACAGGAUUGAAUUUUAUUUUUUUUCCUUCAUUCUCUUUGUCAUACCAAACCUUAACUGAAAAACACCUUUUCUCCACUUCUCACAUAUCUAUAAAAGGCCAUUCACAUGAAAACCCAUGCAGUCAUGCACAAAAGCACGUGCAUUAGUUCUUUCAAUUGAUUGAUAUAACCCUAUUGCGCAUCCUCAUCUCAAACUAUGGCUUAUAAAUCUUUUCCAUCUUUUUUCUUAACACUUCUACUUAUUACUUUCUCGUUAAUGUGCAACAAUAUUAAUGCAGUAGGUGCUAGACUUCUCCUCGAGACAGCGUUGCCAGAGAUACCUAAGCCCGAAUUGCCUAAGUUUGAAUUACCACCAUUGUCGAAACCUGAAUUGCCUAAAGUUGAAUUGCCACCACUAUCAAAACCCGAGUUACCCGAGAUUCCAAAACCUGAGCUCCCAAAAGUCCCUGAAUUGCCUGAAAUUCCAGAACCUAAGUUACCAAAGAAACUUGAAGUGCCAGAAAUUCCACAACCUGAGCUACCAGAGUUUCCAGAACCUGAGUUACCAGAACUACCUGAAUUUCCAGAGAUUCCAAAGCCUGAGCUGCCAAAUCUUCCUGAACUGCCUUUUUUCCCUCAUCUUCCGGAAAUUGCUAAGCCAACUCAUUCAACUUCUAAUCCGUAAAUUACCAUGCUGCGUCAUAUUGUUUCAUCGUCGUUGGAUUUCAUGUGUCGUGAACUUUCAUAAAGUACGUUUGGCAUUAUACUGGAAGAUAAAUUAUAUACGCAUUGUGCUUGUGAUAUUUUCAAUUUAUUUUUUCUUUAUUUUUUUACUGGCUGAUUCACGUGUAUUUUACGCAGUGUUCCUUGUCUUCUCUCUUGUAUUAUGUACAAUUAUAUGUGUUUCAAUUAAUAUUUCUUAAUAAUUCAUGAUGCUCUAUGUUAUCUA
RNAcentral lists this long non-coding RNA (91022 nucleotides) under Citrus maxima (pomelo). Its description in RNAcentral is "long non-coding RNA (CMAX_LNC000250)". Lineage: Eukaryota; Viridiplantae; Streptophyta; Magnoliopsida; Sapindales; Rutaceae. The record is from RNAcentral.